UAAGGGUUGGUGUACGGAUAAAGAUAUAUUAUACUCUAAGAGAAGACACAAGUGUGAAUUUUGGAGAUUAUAUUAUUGAGAGGGACAAUUUCAAAUCCUGAAUAUGGACUGUAAAAUAAACAUUAAAGAUAUCAAAACUGUAAUUUUAUUUAAAAUUUUAGACAAUAUGUUGUUAUAGAGAACUAGUUUAAUAAGCAAUGCACUUCAUAACUAUAAUUGAUAUUGUUAUAAGUGAAAAGUUGUUAGAAAAAAUUAAAAUAAAAAAUAAAAAAAAUCUAUUAUAUUACAAAUUUGGUUGUUAUAACUAAAUAUAUAUUGUUAUAGAAGGUGAUUGUUAUAAAGAAUACUAUUUUUUAUAUAGGGCGAUUGACUGUAUUUUAACAUAUCUAUAAAUAUGAAAGAUACUAUGAAAAAUUUUAACUACUCAAUGGAUUUAAGAAUCGGUCUGCUUUAAUCUUUUGUUUUGAGUAAUAGAGGUAAGGCAUGACUCUCUUAUGCAACAAACCUUAAAAUAUUUAAGAACGUAUUUUAAUUUUUUUAAUAAUUUCAUCUCAACUCAUAAAUAGGAGGAUAGUACGCUGAAGCGUACUAAAACCCACAUAUUCUUACAUUGACACUGAUAAUCAUGUCAACCGAACUAAAAUUCAAUCGACAUGUAAAUUAUUAUUUAUAUCAAAUACAUAUUGAAAUUAUUAUAAAUAACAAUAGCACCCAAAAUGGGUUACUAUUAUCAAAGUGUUUAUAAUAAUUAUAAGGACAAGGUUGUCAAAAUUGAAUUCAAAAUAGCUGAACAAAAAAUUUCCUUGAAUUUUGAAUGAGACAUUUGAUUAAGUUUAUUUAUUUGUUUAUUAUUAUUCUCCUUUGAUUUAAAUGAGUGAGAUAGGAUGAGACGAUUUUAAAUAUAUCUAACAUUUAUUGAUGUAAUAAAAAUCUUUAAAUUUAAAUAUCUACGACGGAGCAAGAUGAAAUGGGUAGAGCAAUUUGAUAAUGAAAUGAUGCUUAAUAUCUGUCCCCUAUACAUAAAGUCCUGAAGAAGGCAUACAAAUUAUUUCUGCUAAAUGCUUGCACCCACCAUAUUUAGUUCUUGGUUUAAUCUUAAAGCGCCAAUAUUAUUUCAGUCUCAAAUGCAAAUUUUUAGUCUUCGAAUUUCUACACCAUGCGACACGUCGUAUUUGCUGAAUACCCUUUAAAAGCCAAGUCGAAAACCAGUGUUUCCAUGGAAAUAGAUUGGUAAUAAUUUUUGCUCAGAAACAACAAAAGACCUUGUAAUUUUACAACAUGUCACGAGCUUGUUGAGAGUAACAUUCCUAAGUUGCAGAUAAGAUAGUUUACUUCACCCGAAAAAGAAAAAAAAAAUGGGUGUUUCCAUUAUUAUUUAGGCCCCUCUUCAGUCCUCACUCUCAAAGCAUAUCCAACAAACAUUUUGGAGGAGAUCCCAUUGUCGGACGUGAGUUUGGUUUUUAUACACUGAAAUUAUGUGUUCAAAACUUAAAAUCUAGAUUCUGAUUAUGACAGUUUUUUCUUUUUUUUUUCUUUUUUAAUGCUAAGGCCAACCAUCAAAAGGGUGUCAUGGAGAUCUCACCAAGUCACCUUGCUUUGAUCAACGAAACUCACCUCCUCGAAGUACCUCGGUUGAGAUCACACCUCGCCUCAUGUGGUCAUUCACGUUUAUCAAUCGCAUGAAAAUCUGCGAAGAAAAGAUCCUAGAUAACUUCAUAGGCAUGUGUCAAGAGCUCACUAUGACUCAGUAGCUAACAAGCCUUUUCUCUAGCCACAACUGAUCUAGAGGUAUUUAUGGGUCGGGUCGGAUUUGGGUUGGGAGUAAGUAUUAUAUUAACACACUUUAUGUUCGCCCAAGCUCGUCCGACCCAGAAUAUAGGCUUAAUAUUUUGUCUAAGUCUGCACAUAUUUGCAAAUAGUUAACCCAAACUUAUUUUAGGCAUGCUAAUGUUAUUUUUAAAAAAUAAAAAAUUAUUAAUAUUAUUUUAAUUUAAUAUUGAAUAUUUUUAUAUUUUUUAUUUAUUAAAAUUUUAUAUAUAAUUAUCUUAACAAGUUUUUUUUUGGUAAAUAUCUUAACUUUUUUUAAUAUUUACAUUAUAAUAAUAUUAUAUAUUACUAUAAAUUUAAUUUUUAUGUUAUAAAUAGGGGUGAAACCACAAUUUUUUUUAGGGGACAAAAUUAAAUUAUAAUUUUUACAAUAACAAAAAUGCAAUUUCACCAUUUUAAUAGUAUAUAUCUUUAUAAUUUUUAAAUGAUUAAAUAAGAUUUUUAUAUUUUUAGGAUGGGGCAAAGCGUAAUUUUACCUUUACUAAUUUAAAAUUUAAAAAAUUUUAAAGGACCUAAAUGAAAAAUUUUUCAUUUUAAGGGGGUAGGGCACUUGCCAACCCCCUAAUUUCGUCCAUGGUUUUAAACUAUAUAAUAUAUAAAAAUAUCAUAAUAUAAAAUAUUACAAACUUAAAAGUGGACUGGGCCAGGCUUGGGCCUUAAAUGUUCAAGCUUGAGGUUGACCCAUAUUUUAAAUGAGUCUAAUUUUUUUACUCAAACCCAUUUUUCACGCCUAAUAACUUUGUCAAAGCCCUCCUAAAUUUCGAGUGGACCUUUGAACUUAGACAAAUAAACCAACCCGAACAGAUCUAAACUAGCCAAACUUAUGUAUAUUGUCCCAUGUACUUAAGAUACAUGUAAACCCAUUAAACAUGCUCUUACUCGGUAGAAGCUUCUUCUAUGAAUUUUCAACUAACUUGGCUCUUUACACAAUUAUCGUGUUAACCAUUAUCAAUUGCCCUACCACCUGUGUAUUAACAAAUUUGAAUGUGAAAAUGAAAAUUAAACUUGAAUUUUGUUUUAAUUAAUUAAUAUUAUUUUUCAAAAAGAAACUCUUAAACUUAUUAUUAUUACUAUUAAACAAUCCAACAAAAUUAAUUCUAACUCGGAUGAAUUCCUCGUAAAAAAAAAAUCCAAACUCCGACGUAAGAUAGCCUUUUGAACUAAUUUUCAAAACUUGUAAAAAGAAAAAGUGGUCCAACCCAAAACGAUGGCGACUGCAAAUUACAUUAAUGUUGAGAUAUGAGAAAUGAAGAAAUAAUUUAUUUUAUUUGGUUGCUUAUGAAGAAAUAUAUAUCAUAAGGUUGAAAUGAAAAAUUUGUAUUCUUGUAGGGUGAUUUUGGCAUUUAGGUAAGUGGGCAGUGGCAGUGUCCGAGUGCGACCCAAACGGUAGUAUUUUUAUCUUAUUUUAUUAUUUAAAGGAGGCUAAAUUAGGGAAGACAAUGUGGGAAAGGAAUUUUGCUGCCUGACAACGAACUCAACAGUGAGGGAGGAAAAGUCUUAAGUCACGCACUUUGCAUGGGGUCUGUCAAUGUCCACCCAAUCAUAUUCCGUCACGUGUACAUCUAGGUCAAAUUGAGUCCUCGUUUGUCCCUUUCACGGGUGUGCUUUGAAAACCCAUUCCGUGAAAGUGCGGUCACAAUAAUUAAUUUAUUUUUCCCUUGUAAUUUCUCCCUGUGUGCUGCCUUUUUAUUACCCGACCUUUAUAUGAUAACCGUUGAGAGAAAGGAAGGUGAUUGAUCUUAUCUUCCACGUGUAAGGUGGUGAUUUGCCUUGUGGAUUUUAGAGGGGAGGAUUGCUCAAUCAUUUAGUGCGGGGCCUACUUUUCCCCUUCUAUUUAUAGAAUAUUGAUUUUUCUAAUAUCGUGAAUCCAUCGGUUUCUUAUUAUUGUUUGAAAAAAUAUUGAAUUGAAAAAAAACGUGUCUGGACUUGGAGAAAUCGUUGUAAAUCUACAAAUUUGCAAUAAAAGUUAUCUAUGCAAUUAAACGACAUCAUUUCACUAUUUUUUAGAGAAAUGGAAAUAUAUUUGAUGUGUAGCUUAAAAUGAGUUGAAAAGAGUUAUUUUGAAUGGUUAAAGUGUUGUAAUUAAGAUUCCUAAAAGUUGGGUAUGAUUGAAUUUUUUUUUUCUGAAAAGAAAUCCGUUUAUAGCAAUUGGGCCUGAACAACAAACAGGAGAAGUCCACCAACAACUUACAAACCAAAGUAAAAACAAAACAAACAACAAACCGGGGAAAAAAAAGCAAAGAAAAAGAAAAUAAUUAAAAAAGAAGAUCAACAAAACACCAUAUUCUCCAUCUAACAAAUCUUUCAGGCGCUGUGUGUGUCAACAAACCUCAAAAAAAAUAAACGGUAAAAAAAUAUAUUCCAAAUCCAACAAUGCAACAUCUGGACAAGAAAGCAGUUGAGAAUGGCCACCCUAUAUCAGUAUUUCUCAAUUCCAUCACUGAAAUAGAAAAUGGGCUAUGGAGGUCGCCCACUCCGACGAUCAGAAUCAGCCACUUCCAAAGCUUUCAAAGGCACAUCUUCCACCCAGAACAAAUCUCCUUCAGCUCGCAUACCCUCAACAGCCAUUACAUGCACUGCUCUAUUCCCUUCUCUCGCAAUGAACUGGAAUCGACAACAUUGGAACUUCCUUGCCAGGUUCUUCGCGUCCCAAGUAAAUGGUCUAGACUCCGAGUAAUCCUCGCUUGAUUUUUGAAUAUUAUUUACCACCAGUCUCGAAUCACUCUCAAGAAUAACAUUUGAAAAACCCAAAUCAAGGGCAAAUUGGAGCCCAUGAAGGAGAGCAAGUGCUUCAGCAAUCGCCACCGAAUGAACCAAAUUGUGUCCUUGAAAUCCCGACCCCAUUAUAAAUCCCUCAUCAUUUCUAAUAAUAAAACCUGACACUACUCGUUUUUUGGCAAUUGACAAUCCCACAUCAACGUUAAUUUUUAACCACCCUUGCGGAGGGGGCGACCAUUUUACCAUGGAUCUCAGUUGGGGAUGUUGCGGAAGCGACGAUAAUAUUAAUAACAAUAUUAUCAGAAAUAUUUAGAUAAUUAUUAUGCCAACAAUUAUACUAAGAAAAUUCCCAAUUAAAUUGGAGGGGUCACAAAUGGUCCCGCUUAAAACCCAACAACUAGACAGAACUCACUUAGAUAUUUAUAGCAAUAAUAACUAAAUAAAUAUAACCAACAUAAAGCUAUUAAAUAUAAGCAAACAAAUAAGAAAUAAAAUACCAGAGAUUUAACGAGGUUCGGCCAAUUUAGCUUACGUCCUCGGACACUACCAAAUUAAUAUUUCUUCUAGAAAUAUUACAAAGGAGAAGAUUUUGGGAUGAUACAACCAAAGGGGGAGGGGUUCUAUAUAUAACAAACCAAACCCCCUCCCUUUCUAUCUUUUCCUAAUGUGGGAUAUUGCCGAUAUUCAACAAAUCUCCACCUUGGCGAUAUUCCACAUCUUCGAACAUCUUCUCAUAACACAAACUUCAAUAGUGUCUUCAAAUUUGCGCCAACGACGCCAUAUCAAAUGUGUCGGACAUUGAUCAAGUCUAAACAAUGUUCAAACUUGGCCCUUGUAACCACCUUAGUCAGCAUAUCUGCAGGAUUCUCCGUAGUGUGAAUCUUUUGGAGAAGUAUCUCCUCUUCUUCGAGAAUUUCCCGCACAAAGUGAUAGCGAACGUCUAUGUGCUUCGUUCGUGCAUGAAAAACUUGAUUCUUUGCUAAAUGAAUAGCACUCUGACUGUCAGAAUAUACCUUAAGUUGUUUCUGACCAACUUCCAAGUCUUUAAGCAAUCCAUGAAGCCAAAUUGCUUCCUUCACAGCCUCUGUAAUUGCCAUAUACUCUGCCUCUGUUGUAGACAAAGCCACCGUGGACUGUAAGGUAGAUUUCCAACUAACUGGCGCUUUCGCUAAAGUAAACAAAUAGCCAGUUGUAGACCGUCGCUUAUCCAAAUCACCUGCAUAAUCAGAAUCACAAUAUCCAACUAUGCAUUGACCAAAUGAUUCAUCCUGCUCGAAUGCCAAUCCGACAUCUAUGGUAUUUUGGAGAUACCGCAGAAUCCAUUUCACAGCUUGCCAAUGACCCCUGCCCGGAUCAUGCAUGUACCUGCUAACAACACUAACAUCCUGUGAAAUAUCUGGUCUUGUACAUACCAUUGCAUACAUCAAGCUUCCAACUGCAUUUGCAUAUGGGACUUUUGCCAUGUACUCUCGUUCUUCCUUAGUCGUUGGAGAUAACUGGUUACUUAGUUUAAAAUGAGGAGCAACUGGGGUACUUACAGGUUUUGUACCUUCAGACAUACCGAAACGUUGUAGUACCUUCUCCAAAUACUGUUUUUGUGACAGCCAAAGUUUGCCCCUCUUUCUAUCCCGAGUUAUUUCCAUGCCGAGAAUCUUCUUAGCUUCCCCUAAAUCCUUCAUCUCAAACUCUUUACUCAACUGAGCCUUCAGUCUAUCAAUCUCCAUUUGGCUCUUUGCUGCAAUCAGCAUAUCAUCAACAUACAAGAGUAAGUAGAUGUAGGAACUAUCUUGAAGCUUGCGCAAAUACACACAAUGAUCGUAUUUGCUUCUUUUGUACUUCUGGUCCUUCAUGAACCUGUCAAAUCGUUUGUACCAUUGUCUCGGAGAUUGUUUCAAUCCGUACAACGAUUUGCUAAGUUUACACACCCAAUUUUCUUUACCAGCAACCCUGUAUCCAUCUGGCUGAGUCAUAUAGAUUUCCUCCUUCAAAUCACCGUGUAGAAACGCGGUCUUCACAUCAAGUUGAGCUAGCUCCAAAUUCAACUGCGCUACCAAGGCCAACAAAAUUCUAAUGGAGGAAUGUUUAACAACUGGAGAAAAUACCUCAUUAUAGUCAAUUCCCUCCUUCUGAGCGUAGCCUUUAGCCACUAACCUUGCCUUGUAACGAACAUCUUCUUUGUCGGGAAAUCCUUCUUUCUUUGCAAAUACCCAUUUGCAACCAAUCGCCUUCUUCCCUUUUGGUAGUUGUGCCAACUUCCACGUCUUGUUUUUCUCUAGAGAUUGCAUUUCCUCUUCCAUUGCACCUAACCAUCUAUUAUUCUCUAAACUCUGAAUGGCUUCGGUGUAAGUGGAUGGAAUAUUAUCAACAACUGGAAGUGCAUAAGCUACCAUGUCAGUGAAACGAGCUGGUUUCUGAAUUUUUCGUCUCUGCCUUCUGACUGCAAUUGGCUCUGAUUGCUGUUGAGGUUCUUGGGUAGAAACCUCUUCCUCAUCUGACUCUGCAUCUGCCAAUGAAGAAUCACUAGUGGUACCUUCUACUGGAAUUACCACACUCUGCUCAAACUCCACCUGCUGCGGAGUACACUCCACCUGCUGCGAAGUACUACUCACUCCUUCUGGAUUUACCUUAUUCAACAUGGCAGAUUCAUCAAAGGUAACAUCCCUACUGAUUAUCGUCUUCUUUGCCUCUAGACACCACAAACGAUACCCCUUAACACCAGCAUUGAAGCCCAUGAAUAGAGCCUUCUUUGCUCUUGGAUCUAACUUUGAUUCUUUCACAUGAUAAUAUGCAAUAGAACCAAAAAUACGCAAGGUGUCAUAAUCAGUAGCAGGUUUUCCAUACCAUUUCUCCAAAGGAGUCUUGCCAUUUAUAGCAGAUGAUGGCAAAUGAUUGAUGAGAUGUUGAGCGUACGUCACAGCCUCAGCCCAAAACUUUCUAUCUAAUCCAGCAUUAGAUAACAUACAUCGAACUUUCUCCACAAGCGUUCGAUUCAUACGCUCUGCCACCCCAUUCUGUUGCGGUGUUCCACCUACGGUGAAGUGCCUUACUAUGCCACAAUCUUGGCAUAUCUUCAGGAAUGGAUCGCUUUUAUAUUCUCCACCGUUGUCUGAUCGGAGAACCUUAAUCUUCCUUCCUGUCUGAUUUUCAACUUUAGUUUUCCACUUAAGGAAAACUUCAAGCACCUCAUCUUUGUUCUUCAUAGGAAACACCCAAACUCGUCUGGAAAAAUCAUCAAUAAAGGUGACAAAAUAACGUCUUCCUCCAAGUGAUGGAGUCUUGGACGGUCCCCAUACAUCAGAAUGCACAUAAUCCAGAAUACCUUUAGUAUUGUGAAUCCCAGUGCCAAAUUUCACCCUUCGUUGUUUUCCCAGAACACAAUGCUCGCAAAAUUCAAGUUUGCAAGUCUUUGUACCUUUCAAUAAUCCUUACUUGGCUAGAGUUUGCAAGGAUUUUUCACCAGCAUGGCCCAAACGCAUAUGCCACAGCUGUGUUGCCUCAGCGUCCUUCUUGGUACUCGAAAUUGCUGCUGCUGUUGUCCCAACUACUGUACUACCUUGGUAGUAAUACAGAUUGUUCUUUCUUAUGCCUUUCAACAUCACCAAUGCUCCUGAAGUUGCUUUAAGAACUCCAUCUCGUAUUGUCACAACUAGGCCUUCAGAUUCUAACGACCCCAAAGAGAUGAGAUUCUUCUUCAACUUUGGGACAUAUCGUACAUCCCGCAAAAUUCUAGUAGAUCCAUCAUGACUCCUCAGUUUAAUUGAACCUAUCCCGGCUAUUUUACAUGUGUUAUCAUUACCCAUGUAAACAACCCCUUCAUCUAGUUUUUGAAAUUCAAAGAACCAUUCUCGAAUGGGACACAUAUGAUAGGAACAACCAGAAUCCAUGAUCCACUCAUCUGCAUAUAAUGUUGAAGAUGUCAUACUAAGAGAAAAGUCUGACUCUGCUUCACUAUUGCAUUCUGCAACAUUUGCAUCUUGCGGAGUCUUCCAUUUUUUCUUCAAUUUUGGACAAUCUUUCUUCCAAUGUCAUUUUUCUUUGCAAAAAGAACAUUCAUCUUUGGCAACAGCUCGACCUUUGGACUUUCUUCUCUUCCCCUUAGACUGACUUUGCUGACGACCUCUUGUUACCAAUGCUUCCACUGCUGCUUCACCUGAACCUUUCAACUUAUCCUUUCGGCGUAGUUCAUAGCUAUACAAUGCAGCAGUUACUUCAUUGAAAGUUACUUCCGAUUUUCCAUGAAGUAGAGUAGUUUCAAGGUACUCAAACUCCUCAGGAAGCGAUCCCAACAACAUUAACGCCAAGUCUUCGUCUUCAAAAGUCACAUCCAAAUUCAACAAAUCAGCCACCAGCUGAUUAAAAUUGGUAAUGUGCUCGUUCAUCGUGGUACCAGGAACAUAAUUGAAACGAAACAGUCUUUUCUUCAUAUGCAACUUAUUUUGACUGUUCUUCUUCAAGAAUUUCUCCUCCAAUGCUUUCCACAAUUUACUUGCAGAAGUCUCUUUACUGAAUGUAUACUUCUGCUCUCUGGAAAGACAUGAUCGAAUUGUACCACAUGCCAAUCGGUUGAUGGUCUUCCAUUCUUUAUCAUCAACCCCUUCUGGUUUUUCUUCCUCAAUGGCAAUAUCUAGACCCUGUUGAAAGAGGGCAUCUAGAAGCUCACUUUGCCACAUGCCAAAAUGACCUGUUCCAUCAAAAAUUUCCACUACAAAUAUCGUAUUUGCAGUUCCAAUCCUCGGCAAAAUGUACGAAGUGGAAGUUGUUGAUAUGGAUGGUUUUUCUUCUGUCAUUUUUGCCAUAGCUUCUACUUAAUAGCCACCAAAUGCAGAAUACCCACAAGCUUUAGGAAAUGUUUCUGAUGUGUAAGAUCAGACUAAGCUGCAAACACAGAGCAUACUACAAAACCUUGGCUCUGAUACCAAUUGUUGCGGAAGCGACGAUAAUAUUAAUAACAAUAUUAUCAGAAAUAUUUAGAUAAUUAUUAUGCCAACAAUUAUACUAAGAAAAUUCCCAGUUAAAUUGGAGGGGUCACAAAUGGUCCCGCUUAAAACCCAACAACUAGACAGAACUCACUUAGAUAUUUAUAGCAAUAAUAACUAAAUAAAUAUAACCAACAUAAAGCUAUUAAAUAUAAGCAAACAAAUAAGAAAUAAAAUACCAGAGAUUUAACGAGGUUCGGCCAAUUUAGCUUACGUCCUCGGACACUACCAAAUUAAUAUUUCUUCUAGAAAUAUUACAAAUGAGAAGAUUUUGGGAUGAUACAACCAAAUGGGGAGGGGUUCUAUAUAUAACAAACCAAACCCCCUCCCUUUCUAUCUUUUCCUAAUGUGGGAUAUUGCCAAUAUUCAACAGGGGAUGCUUCAAAUUCUUAGCAUUACUACGAUAUUCCAACCCAAAACUCCUAAUGAAGGUAACAAUUUCCUCCAAACUUUGCACCUUUCUUUCAUGUAUAAAUUUAUUUCGAGAGAACCAGAUCGCCCAGAUAGUAACAACAAUUACCCCUCUCCUAUUCUUAUCAGAAUUCUCUAACAGCCAACUCAGCCACUCAUUAAAAUUUAUCAUUGACCUCGGCCACUGGACGUCUAACUUGGACCAAACUUGUGCAUCAAACAAUCAAUCCCGAACAGCAUGAGUAGAAGAUUCACACCCCUGGCCACAAUACGGACAACAGUUAUCAGAAGACAAUCUCCUAUAAUGUAAGUUUUGAAAAGUAGGCACAUAAUUUUGAACAAAUUUCCAGAUUAAGAUGCGAAUUUUUGAAGGACACUCUAAACUCCGUAUCUGCUUGAACAUUUUUUGCUCGUUGAUGCUCACAUUAGAGUUAUCCAGUAACAUUUUAUAUCCACUCUUUACAGAAUAGAUACCCGGAUUUUCGCUAAACCAAACUACUUUAUCUGAUUGAUCAGUAGUGGGAAUAGGUAUACUCAUAAUCUGUUCAGCUUCUCCCACAGAAAAAAGUUGAGUAAAUAAGAUCUCUGUUCCAACAAUUAGGUUCCUUCAGAGUUAACUCAGCCACCCAAUCCAAACCAGCCACCCUAUCAGCAUAAAUAGAACGUUGAGCUUUUUCUGGCAACCAAUGAUCUUUCCAUAUUGACACCGAUGUUCCAGACCCAAUUCUCCACUUCAAACCAGACCCUAACAGGCCUUUAGCACACCAGAUACUUUUCCAAACAAAUGAUGGAUUCACUCCUAAAGAGGCUUCCAUAAAAUCUAAUCCCCUAUAGUACUUUGCUUUGAGCAAACACGCAAGUAAAGAACACGGGUUUUCCAUAAGCCGCCAACCCUGCUUAGCAAGAAGUGCGAUAUUGAAUUCGGUCAAAUCUCGAAAGCCCAUCCCGUCCUCCUCUUUUGGUACAGACAGCUUCUUCCACGAACACCAAUGAAACCCUUUUUUCCCUGCUUUCUUUUGCCACCAGAAUCGAGCCAUGACCGCUUCUAAAUCCCUACAAACUGCUGACGGUAACAGAAAAAAAUUCAUAGCAUACAGUGGAAUAGCCUGGAGUACAGCUCUGAUAAGGACCUCCCUCCCCCUAUGAAAAGUAAUCUCGAGCUCCAACUUGAGACUCUUUUAAUUAGCUUUUCUUUAAGUUCCUUAAAAGCCCUUUGUUUGUUACUCCCCACCAUUGAUGGGAGACCAAGGUAAUUCUCCAGGUUUAGAUUCCUAUUAACCCCCAGACCCCUACAAAUUCCUCUCUGUUAAAUUGAUCAACAUUGGAACUGAAAAAAAACCCUGACUAGUCAAGAUUGACUUCCUGACCAGAACACUUAGCAUAGGCCUCUAAAAUUUCUUUGAUCACCACUGCUCCAUUGACAGACACAUCUCCAAAGAUAAGGCUAUCAUCUGCAAAAAAACAAAUGGGUGAUUCGUGGGGUUUGCCUACUAACCCGAAAGCCAUUAAGAACUCCCCUUGAAACAGCCCUUCUAAGAAGAGUCGACAAUCCUUCACCACAUAUAAGGAAUAAAUAAGGACUAAUAGGGUCCCCUUGGCGAAGGAUAUUCAUGUUUACUCUAUUUACAUUUAUGUCUAACCUUAGUAUAUUAUAUAUAAUUUUUGUUUCUAAUCAUUAAUUUUAUUUUUAGUGAUUCAUAUAUAUCAUUUUUUAAUUCUCAAUCAAUGUUAUACAUUUUUUCAAAAAUUCCUAAAAUCAAAUCCAAAUUAAGUCAGAUAAUUGAAGGAUUUUUAUUUUGGAAUUUAAAUAAAUUACUUUUUUUUAUGUUAUAAAGAUUUAUAACCUAUAAAUUAAAUAAAUAGAAUUUAAUUCGGAAUUUAUAAAUUGAAAAUUGAAACUACAUUUAAUCAUUUAAAAAACUUAAAUAAAAUAUUUGGAUUGAUUUUCAAUUUUCUUAAUUUUUUUCAACUUACUUUUAUAUCAAAACGGUGCUUAAAAAGUUCCGUUUUCCUUGGUGUUUGCGUUUACGCCUAAAACACCAUUUUCAAAGUCAAAAACAAUAAUAGGCGGGGGGGACUACGCAAGGAAUAAAGUGAUAAACUCGUUUUACUAACAAGGGAAAUAUUAUUCUUAAUUAAAAUAUACUCAAAAACCAUUUUGAAAGAAAAAAAAAAUACAAUCACGUUAUCUGCAAUAUACAAAAGGAGGACAUGGAAACGGAAAAGAAAUAGUGUUUUUGUGAAUUAUAAGAGAAUGAUAAAGCCUUAAUGGAAACGCGAUUAAUGUAAUUCAAAUUCAUAUCACAUCUAAUGCGGAUCAUCAUGUCAAUACACGGAGUUCAAAUUAAUGGUUUUUUAUGUACCAAAGAAAGCAUUGCUUAUUACUUUUUUGAGCAAAAACUAAAAAUUUUUUGCUUCUACUUUUGGUUAAAAAAAUAUUUUUGCAAAGUACUUUUGAUCCCAAAAAUAUUAUUAAAAAACUCAAAUACACCUUAUUUGUUUUAUUUUAAAAGUGCUUUUGUCCCAAAAAUAUUUCUUGGAAGUAACCCUAAAUUGACCCGAAGUAAAAUAUAUGAGUCAUUAAAAAAAAUUAAAAUAUAUAGGGGUAUGUAUUUAUAAAUGAAAUAAAUUUCUAAUUUUAACCGUUUACAAUGUGAAAAUGCCAUGCAAAUAACAUGUAUAGCAUUUAUAAAUUUAUGGGAAGGGAGAAAACAAAAAUAUUAUUACAAAAUGUAUUUUAUAUCAAAAUUUAUUAUUUAAUAACUAAAAUGUUGAAAUUGCUUCCAUUUUUAGGCUGGCAAAUGGCAAUGCAUCCUUGGUUUGUUGCCAAAUCAAAUCAAAACAAUUGACCUAUAAUACACUUAAACAAACUAGCUUUGAUCUAAGCUAUUACUAUUAAAUAUUAGCUCCCAUAAGGUUUUAAUUAAUUACUAUCUCUUUUAUCAGAAAAAAAGUUGCAGUUUGAAACAUGAAAAGAGAAUUCAAAUAUUGCACAUUAUUUGCACACACUUUUUUUCUAAUUAUCAUCACGCGAGAUUAAUUAUAAUAAAAAUAUAAAUAACAACAGAGUAAUCUAAUUAUUUAUGAUUUUAAUCAAUUUUUUUAUUAAUUUUUUAGAAAAAUAAUAGUUUCCCAUGAAAUUAAGAAAUAUUUUAAAUUUCAAAUUAAAUCAUCUAAUUGAGAGAGAAAAAAGUAUUAAAGUAUUAGUAAGAGCUAAUUGUAUCAAUCAUCUCUGAACUAUGAUUCUCAUUUUAAAGUAUUUUUUAAACUCAAAAAUAUUUUAAUUACAUCCUCAAACCAUCAAUGAUAUAUCAAUAAGGGUCUUCUGUUAUUAAAAUAUUUAAUUUAACUGUUAAAUGAGACGUUAAAUCUUACAUGACAUAAUUUAAAAUGAAAAAUUUAAAGAAAAAUAAAUAUUGUAAAAAUAUUGGUUUUGAGGUUUUCAAAGCUUUUACUAAAACCAUUGUUCACUCUCUAAUUUUUUCAAUCUUACUCUUUUUUUUUUUGGUUUUUAAUUUUAAAAGUUAUGGGACAACAUUUUUUUUCUUUCAAAUUUUCGUUUUAAAUUACGUCACAUAAGAUUUUACGUGUUAUUUAAUGGUUUCAAUAAUGGAAAGACCUACUUGAUAUAACAUUUGAUAGUUUAAAAAAUGUAGUUUUGAAGUUUAGGGACCAAUUUAAAAUAAUGGUAAUCAUAGUUUGUGCAUGUCUUGGAAUUAACCCUAUUAAUAGUUUUAAAGAAAAUAGGAAAGUGGAACAAGUUUUAUGGACAACAGCAAAUAUGUUUCCGAGGAUGAGGUAGUCAACUUCAACACUGGCUUUUGCACUAUUACGAUAUGUUACCAUAAUCUCGAGCUGUCAACAAUUGUUAGCUACCUUUUCUUGCCUUAAUUACGUGGAUUUGUUCUUAUCUUUUUUGUUCUUUUUCGGAUAUACUGCACCCAAAACAAAGGAAAAAAGAAAUUAAUUUGAAAGCGUAUUCUAACUGUUUUUAAUUCCAGGCUUGGAUCCACCAAAAUAUCCCAUUUCAAACUUUCAAGAACCGACUAAGAAAUUAAAACGUAAAUUUAUAUAUUUUUUUUCCUUCCUGAGAGGAACAAACAAAUUAAUUUUACUUAGAUGAUAAGCAUGUUAUAAUCUAAUCUUCGAAAACUUUCUUUUACUUAAAAUGAGAGAUAUUUAUAUAUUAAAUCCCAUAUUGAUAAAUUAAUUAUUCAAUCACCUCCUUUAUCAACACAAGAUGUUAAAAGGUGUAAAAUAUUCUAUAUUCUACAAAAAAAAAAAAUUGUGCAUUAUUGGAAAAGACAAACUUACUUGUUAGGUUGCCUUAGAGGUUUAUCUUAAUUGUUAUCCUUGGUACAAUCAUUUAAUUUUUAAUUUUCCAAGCUGGUGAAGAUUUUUUUUGUAUAUUUGUUUUAAAAUAUAUCUUAGAGUUAGGAUACAUAGUGAAGUAGAACAGAUGUCUUCAAAGUCACCACUGCUUCAUAUCUGAUAUGCUUUGUCUCAUUUCCGUUCUGGAUGUGUAAUAUUAAAAAUCACUAUCACUUAUAUGGAUGUUAGAUAUAUUCAUUCCGCUUCACUUUGAUUUGGUUUUUACUAGUUUUUUUUUAAUAUUUUUAAUCUUUUUAAAGUGCCAACAAAUAUUUAAACAUAAUUAUUUAAAAAUAUAUUUCUGAUAGUCUCAAUUUAUUCUUUAGAUUUGGAAAAAGAUAAAAGAAUUUAAAAUAUUUUUCUAUAACAAACUUUUUAGAUUUUUCCCUCUUAAUAAAUUUACGUUUAAAGAUAAAAUUGUAAUUUCCUGCGGUAAAAUAAAGCAUGAUAGGAUAUAUAUAAAAAAAAACUUAUCCAUCCCACAUUGCAUCCAUUUUUUAGAAAAUUAUUCACUUCAUCCAGAACGAAUAUUCUAUUAAUAAUCUAUUUAAAUAUUUAAGUUUUACCAUCCUACGUACAUAAACAUAGAUACUGUAAAAUUUGAAACUUUCACUAGGGAUAAGUGAGAUGAUUUUUUCUAUUGAAUUUUGCAAGGAUAUACUCGUUCCAUCUAUUUUUAUUUUCUUAAAAACCAACUAUAUACAGUAUUACUAUAGAUGUUUAACUUUUUAUUCUGGUAAGUAAUAAAGUUAAAAAUUAUUUUUCAUUAAAGAAAAAACUUCACCUAAUUAGUUCCAUUCACAAAAUUAAAAUCUCCAUCCUAAGAAUCUAAGUUAGGAAUCUAGAGUUUGGUCCACACUUACAUAUUUAUUAUAUAUAGAUAACCCCUAACUCCAAAGGGGUUGAUAAUAGUUAUUAUUACUAUAUAAGAAAUUGGUGUGCCAUGCAAAAUUGGCAGAGAUUGCAGCUAAGUCUUUCAUAAUAUAUGAACAAAUAGUAAACAAUAUAGUCAAGUGAUGAUGGGUAUGAAACGCACAAAAGCAGAAAAAAAAAGAAAGGCAAGAGGAAAAUAGCUUUUAGCCAUGCCUCUUACAUAUAUUUAAUCAAUGCUUCAAUCAUGUCACUGUAAAUGUAAAAAAAAAGUCUACUACCCCAUGAUCAUGAUGUCAAUAUAUAUAUUUUCUGAUAUGGUAUAAUACAAGCUAACACUCCUUGAUUUUUUUUUUUCAUCUUCUUUAGCUUCUUAGAAGGCAAAUAGACAAUUAUUUUAUUAUUAUUAUUAUUACAAGGGGGAGUGUGAAGAGAAAAGAGGAAAAAGACAGAAAGUGCAACAUCAGAGGGGCUCCCCACAACCCUUUGGCUUGUGGUUUUGGGUUCUUGUUUUCGGACAGCUUUGAGGAUUAAACAAGCAUUUCUCCUCAUCCACAUCUCUCUUUCUCUCUCUCUCUCUCUCUCUCUCUCCCACUCUUUGUCUGAGUUUUAUGAGUUGAUCAGUUUCAUAAUUUUGUAUGGUUAUUGUUGGAUGUUGUUUUAGGUUUUUAUUCAUAACAUGAAGCUUAAAAGUGGAUAGAGAUCGAGGAUCUGCAUAAACCUCUAUAUCUGGUUACUUAUAUAUAGAGAGAAAGUUAUAAAUACUUACAACACUGCUUAUUCUAUUUGUUUCUUUUGAGAGAAUUUCUUUAAAAAAAAAAAACAUUGUCUCUUGGGUUGAAUCCAAUAUGAUGAUGAUUAUUUUAUAUAUUCACCCAUGUAUAUUAAGCCUAGCUAAUCAAGUAUCAAUUUAUUUCUCUUUUAUCACUUAGUUGGUGUUUUUUUUUUGGGUUUUUUGUCUUUGGAUUUUCUUUUUUCCUUUUUUUUUUUUCCCUUUUUUGGUUUGUAAAAAACCAAGAUCCAUGGCCCAUGAUAUGCAAACUCUGGAGGUGGUCAAGUUCAUUGGUUUAUGUAAGAGAAGAUGAUGAAAAGCUUUAUGUUCCACCAACAACAACAGCAACAGCAACAACAACAACAAGUUUUGGAAGAGAAUAUGUCUAAUUUGACUUCAGCUUCUGCAUCUGGUGAAGCCAGUGUUUCAUCUGGGAAUAGAACUGAAGCCGGUUCUAAUUAUCCUCAACAGUACUUCACCACUAGUCAACAACCUCAAACUCAGCCAGUUAAGAGAAAGAGAAACCUACCAGGCAACCCAGGUUUGGUUUGGGUUCAAAAAGCUCUUUACCUUAACACCAUUCUUUUUUGUUACUUGUUUUGUUCGUUUCCUUUCCUACUUUCACUUUCCUUGUCCGGGACUCAAUUUUUAAUGCAUUUUCUUGGUGGGUUUUUUAUUUUUUAUUUUUUAUUUUGAAUCAUACCCAGAUGCAGAAGUGAUCGCUUUGUCGCCAAAGACACUCAUGGCGACAAAUAGAUUCGUGUGUGAGAUCUGCAACAAAGGGUUCCAAAGAGACCAGAACCUUCAGCUUCAUAGAAGAGGGCAUAAUUUGCCAUGGAAGUUAAAGCAAAGAACAAACAAAGAGGUGAGGAAGAAGGUGUAUGUAUGUCCAGAAACAAACUGUGUGCACCAUGAUCCGUCGAGGGCGAUGGGGGACUUGACUGGAAUCAAGAAGCACUUCUCGAGGAAACAUGGCGAGAAGAAGUGGAAAUGUGAAAAGUGUUCGAAGAAGUAUGCGGUUCAAUCGGAUUGGAAAGCUCACUCCAAGACUUGUGGCACCAGAGAAUAUAGAUGUGACUGUGGAACCCUCUUCUCACGGUAUCAUAAAUAGUUAACAUUUUUCCCCCCAUGAACACAAUUAUGAACCAACAAAUCUUCAUUUAUUGAGGCAUGCACUUGAGUAUAACUUUGAACAAUAAAAAAAAAAAGGGGGUCCUUAGACUGUAAGCUUUACAUUCUUUGUACAUUGAAGAAUUCAUUGCAAUAUAUACAUCUAGCAGUUCCUAGUUUUCACACCCUAGAGAGAGAGAUAGAGAGAAUGAACAUUGAAAUUUUGUUUUGCACUAGCUCGAGUGGACAGUUUGUCCUAUGCAGUGCACUCACAGUGAAAGAGAAAAAAGAAAAUGAAUUGGAUACAGAAAAGAGGGAAGAGAAAGUAUUUAUCUGCCAUUGUCAUAGCACUUUAUGACUGGUUUUGUUUUUGUUUUUGUUUUGUUGUGCUUAAUUUUUUACUUGAAAACUUUCUUUUUUCUUUUUCCAGGAGGGAUAGUUUCAUCACCCAUAGAGCCUUCUGUGAUGCUUUAGCAGUGGAGAGUGCAAGAGCAAUAAACCCACUUCUCUCCCCUCAUCAACCAGGCACAGCAGCAGCAUCUCACAUGAAUUUACAAGUGCCCCAAUUCAAUCCCCAUGACAUCAAACUCCAAGCAUUUUCACUUAAGAAAGAGCAGCAAAGUUUCACGCCUCUAAGGCCAGAGAUUCCACCAUGGCUGGCUAGCCAACCGAUGCUCGGGGCUGGUCCUGGCCCACCACACCCUAUCGACCUUUCCUCCCCCUCAUCAUCAAUAUUCUCCCCGAGAUUAGAUCAUCAAGAUUUAACACUUCAUGGAACCCCCAGCGCUAACCCUAGUCUUGUCCCCACACUCCCUCCAUACCAUCACACAGCACUGCCUUCCCCUCACAUGUCAGCCACUGCAUUGCUCCAGAAAGCAGCUCAUAUGGGUGCGACCAUGAGCCGUAAAUCUGGGUCAUCAUCAGUACCGUCCACUGUUGCAGCAGCAGCAUCUGCCUCUUUGAUGAGACCCCACCAACAAACUCACGUGUCUCCCGAUUCUGCUGGCACUAACAACAACACAACAACAGCUGGUUUUGGACUCGACUUGCCUUCACGUGAAGAACUAGAAGUGGGUAGCAGCAGUGGCAUUAUCCACGGCUUGGCUCCUUUCGGGAACCGUAAACCUGCUGCCAAUGCAGGCGAUGAUGAUGAUGAUAAUAAUAAUAUUGCUGGCUCAGGUGCUACUCCUUCCCUUCUUCAAGACAUGAUUAACUCUUUGUCUUCUGCCACUGGAUUUGACGCCACUAAUUCCUUUGAUGACAUUGCAUUUGGUGGGAUUUUUAACGCAACAAAGAAGCUAUGUGGCAGUUCCAUCAACGAAUCCUUCUCGAAAACAACUACACCAACAGUACCCACGACGACAAACGGCACUAGAAACGAUCACCAUGGAAGUACUGCCGGUAGUACCACCACCACCACCACCACUCAGGGUGGUGAUCAAGGCUUGACAAGAGAUUUCUUGGGUCUUCGAGCUUUCUCUCAUACCGAUAUUCUCAACAUUGCCGGUCCUGGUCGUAAUUACUGCAUCGACACUUCGCAAGAACAACACAACCAGUCUCAAAAACCAUGGCAAGGUUAGGUAAUAUAGCAACUCUUUUUUGUUCAAAUGCUAUAUCUUAAAUUUUAUAAGCACCUUUUUCGUAUUUUAUUCUGUUUCUUUAUCUUUAAUUAAUUUCCUUCUACCUUUUGCUACAAUCUUUCUAAAGGGAAGGACCUCUAAAAAUACUGAUAUAUAUAAUAAUAUCAGUUCUUCUUCAUCUUCAUAUAUGUGUAGCCCAUGUUACAAACUUUUACCUUUUUGUUUAACUUUAAUAGUAGUAUAUUCUUCAUUCACACACAUAUAUGUAUGUAUAUUCAUAUAAAAGCUGACCUGCAAAGCAAAACCCUAAGGUUAAUAAUAUAUUGGGUGAUAAAUGAUAGCAGCUUCCAGAGGAAAGGAACAUGAUGAUGAAUAUGACACCAAUUAGUGGGUUUAGUCUUAUAAUCUAAUCAUAUUUAUUAGGUGAUUUUUUUAAUUCUUAAGUGCCUUACGUGUAACUAAGCACCCAAUGUAAAUCCAGUUUAUAAGUUAUGAUUAUUAAUUUUGAAAUUGAUGAGGUUGGCUUAGUCUUAAUUAAUUCGCCAUAUGGUUGUUUUAUCAUCUUUAUAUAUUCAGGUUUUUCUAUAAAAUUUUAUUUCGAAUCCAAAUAAUACUAUCAGGUUAUGCAAUCAUUAGUUUUUAGUUAUGAUUAUGGUUCAUGCACAAGAAAUCUUAGUAUAAGUUUGUAAUAAUUAGAUGAUUUAUUAUAUGUCGGAAAACUGUGUUUAUAUCACAUUUGUCAUGAUUAAGUAUGAGAAAAAACAGAAUUGGGCUAUUAUGAUUUUCAACGCGUAAUCAUGGUUUUUCUAUUUUACAUCAUUUUGGGAAGUGAAUCUAAAUGCUUUCUUAUAAAAUUUCAAUUUCAAGUCUUGUUCAUUUUAUUCAUAUAUAUAUUUAAAAAGUAUGAUUAUAUUCAUUUUUUUCAUUUUAAACUAAUUUAUGUGAGGUAUGAAUAGUAUACGAUUAUAUAAAAAUAAUUAUAUUUUUUUCAAAAAAAAAUUAAAUAGCAUCUUAUUAAUUAAUAAUGCAUAAAAACAUACUAUGUCAUUAUAUUCGUGGCCAACAUCUAUCUCUUAAUGGGCCUACAGAAUGUGGAGGGUUUGUUAUUAGACUUGUUCCGAUAGAUAUCUUGAUAAAUCAAAAAAAGAAAAAUGUUUUUUUUACAAUGCAAGAUCUACAAAGCUAUUAACCAUUUCCCCUCAUUUUUAAAUAAAAGGUCGAUUAAAUCACAUAUAAAGUGGAAAUAGUUUUAUGUUUAGGUUUUUUUUUAAAGAGAAAAUUUAUUAAUUCAUUCUAUGAAUGGGACAAUAUAAUUUAGGAGGAAGAAAAAAAAAUCAAAUAUAUGUCGUUGAUGGUAAAGGACAAGUUCCAUCAACAUGACAAAAGUUUCAGUCUUAGUAUCAAUAGAAUAUUAUGGCACGUUGAUAACCAGCUCAUCACAAUAUAAUACUUAAAGACAAUAUGAGUCCAAACCGACUUGUGAAAUUAUUUAUUAUUCUAAAAUAUUAUCAAAAUGGAAAUAAAUUAAGAAGCCGAAGAAAAGCCACCAUUCGAGUAUCUAUGACCAACCUACUUUCUAAGAGAAAUUUUGGUGGUCGAUGGAAGUUUAGCGAUGAUAGACACCGUCAUAUGUUCAUCACAACUUAUGGAUGUAGCGAAAGUACUCAUAAAAUAAAUUUGCAAACGGAAACGAGAGAAAACAUGUAGAGUGAACAAGGAAAAUGAAAAAAAAAAAAGAAGAAGAAGAGAAAAUUAAUAGGAGGGAGAAAAAACAUGCGGUAACCAACUAAAAAUUAACACUGCGGUUGGAAAAAAAAUUAUAUUAAAAUAUUUAAUUUACACAAACGAGUUCAAUAUACUUAUAAUUGUUGCUUGCCAGUUGAUUAUUUACACCAGUCAUUUGAAUUGGUAUGAAAAUUAUAUUUUCUAUUAUCGAUAAUUUUUUUUAUAAAGAAUAUUUUGAGGAUAAAGUUGUUAAUACCUCAAAUUAAUAUGAUAAAUUUUAAGGGAAAUUUUAAACUCGAGCCAAACAUAUUCAAUAUUUUAUUUCUCAACUUGUAUUUUGAAUUGACACUGUACACAUACAUGAUUGAGCAAUAAAAUGAUAUAUAUUUAUAUAAAAAUAAUACAUUGUUUUUUUAACAUCAAAGUAGUUUUGCUCAAUUAUUUUGACUUUUUAGUUGAUGUGAAGGCAAAACUUUCCAUUAUAAGUAAACUGAUGAUGCUCCCACUAACUAUAUAUGUCCAUACUCAUGGUUAUCCUCCUUGGAUUUCACUUAAUAUCCUUUCUCUUUAAUUUGCUCUAUUUUAAUAAUGUGAAUAUCAAGGAACGUUGAUAUAUGAUAAAAAUCACGAAAAUUUUGUAUUAUGAGUCAGAUUAUAUUUUAUUCUCAUUUAUUCAAAAUAUAAUUAAAUUAAUCCGCGUACGUUGAAUUAAAGAGUAAACUAAUAUUUUUCUGUUAAGAAUUUUCGUCUACAUUUUAUUGUUGAAAAUUAACAGGGUUGAUGGAAUAAUCAAUUAGUUACACAUGGCCUCAUACUGACGUGUAGAAACCAGUUGUCACUAGUAGAUAUGAAUGGAAUGUUUAACAAAAUGAUUAAUUUAUUCUUUGAUCUAACGUGAAUAAACUAAUUUAUCUAAUUUUUAAUAAAGAUGACAAAAUAUAAUUCGACUAUUUUUACUAGUGAUAUAUUAAAAAAAAAAAAAAAAGAGUUUGAAAUUUAAAUAUAAACGCAUAUGUAAAAGUUUUAAGUGAUGCAUUGGAUUCCCAACAAACAAAUUAGUUAAGUUGGCUAAUGUGAAGAAAUGGGCAAGUUAGCUAGUGUUUUAUUUUUUCUUUCCGAAAAAAAAUGAAGAAAAAAGAGAUGCUGUCUGACACAGGUGUGGAUGCAAAUGGGGAUUCAAUCCCAAGAAAAAGGAUCUCUUUCCUUUGUGUUUAUUGGAUUUUGGCCUCUUCAGAUUAAAAAAAAAAUAUUAAUAAAAAAGGACACUUCCCGUUUUCAUAUAUACUUUUUUCUAUUUAAUUUAUACAAUUUUAGUAACCUGUGAGUUUUAUCAUUUCGUGCUACAUUCAAUUCAAGUUUUUUUUAUUUCUAAGAAAUUAUUUCACUUAAAAAUCUUAGGCUGCUUCAACUUAAUUUAACUUGCAUACUCAGCAAUGAGCCUUAAUUUAAAGAUAUUGUUAGAAGUUAUAGGAAUUUUGAAAUUUUAUUUAUUAUGAUUUAAGUCUUCAACAUAUUUUGUUUAUUAAUACAAUCAUGGUUGAUUUUAUGUAUAAAUAUUUUGAUGUAUUAUUUAUAAUUAAAAUAUUAAUGUAGUAGUAAAAAAACUUAUACUAGUAGAUGGAAACAUGUUUUGUCAUAAAAAUACUAUCCUCUAGUGCAUAUAAAACAUAAUAAUGCCAAACAAGUAUAUGCAUACAAAAAAACUAUAUAUACACUAGAUUAUUACAUAUUUAUGAUGUGGGUGAUUUCUUUUCUUUUUCUUUUUUAUGUAAAAGUAUAUUUAUUUUAUAAUUAAAUAAAAUUUUGGUUGAAAUAGUAAAGUUGAAGUGUUUUAGGUUCAAGUUUCAUAAUGUAUAAGUUUUUAUUGUUUUUCUAUAAAAAUAAAGAAAAAUAAAAAACACCACAAUAAUAUAAUUUAUUUUGUAAAAUUAAUUUUUUAAUAUUUUUAGUUGAGUAAAGUUAAUUGGUUUUAAUGGAUUUCUAAGGAACAUACGAACAAGUAUCUAUAUUUUGAAAUAUAAUUUAUAUAAAAAAAUACAAUUAUAAUAAAACAUUACAUUCAUACAUUAUUAAAUAAUUAAUUAAAUUUUCGUCAUUAGGCACUUAAAUCACACGUGUUCCCUUCUCUCAACAUUAUAUUAAUAAAAAACAACUAACUAAAAUAUCGAAUUAACAAAGAAAAAUACAUUUUUUUUAUACAAAUACCAAACUCACGCGUAAUAAAGUUUAAUCUUUGCUCUAUAUAAAAUAAAAAUAAAAAUAUUUGUACCUCAAAGUUGGCCUGCUUCUUUUAGUUUAGAAAUCACUAUUAGUGCAAAUAAUAAAUGCAUAUUCAAACAAGCCCUCCUUUGGCUUUGAUUUAUAUUUUAUACCACGGUCAUGAUAAUAUUAUUCCAUUAAUAAAUGUUAACAGUGCUUAGUAACAUUCAUUAGGGCAAUGAGUAGAAAUUGUAAUUUAUAUAAAUUAUUUUAAUUUCAGUAAAUAUAUAUAUCUCUGAUUUCAAAUUCAAACCCUAAAGGUGUCCACAGUGAGUAUCGCAAUAAGACCCAAAAAGGUUCCAUAAUAAUUACUCAAAAGUUGGAUAGGAAUGCUAAAUAAAGGAAAAUCAUGGUUGUGCAUCAUUUAUUCUUCCAAUAAAUUUUCUUUUUGCCCUUUGCUUUUUGUCCUUGAAGAGCUUUUGUAAUAGAGAGUAGUGUUGAGUGAUCAAGUGAGAAUGUUAUCAAAGUAGGGUAUUAUUAACCUAUCAUAAGAAAAGUGAUGUAAACCUUUACAAAUAAUAAUAAUAAUUAAAAGAAAAAAAAUUGAGAAAAGAUGCUUAUCCCAAAGAAAUAUUGCUAUGUUAGGUCAAUUUAAACAGAUGUAUGAGCUAACUUUAAUAGUGGCAAUGGCACCUGUCAUUUCAUUUUGGUUUAGCCAAAAAGGAACAAAAAGUUAAGAAUAUAUAAAAAUAUAUUUUCUUUUUUAAAAAGAAAAGAAAACAAAUCAACCCCAAAUCUAUAUUCCCCACUUUUCCUUUGAUUUCAUGUGCUAUGUUGUAAGGCAUGCAUGUUCAUCCUUCAAAUAACCACAGAUUCAUUCUUGAUCCCCUUCUUUUUGCUAGCUUAUAUAUAUAUAUAUAUAUAUAUGGUUUCUCUUUUAAGAAACUUUAGUUUAAAAGAUUGGCAUGUUUUGUCAUUUGCACCCAGAAUUUUCGCUCAGCUCAAUAAUAAUAUUCUUAUUAUAUAUUAUAGCAGGCAUGGUAUUAUAGUAUGGGCAUGGCAUGAGCAUUGCAUGGUGGGAUAAAGCACAAUCCCCUAUUUCCCAUAUGUAAUGUCUCAACUAUGAGUUAAAAUGUGGUGGUUACUCAACAUAAGAUUGGGAGUUGGAUUCCUACCCAUGAAAAUAUAACACAUUUUAUAAUAAAUUGUUUAUCUCUUUGGAGCACCUACGAAGAAGAGACUAAUUAUUAUUACUAGUGAUGGAUAUCUUAAUACAAAUAUGAAAAGAGAAAGAGAGGGGGAUAAUAAGCCCAAGUUGAGAGGUACUUAUUUAAUUAUUUUAUAUUUAAUAUGUUUUUUAUUCAAGUCAUGAAAUUACAAAAUUUAAACAUUUUGUUAACAAAUGCCUUAACAGAACUCUUUUAAUGUUAAUAUAAUAUAUUUAUGUGCUACAAUGAGUUAGAGAUAAUGUAUUCACAAUAAUUUACAUAGUGAUUGUAUGGAGGGACGUUAAAUUUUAAAAAAAAAGAUGAUAAGAGUUGGUGAAGUUGUAGACAAUAGAGAGUAUUGCAUGCGCCCUCUACAUGGGCCCUCUACAUGGGCUUCUGCCUGCUUGUACAUGUGUCUUUUAUAUAGUUAUUAUAUUACCUGUUGUUCUUUAAAUGAUAGGUUUGAUGAGUCAUGGUAAUUCUUAGACACGUAUUUUCAAUGACUAUGGAUAAUCAUAUCUACGCAUAAAUCAACUUAAAUAAAUUACAAUGAAAUCAAACAAUACUCACAUGAUAAAAAGAGUGGUGAAGUAGGUGAGCAUAACAAUACAUAUAUAAUAUAUUUACUGAAAAUGAUCAAUGAAAUUGUAAUUAUUGCAUUUAACGUAGCUUAGCAAAAUAAAGUGCAGUUAAUAUAAUAUUAUUACUAUGAAUAAUGUAAAAGUAUCCAAGGACAUUGGUUAAUAAAUUUUUUUUUUAAAUAUCACCUCGAUUAGAUGGUGGUUACCAUUAUACAUGUUAGAUAUGCAUAGCAGAAAAGAUGGUAAUUAUCAAAGCUGUGAUUGUGUAGGUAGAAAAAAACCAAUGAUUGGGGGGGCUUUGUGUGUUGUUGUAGAGUAUAUUCAUGGCGUGGGCAUUGAAGCAUAUGAUGAGAGGUAAAAGCACCAACUUAACUCGUCAUUGUAAAAAUGCUCCCUAGUUAAUUAAUUAUUAUGAAUCACAUGCCUUUUAUCAUUGACUUGCCUUCCAUCCCCACCAUUUUCAUUUCUUCGUCAUUCCUCGCUUUUUCUUUUUUCUCUGCCAUCUACGCCUUGGAUUUUUACAGCCUUUCAUGGUUUUGAUCUCUAUGUUGAUUUCCCCUUUUUACUUUUUCACUGAUAAAUAUUAAAGACUUCAAAAUUUAGAUACGACGAAAAAAUUAAUUUUUUUAAAUUGUGAAAUAGAUAUAAAAAAAAUGUUUUAAUUAUACCAAAAAUAAAAAGAGAAUUUCUCCUUCCCAAAGGCAAAUUUUUUACAUCACAUCCGCGCAUUACUCGCAUAUAUAAUUAUAUACAAAAUGGGAUAUAAUUAUGUAACUUUAAAAUAUUAAAUUCAUUAUAAAACAUAAAUCUAAAAUUUCAAAGAGUAUAAGAUGAAACAAAUAUGAAAGCUUCAUUGGCCGCAUCGUGAAAAUAAAAAACAUGGUAGAGUUGAUUUCAGUUUAACUAUAUGCCAUCAAGAAGAAAAGGUUAGAUGUUUAUUUAUAACUCAUUUUUUUUAUGUAUACCUUAAAGGAUACGUGUUAUCCUGUUUUGUAGUGCUAACAAAUUUCAUUGAGAGGGAUAAUUUCAUGUCUAUGUAUAUAAUUCAAAAUCCAUGAAACCAUUUUAUUUUAAGUUUAACAACUCAAAUGGUUAAAUUGUUAUAUUAGUCCUUCCAAAAAAAAUUAUAAUUUAAUUCAAGGUUUUUUUAUAUAAAAUUUAUGCUUUUGAUCCUCCAAAAAAAUUUAUUUUUAUUUCCUCUCUUAACACAAAAUUCUUUGUGAAAGAAUAAUUUUGUAAAGUAAAUCAUGUAGGAGGAUUUUCUCUUAGGUGCUUGCUAAAGAAAAACUACAAAAAUAGGAUAUGGUAUUAAAACCAGGCUUGAAAGCCAAGUCCAGAUCCAAGAGCUCAAUUUCAAUAUAUAAGGCCCAAUGUUUUACUACUCACUUCUUUCCCCUUUAGUUUAACUGGAACCUCCAACAACAUUCAACGGCAACGCUAAUCCUCGCGCAGCAUCACGUAGCCAAACUAUCAGCCCGGAAAAGAGUGUACUUUCGGACCUCCGGUCCUAUUGCCUCCAACUUCUAAGAAAAACAUGGAUCCCAUAUUGAAUAAAUAAAAUUCUUGCUCUAUUUAUUUUACUAUUAAUUAUAAAAAAUUUAAACAAGGUUUAGAAUUUUAGAAUUUAAAGUUUAAGAUUUUAUUUGAAUUUAAUAAUUAAUUUUUUUUUAAAAUUUGACUGCAAUGUUUAGUUUGAUAUUUGUGUGUUUUCAAUUUAUUAUUUGAAUUUUUUUUGUCGUAAUUAAUUAUUUGAAUUUGAUUUAAAAAAUUAUUUUGAUAGAAUUUAAUAUAUUAAUCUGAUGAUUAAGAUAUUCUGUGACUUAAUAGGGGCAUAAUUAAGACUUUACCCUAGUUUUGUAAUUCAUUCAAAUUUUUUUUUUUGAUAAGCCAGUAUUUUUUCAUCGAAAUACUUGGAAUUUUUUUACUACAUUGCAUGUGCUAAAUACUAAUUUAAUCAUUUUGGCUGACGUACUUUUUGAGUAGUUUAAAAAUAAAUAGAUAAGGCAAAUGUAGCAAAUAAGAAAUUCUGAAAACCGUUAGGUGAGCCGGUUCUUUUCCUUCAUUCCGAACUCAACACGACAACCCAUUUUGGAGCAUUACAUUUGAUUUUAUUUAAUUUUAUUAAGAAAAUAUUACAGUCAAAUGAAUGAUUUCACUAACCCGAAGAACAAUACUUUGGAAGCAAGCGACACUAUAGCUGAAAUGGCAAAGUAAAUGAAUCGAAGUAAAAGCCUAGCUGCGACCUCCAAAUCAAUUACAGCAAUGGCGAGGAAGCGAAGCAGCAAAACUAUGUUGAUCUUCUUCCUUUUGCUUUCCCUUUUAGCUUUCCUUUCUUUCCUUCCCGUCUUCGCUUCUCUCCCUUCUCUUCCCUCUUACUCUCACUCUCACGAUCUUCACUUUCAUCUUCCUCGUCAUCAGCGUCUGCAUCGCCGCCAAAAGGUAAAGUAUCUUCUGACAACAAAUGCUUUAGCUAUACUUCAAAGUAGCUUUCAAAUUUAUAUUUAUUUUUUUAUAUGUGUGCUCCUUUUCUGUUUCGAAUUGAAGGGAAUUAGAUGUAUAAAUAGUUGAGUUCUGUUGCCUUUCCAAAGGAAGAAUUAAUGAUGAUAUGAAGUUAUGAAAUUUUAGUUACUGACGUUGUUGUUUAUUUAUUUUCUUAAUCAUGAGAACAAUAUGAAAAUUAAGGAAGCAAAAAAUUUAAAAUUUUCAUGGUAGCUGUUUUUUUUUUCUUCUUAUUUGGAUUUAAAUGUUGAAUGAUAUUCUUUUUUUUGUGUUUGAUCGCAAGUCAGAUUGGUGUUAGAAAAUUUGAAAUUGCGGAGGAUAAGUUUUGGAAAGAUGGGAAGCCUUUUCAGAUAAUUGGUGGUGACUUGCACUAUUUCCGGGUUCUUCCUGAGGUAUUUAUUCUUUCUGUUAGCAGUUAGCACUUAGCAUCUUCCAGAACUAUUCGUUCUUGCUAUUGUUAUUUUAACGGGAUAAGCGGAAUUGAGAAGAUUGUGGAAAGGUUCUUAAGGUUUUCAGCAUUAAGAGGGUAUAAAAAAAAUAGUAAGUUCUGAUAUUGUUAGAAGUGGGGAGUUGGUUGUUCCUUUUAUCCAUAACUAUCCUACUAUCUUAUGGAUGCAGUACUGGGAAGAUAGGCUUUUGAGGGCAAAAGCAUUGGGGUUGAAUACCAUCCAAACAUAUAUUCCUUGGAAUUUGCAUGAACCAGAGGCUGGCAAACUUGUUUUUGAAGGCAUUGCAGAUUUGGUAUCAUUUCUCAAACUUUGCCAGAAACUAGGUCUCCUUGUUAUGCUUCGAGCUGGGCCUUAUAUUUGUGCAGGUUCGCCUUUCUGUCAUGUGUGUAUAAUUUUUAGUCAUGUACUUUAUAGGUUACAAAUGGGUCCAGACUAUUUCCUAGUAGGUUGCUUCUUAUAUUCCUAGAAAUGAGGGAUUGAUGUGCUCUCAAAGUUUUAAUCUUAUAACAAUAAGCAUUUGUUUUCUUGUAUUCUUAUCUGAGACAGUUUCCCUCUUGUUGCAUGUGUUACUAAAGGGGCAUAAGAAAGAGAGGGGGAGGGGGGGCGGGGGGGAGAAGAAGAUUGUACAUUGUGCUUAAUGCUUACUAACAUAAUUGUUGGAUCUUGGACUGUAUCUCAUCGCAUAUAUUCUUGUGACAAUAGAUGUCUUAGUUGUUCUUGUGGCAAUGAAUAGAUAACUCAGGGUUGAUAGUGACAUGAUUUCCUUUUGGGGACAUAUGUCUCUUGCAGAGUGGGAUCUUGGAGGUUUCCCAGCUUGGUUACUUUCCAUACAUCCAGAUGUCAGAUUAAGGUCAUCAGAUCCUGCUUACCUUCAAAAGGUAUGAUCUCAUAUAGUCCUUACUUUUAAGUAUAUAAGAUGGGUGUUGGACGGAAUGUUCUAGUUUUCACGCUUGGCACAAAUUCUAUGUUGGAGUUGUAUUGUAUAGUUUCUGUUUGCUUAACAUGUUCUUGGAUGAUGCACUAAUUGGCAUUUUGUAUUUGCUGGAUUAUGUUUUGAAUAUGAUAUUACAGGUUGAAGGAUGGUGGGGAGUCGUUCUUCCAAAAGUAGCUCCUCUUCUUUAUGGCAAUGGAGGCCCUAUCAUAAUGGUUCAGGUACGGGCAUGGAAUAUUUUUAUUAGCUGCUAGGGUUCCUUUGAUAAAAUUAAUGUGCCACUUGGUUUUAUCUCCUAGGAUUUUAUGCAAUGAUAGGAAAGAUGUGCCUAUUUAUCAAAACAAAUUUCUCCAUCUGAUAAUUGUUCCAGCUGCUUCAUGUUGCUGAAUUUAACUGUCUAGAGUUAAGGCCAAUUGGGUGGUUGAUGUGAUUUCAAAGUUUACCAACUAUGGCACUUGUGGAGAAGAGCCUCUUUUGAUGAAAAAAGAAAAACCUGAGAUAACUAGGAACACUGAAGAUGCUAGAAUAAAAUAUAGAAGAAGAGACAAAAGACUAGCCAAUAUUUAACUACAUUUUAUUUGAAGGUUUUUUUUUUCCUUUUUGGCUAAGAGUGAAAAAUAAUUAAAAAAAGAAAUCAAUGAGCCUGGUACGAGUCUAGAUAGCUAACUCAGGGUUAUGAGCCCUCCUGUUAUGUGAGUUUGUAGCUCACCAUUUGAAAGAUUAUAUCGUGUGCCUGAAAAAAUUGCUUUUUUCACAUGUUUCUUGGCCUUCAAUUCUUUAUAUGACACAGGGAAAAAGAAAGCGAUAUUCUCUUUAAAUACAUAUUUCAUUCCUUCCAAUAAAAUAUGUUUAUUUAUACUGUUGAAUGUCAUUUUCUGAAAGUUUCAACAUUUUAUGCUAGUAAUCUUCAACUAUAAUGUGAUUUUAUACUUUGGUUUCAGAUUGAAAAUGAAUUUGGGUCAUAUGGAAAUGAUAAAGCUUAUCUUAGUCACUUGGUGAAGUUAGCUAGAGGGCAUCUUGGAGAAGACAUUAUUUUGUAAGAGGAUAUUUUCCUUAAUUCCCUUUUAUUGGUUACACCCUAGAUAAUCUUCAGUUUAUAAUGUAAAAUCUAAUUCUUCAGGAAAUAUUCAAACCUCCUUGAGUUGAUUUUAGUUGAGAAAACAUGAACUUCUAUCAAGUUGUACUGCAUUUCUAAGAUUUUGCCCAAUGGAAGCCAAAUAAAUCAGGUGUAUAGGUAGGAAAACUAAAAUUUACUGCAAAUACAAUCUUACAAUAAGGCCAACUGAAUGUGCAGAAGAACAUACCAAUUUGCUCAUAUUUACCAUGCAUUCCAAAUUACUGAUUGGGCUAUACAGCCUAUACUGGUAUCUUUUACUGAAGUAUGUUAUUGAACAUAUAAUCAUUGAAGGUUGAAGUAAUAGCUUCUGAAAUUUAGGUAAGAAAUUUUUUGGUUUUAUAGUUGGUACCAUGUUUUUUACAUUGUGAACAUUCAUUUUUUUUGACACUGCUAUGUAACCACGUUGACAUUAUAUACUGUUAAUGGAGCUUGUCAAACCAUUCUGAUUUAAAAUGUUUGUCAUCUAUAGUACCAAGGACUUGAAAGACAGAUCUGCAUUGGACUUUGAUACUGUUCCUCUUGGAAUUCUCUUUGAACUCUCUCUGAGAGCUGAUAACUAUAUUAAAAGAAUGUUUAUUGCGUACUAGAUGUAAAAGGACUCAACUUGAGCCUGCAUAUAUAUUGACUGAUUCUGUUUCUAUGCAUAGAGCAUGGUAGUAAGAGUUUAUAUCCUCCCUUCAAUUUUACUUCUUGAAAUUAUUAAGAAUUAGUAAGUAUUGAAGCGACAUGCUUUGAUCAAAUGACUUAAAGUACAGUAUUGUAUUCUUAUUUGAUUAUCUUUUACUUAUUUGGAUGAGUUAUGAUGGUUUCAGGUACACUACUGAUGGAGGCUCUCGAGAAACUCUUGAAAAAGGGACCAUUCAGGGAGAUGGUGUCUUUGCAGGUACUGCUCAAGAUCAACAUGUCCUUAUUUGAUAAGUUAGGAAAAUAACAGAUCAUCUCAUGACAUUAGAAACACAUAAUAAUCUUCCUAUUCAUCAACGCUUUCUGGGUAAGUUAUCAGCCAUUGGUAAUAUUAAUUCCACCCCCCUCCCCCCAACAAAGAAAAUAAAACUAUUGUUUUAUUUCCUCGUAUUCAUCUAUGCUUUUGUAUAGUGUAUCACCAACAAUUUUAUCUGCUUUUAUGCUCGAACUUUCCUAGAAGAUGAAUUCAAUUGACCAUUAAAUUUGAUGGUAGAUUUCUGAGUUUAGGUGCUGUACUGAGGCCAGAGAACUGCAUACUUUAAAUGGAGCUUUUCAUUGAAAUAAAGAUAGACAUACAUGUAUAUGCAGGCACACAGAAUUUCCUAAGUUAAUAGUAAUCGUUUCUGAUUUGUAGCUGUUGACUUCACUACUGGUGAUAACCCUUGGCCCAUAUUCAAGUUACAAAAGCAGUUCAAUUCCCCUGGGAAAUCACCACCGCUUUCUUCGUGAGUGUAUUUUUAUAAUUGAGCUUUGAGAAUUAUCUUUAUGAUUAAAAAAGUACGAAAGAUGAAUUUAUUUUUCAUCAUAUAACUAAAUUCAUUUAUGCGAAUUAUAGUUGGACCAUAAAUAAUUUUUUAACAAUUAUUAAGUACCAUAAAUGAUUUUGUUAUAAUGUAAAAAAUAAUACUAUAAGCAACUACGAAAACUUUAGUACAAUUAAUAAAAUAUGAUUUCUUCUAACCAUUAAUUCACGAUCCAAUUGUUGGAUUUUAAAACUUGAAGACUUCAACCUUAAAUGACCAGAAUCAAAUGACAUGAAUCGAAAUAACUUGAGUGUCAUGCCCCAAAUGACCUAAAUUUGGAAUGAUCUUAAACCCAGAUGACUUGAAUCCAUGAUGAUCCAAAUUUCUUUUGACCUCUAAUGCCAUGAUCCAAAGACAAAUUGACUUAUCCAUUUGACACCUCUAUGAUCAUAAUAGUGCUUUUGUUUCAGGGAAUUUUACACAGGUUGGCUUACACACUGGAGUGAGAAGAUGGCAAGGACAGAUGCAGAUUUUACUGCGGCUGCCUUGGAAAAAAUUAUGUUACAAAAUGGUUCUGUUGUGCUUUAUGUAUGUUUUUCAAUCCUACUUCUGUUGCUGUCUAGUUAUGAUCUGCAUGGUCAUGCUAUAAUUUAGGCCUUUGAGUUCCAGAUGGCACAUGGUGGAACGAACUUUGGAUUUUAUAAUGGAGCAAAUACUGGUGCGGAUGAGUCAGAUUACAAGCCUGAUCUAACAUCCUAUGAUUACGUGAGGAGGAUUUUUCCUUGUAGUUAGUUUUUUUAAUUUAUAUUAUUCAAGCUUCAAAUUGGUUCUGCUUUACCCCAGGACGCACCAAUUACAGAGUCUGGUGAUAUAGACAAUGCAAAAUUCAAAGGUAUAAUCCUACUUUGGCUGGCUGAAUAUACCUGGAUUAGAAGGAUAGUAUGUUGAAAUUUUGCAUAGUUUGAAGAACUUACAGACAACUUUGCUUACCAAGAAUAAUACAUAUUGUCUUAAAUGAAUAAGUGGAUGCAUUUAUCCAAAAAUAGACAUUAGUUACAGUGAUAUGGUAGAUAGGUAGAUAGGAGAUAGAAGGAUUUAAGUUGAUGGAUUUGACCAAUGGCUGAAGCUGAUUACCUGUUUGACUUCAAUUUACUGAGAUGGGCAUGGUCCUUCACUUGGUGUUAAAAAGGAAACAGCUUUCUCUAUAGCUGCUGCUUAUAUUCAUGGGAAUUCUACCUCUGUAUAUGAAUAUUGUGGCUUGCGAUAUAAUUACAGUUUUAAGUAAUCUAUACUUUCUGCAUGUUGAUGGACAUUAUAACCUGAUUGCUACAACCUUUGGAAAUUGGAAAAAGACGGGAACAGUAUCAUUUGAAUGGCUACUGUUUAUCGCAGAGAAUAUGAGUAAAUUUGCACCGAGGAGAAUGCUUCAGUGUAUUUCAUCUCUCAAUUUAUUGAAAAGGCAUUCUACAAGCCUUGUCAUCACUUUAUUUUAUUUAUUUAUUUUGUGAUAAGCUGUUUAUUUAUUGCUUUUUGUGAACUUUGAAGUCGGCAAUCUUAUUGUGACACUGAUUUGGUCUUUUGCAUGGUGAUAAUUUUACCGAAGAUACUAGUGUACAAAUUAAUAGUUGGGAUAAACAGCAUCAAACUAUAUUCUCUUGUAAAUGGUGUCUAUAUGCAUACUCCAUUCACUAAUCUGUUCCAAUUUCAGCCAUUAGGAGAGUGGUGGGGAAAUUUAGUUCAGUAUCUCUACCUUCACUUCCUCCCAAUAAUAAAAAGACUGGAUAUGGAUCCAUCCAGUUAAAAAGAACAGCAUUUUUAUUUGAUUUACUUGAUGAGAUUGAUCCUCUUCACAUUGUUGAGGCUGAGUCUCCAACUGCAAUGGAGUAUUUAAACCAGGUGUGCAAAAUUUAGAGGCUUUGCUGCUCAUUAGCUUCUAUGUUUAGCAAUUUAAAAAAUCUAAGAUUGCUGAAUAUUUUCUCUUGUUGUCUUUCCUAUCAUGCAGAUGUUUGGAUUUGUAUUAUAUGUAUCUGAAUAUGCAGCCAAAACUGGUGGAAGUAAGCUAGUUAUACCAAAGGUAUGCCGUCUUCCUCAUUUUGUAGUUAAGAUAACUAAUUUAUAUUUCCCUCCAUACUUCAUUAUUGACAAUUAAUUCAAAGAAUUUUGAUCUCUGUUGAAAAAUAAUUCAUUUGAUAUCUGUUGACAAAUAAUUCUUAAAAAUUUAAAUCUUCUCUAAAAUAUGAUGUUUGCAGGUGCAUGACAGAGCUCAAGUGUUCAUAUCGUGCUCUCCUGAAGUUAAUGGUGGGCAAGUAUCAUAUGUUGGUACAAUUGAAAGAUGGUCAAAUCAAGCAAUUAACCUUCCUAAUGUUAAAUGUGUUUCUAGCACCAGCUUAUUUAUUUUGGUAACCGACUGCCCUCAUGCUUUCAGCAUAUCACCCUUAAAGUUUUAUGCAAUUUGCCAAUUAGUUAUUUGUGACUGUUAAAUGAUAGCUUAGUGAAAGUAUUCUGGCUUGCGGUAUCGUUAAGCUUGCUAGUACUGUAGUUUAUCAAGUUACACACUUAACAAAUGCGCCCUAUGAACUAAGCUUCUCUAAGGCCGAGCAGCAAUGCCUUCUCAGUUUCAUGCUUUACUUUUUGUUUCACCUUUUGUUUUUAUUCAGAAAUAAAAAUUAUAUGAUUAAUCUUUAAGUUGAAACUAGAUAUCAUUCAUCUAUUUCACAUCUUUGUUUCUACGACACAUUUGCAGGUUGAAAACAUGGGUCGUGUAAAUUAUGGGCCAUACAUCUUUGAUAGGAAGGUAAACUGCCUGUAAAGCUGAAAAUUGUUCUUUUAUUUCUGAAAUGAUGCAAGGCCAAUGGUCAUAUUUUAUUUUUAUUGGCAUCACUCAAAUCCUAAACCAUUCCCUUUCAUUAAAAUUGUGCAAUUGUGCUAGUAAAUUUGAAAGGUAUAUUGAUCUAAUUGCCAUUUUUGGUGAUAUCAUCAAUCCAUUGCUUAUUAGCACGGAGAAAUAUUUAAAAUGGUUAUCUGGUUCCUUAAUGCUCCUUAGUCAGAGAAACUACAUUUCAAUAAGCUUGUUCAUCAAUGAAAACUGUUCUAUAACCACCACUUUACCAUGCAACAUCAGUACCUAUAGUCUGCUGUCGAGUUUUUCUAGUCUAACAGAUAAUCAUCCUUCUUGACUCCAAUUUUGUAGGGUAUUUUGUCUUCUGUUUAUGUGGACGGGAGUGUACUGAAAAGAUGGAAAAUGAUCUCAAUUCCUUUUCAUAACCUGAAUGAGGUGCCAAAAUUUAAUCCCGUCAUUCAGGUUACAUCCAAAUUCCAUAAAGUAUCAGCCGGCAAAAAACUAGAACACAAGUCAGGUAUGUCUCAAGAACACAAGAAGCAUGCUGUAUCACAUGGUCGUACACUACUUCCUACUGUGCAGUUUUUCGUUCAUCUUACACUUCUUUUAUAUACCUCACUACCAAGGAAAUCCAAUGGACAUAAACUAUGAUGCGAUAUAAUUAUCUUUUAAGAACUUGCUUUGCCUCACGCAGUUGGUGUUGAAGGACCAUCAUUCUACACUGGCCAUUUCUCUAUUGAUACGAAGAAUGAAGUUACUGAUACAUACAUUUCACUUAGAGGCUGGGGAAAAGGAAUUGCUUUUGUUAAUGAAUUCAACAUUGGAAGAUAUUGGCCGGUAAGUGCCUUCUCUCUGUGAAUAAAUCAUACACCUCUGAAAAUAAAUUAACUGAUUUUCUUUGCAGACUUCAGGACCUCAAUGCAACCUUUAUAUCCCUGCUCCAAUCCUUCGGCAGGGGGAAAAUGUUUUGGUAUGAAAUGCCUGUGCAAUCUAUUAAAUGAUUGUAUUUAUCCCAUCUCAAUGAAAAUUUCUUCCUUGACCGGUUUGGUUCGUCACUUUGUAGGUGAUAUUCGAGUUAGAAUCAUCGAACCCUGAGCUCAUGGUAGAUUCGGUUGAUCAGCCAGAUUUCACUUGUGGUCCAGGACAAGCAAGUGUGCAUCAAAAUGAAGAUGGCAAAGCUAGUGCGUCACUGUUAACAUCCAAUCCACUAGGGCUGCGUACUUUUUGAGAGUGUUCCCAAUUUCCACAGAGAAAUGUGCCUUUGAGUGUAUGCAGAUGAGCCAAAAAGAAGUGUGUAGAAGAAAAUAACAUUACUAUCACUUGAAACAAAAGCUGUAUUUUAUGCCAUUGGAUCUAAUAUUGUAUAACAAAAGACAUUCACAUCUGAAUUUGAAUGGCAAUAUACCAUCUUCUUUAAGUUUAAUUCAAAUCAAAAGUGUAGGUUUUUCUUAUUUCAAGUCAUUUAAAAAUAAAAACUCCGUGAUGACCAAAAUAGAAUUCCAAACAUAGUCAUCUUCUCUAGACAAGCUCCCAUGAGCAACUGACUACUUCACCUACAUUACAAAUGCCUACAAGGUGCUGAAAGAAAGAAUGAAAGAAAAGGAAGAUCAUUUUGGAGGUUGCUUAGACCCAUCUUUUUGCUCCUGUUUUGAUCCUGUCAUUGCAGCAGAAGCCGCUACAGUCAUAGCAGCCGCGGCUGCACCCAGUUUAGCACCACCAGCAGCCUUCAUUGCACCUGCUACUUUUGCAAAAACAGCUACCCCUCCUACAAGAAAAGCCCUCAAAGCUACUGUUGGUUUCACGGCCAUUUUGUUUAAGUAUCUGCAAUCCAAUAUCACAAAAAUUCAGAUCUGUAUUCUCAUUCAAAGAACUAUAUAAGAACCAUGUUCCUUAAACUGCAAUACAACUGUAGCUCAUACCCAUCAAAGAAAUUUUGGUUCAGUUGCCUGAAUUCAGAACAGAGUUGAAUCACAGUGACUGUCAUUUAUUUAUUCUUUCACUCUUUUCUUAACCAGUAAACUUCAACCACAGAUUCAAAUUCCCUCUCCAAACAUCAACUGAAGCUAAAAUUCAACAUGUGUUAAAAAUCCAUGGACUGGUACAUGGGACUACAGAUUUUAAACUUGAAUAGCAAGUCUUAUUGAGACCAAAUACCCAUAAGACUGAAACAUUCGACUAGAUUGUUAAGCUGAACAAUUUAUAGAUACUGGCAUUCAUUUUAGUACAACUCGAGCUUGACUCACAUCUAAAGCACCCUUGACUCUGGAUGAUCUCAAUCAUGUCAUCUUCGUUGAAAGAUUGAACUCAAGAAGACCUUUGUGACUAUAUUUACCGAUUCGUAACAUUGGGAAGCCCCUGUCUCUUAUACCAUGAGAGACCAAACAUGUUAUUCUUGUUGUUAAGUGUUGGAAACACUAGUAUUUUGUUGAGUAUAAAACACAGAAACCCUAUUUAUCUACGGAUAACCUUAAAAAAUAAAUAAGAGCCUCUUCAGCAUACAAGCAUACAGAAUAUUGAACAAUCAUCCAUCCCCAUAACUGAAGCACACAUUUCACAAUGCUAAAUUGCCUCAUAAAACAAUAUCUAAGAUACGGUUCAAAACAAUCCGACAAAAGAAGCAAAUAAAUGAAAAACAAAAAAGCUAAAUCUUGUCCUUUUAAGCAGUGUAAGAUCAAUUCUACGAUCUCAGCUUCAUUUUCAGAUACGUAAAAUCCAUCUUCCUUUUCCUUGGAAAAUUUCUAAAACAACUAAAAGCUGUUACUUCUAUCUUUGACCAACAAUCCUGAAAAAUAAUUUAAAAUUUAAUCCCAAAAAGCAGUUCUGAUGUAGAACCCAUUUUUUUUCAAAAUCAAAUCAAUUGUAAUGCCUUCCCUAUCCCAACCCAGCUAAAAAAAGUUUACCUUUUUUCCCUUUCUGUUUCCUCUUCAUUAGCAAACUUCAGGUUAAACAGCAAUAGAAAUAAUAAUUAAAAAAGAAAAGAGAAACAAACCCAGAUCAUAUAACAGGCAAUACAAGAGAUAGGAGAAACCGAACCUCGAAGAGAAAAUCUUAUCGAUUGAGUCCUUUUGCCAAUAGUUGAGAGAGAGUGUAAAAUACUAACGAGGUCUGUUCUUACUUUUUUUUUUUUCUUUUUUAAGUUUCAUGUUUUGGACACGUUUCCCAUUUUUCCUACCACACGUGGCAAAAAUUUAUUGGAAAACAUUUUAAAAGGCGUAGGAUAGCAACGACCCUCAUCUUCACUGUCUAACUGUGCGCCGCUGGAAAGGAGAAGAAGUGAGAGAGAGAGAAAGAAGACGAUGGAUCCGUACUUAGGAGGAAGCUGGACUAUGAUCCCCAGCAUCCCAACCCACAGUAACGUAUCUACUCCCACCAAUCAAGACCAUCUAUACCUUUCCCCUCCUCCACCCUCACAACAACAACAGUUUCAUCCACAACAAUUCCAACAACAACAGCAGCAGCGUCUGUUACAGCAGCAGCAACAACAACAACAACAGCAGCAGCAGCAAGUGCAGCAGAAUCAGCAACAACAGUCACUAGCUUCUCACUUCCAUCUCUUACAUGUAAUCCUUUAAACCACAAUCUUAACAAAGUUUGUCUUACACUAUAAAAAAAUUGAUGUUUUGCCUUCUUCUUUUUUUUAUGUGUUUGUUUGUGUGGGGUUACAGUUGGUGGAGAAUUUGGCUGAUGCUAUUGAUAAUGGAAGUCGGGAUCAACAUUCUGAUGCUUUGGUUUGUUGUGUUUUCUUUUUCUUUUUUCAAUUUUAAGAUUGGAUUUAGGGUUCCUUUUGAAGAUUAUUGAACUUUUAUUUUGCUGGGUUUUUGGUAAGGUUAAUGAACUGAACAAUCACUUUGAGAAGUGCCAGCAGCUUUUGAACUCGAUUGCUGCAUCAAUUAAUUCUAAAUCCAUGGUAAAUUAUCUACUCUUCUUGCUUUGGUUAUUUUAAGUUGUAAUUUCCCGUUUAUGUGUUAUGAGAUGUUGAUAAAGUUGCAUUCCUGUGGUUCAUGAAUUUUAACAAACAUGAAAGUACUAAAAAAAAAAAGAUGCAAGCUUCUGCAAAAUAAAUAUGUAAAUUUUAAUAUUUUUCCAUCAUUUUUGGAAGAUGUAUAUACAUAUUCAAUGAUGAUAAAUUCUAAAAAUGUGCUGACAUAUUAGUAUCAGUGUUUCUUUUUUCUGUUUUAUUGGAAGUUGUUUGUAUAACUUGCAAAUUUUUCAAUGCCGGAUGUAGACUGUUGAAGGUCAAAAGAAAAAGCUGGAGGAAAGUGAACAAUUGCUAAACCAAAGGAGGUAAAUUGUCGGUCAUAACUUGUGUUUUCUACAGUUUAAGUUUUCUACUUAUUGAAUAUCUGCAUUUGAUAUUCUUCAAUUCUAGGGAUCUGAUAGCCAAGUAUAGAAGCUCUGUGGAAGACCUUUUGAAGACCGAGCCAUAGUCGUUUCUCAUGCUACUAAGCACAGGUAAAAAAUGCAUACAGAAGAAUAUGAGUGACAAAUAUUGUCGAUAAAUAGUUGCAGUUUGCUGUUGUUUACUUUAACAUGUCAGUUUAAUGUCCAAUUUUAUGAUACUUGUUCAUAGAGAAUCUUGUUUCAAAGAAGGAAUUUUGCGUUGCGUUUUUGUACUUUGUGUCAAAUAAGUAAAAAAGUGUAUAGAUUGGGAGACUAGUAUGGUUUUAUGAAACCAUGUGUAUAUGGCCCGAAUUUGUAGUCAAUCCUAUUUCCUAUAGGAGAAGUUGAAAUUGAAUCCAACUUGUUUCAUUGGUUUUGUAUCUGUAAUAGUGCAGAAAGCUUAGCUUCAUGUUGUUCAAGAAUAGUAGUGUGGACUAGUUAGUAAUAUUUCUUGAUGGGGACACAGGGAAGGGAUAUAAUUCAAUGGUAGAAUGCCACCUUGUCAUAGAGUUUCAGUAAGGGCAUAUCGAGAUUAUGCAAGGGAACAACUAUGUAAAUGAUAGUAUUUAUCUUGCAUGAGAAUAAGAAAAGCAAAACGAAUUGAAUGUCUGUCAAGUUUUUGGGCAGCAAACAGCAAAACUGUACUUUGGUGAGCAGUAUUUUUCUGAGAGAGCCUACCUAUUAGAUAACUUUGCUACUUGGACUGAAUCUGUUCUUUUGGAGGUUUACGUUGCAUUGAUGAAACUUACUUUGCCUCUAGGAAAAUCUAUUUGUGGUGGUUCCACCUGUUAUGGUUCAAACUUUGUGAUGUUAUCAUAUUAUUCAUCUGCAGAACAUGUCAAGUUUGGUACGAAUCAAAAAGACAGGACUUCAAAUUCUUGUACUAUUGUCAUUGGAGAACUCUUUAGUUUCCCAGAAAAUUGUUCACUGCUAUUCUAGAGCCAUUGAAUUAGAUUUGUAUGUUUUUGCACUUAAUGUAUGAUAGAAUUGCUUUUUUCUGCUGUUUUUAUAUCUAGUUGAUACCAGUUUCAAAGUGCAUAUUUGUUCCCAUGAAACCAUUAAUAUUUUGUUUUGCUCUUUGAUUAUGUAAGAUUGAUGAUUGUUUUUCUUCAGCAAAUUUGAACUGCAGCUUUUGACUAUCUUUUUGGCUUUGUUGUAUUCAGGUCAAGAGCUUCCAUGUUUAACUCUGAGAGAUGGGAAGGAAACCCUGAGAACUUGUAAUCAUAGAAUGAAGUAAAACAGUUUCAUCUUGUUCAGCAAGUAGAAAGUUGUUUCUUUUCCUAGCUUUUUCUUAUAUCAAACUUUAGUUUAUAUUCAAAUGCAAUCUUGGGUUUCAUAAUUGUUUAGUGCCAUCUAAUAUCAUGGAGCUUUGAGUUUUAUUAUUGCUGGGCCCUGGGGGCUGCAUGUUUCUAAGGUCUAUAGUUAAAAGAAAAAGAUUGAUAAUCCUUGUCUACUCAUUUAACUUCCUUUACUGGAUUAUUUACUAGAUCAUGUGUGCGUAAUUUAUGACAAUUGUUGAAUAUGCUAUGGGUUCACCUUUUGAUUCACAAAUAUCCUUGAUGAAAUGCAAUACUCCCUAGCCCAUCGCUGUUUGUCUUUCCAGCUUCAAAGGAUGCCAUAGUUAAAACAAAGACUCAUUUUUGCAGGGGACCUGACCUGUCCCGUAAGAUUUUGUUCUCUAACCUUGAAAUUACCAAACCAAGUUUUCAGAGUUCAAUUUUCAUCUGCAGCUCCAGGACUGCCUUCUGAAAAACUACAUUUCUUUUCUUUGUUAAUUAGCUUAAAAAGAAUAAGGUGGUCGUUCAAAACUCCCUGUAAACAUUCACUCCGAGUAACAAGGGAAAGAAAGCAAUACCGAUGACCUUGCAUUCCAGGGGGAAAUUUCCUGGAAAGCUAAUAAUAAACCCGCAUAAUUUUGAGGAUGGCCAGACCAAUUAAUGGAAUGAAAUUUUAUAUAGUAAUAUACUAUAGAUACGAUUCCAAAGAAAAAAAAUUAACAGUUGCACUAAACGAGUCAACUAAUUUUCUUUGUACUACAAAAAUCCCAGAUCACUGAUUUUGCAAUGACAUCAAUACGCAUGAUCCUAUUUAUCUUUUCUUUUAUAAUUGGUUACCAUCAUCAAGUAUUCCUCUUAAAAGAGUUCAUCAGGGUUGAACCUCGGCUCUCAAUUUAAGUUCUCUGCUAUUUUAAGCAGGAUGACAAAAAGUGUUUAAGUACUCCAACUGGUAUAGUCCACCUAGUAGUCGUUAUCAAUGUCUGGCAUACGACUUGGUGGUUUCUUCUCAUCUGGAUUUUCGAGGACAGAUGCCUCGGUUGUCGUUAAUAGCAAAGAGACACUGCAAUAGGAAAAGCAUAUUUAUUCAGUUAAACUCGUAAAACAACCACGUAUUACAUGCUUAUGACUAGAUUCUUCACCUGGCGGCAUCGACUAAGGCUGUUCUAAUGACUUUGAGAGGGUCUAUGAUUCCAGCUUUCACCAUAUCAAUAUAUGCACCUGUUUUUGCACAUCAAACGAGAAUGAUCAGGGCAGAGGGUAUGCAGACUGACUCUCCUUGUAAAAGCAAAGAACUGUGGCAGGGCAUUUUGAGAAAAACAAUGACGGCACAAGCGUGUGUCCGUGACAGAUAGAGAGAAUGCAUGCAGCAUAACUUGGUGAAUUCAAGAGAGAUCGUUUUUAAAGGAGUGAAAUAUAUGGCUUGAAAUGAGCAUUUUCAUAAGAUUGAAAGGAACAAACCUUUUGAAGCAUCAAAACCCAAAUUAUCAUCAUCUUGUUCCAGUAGUUUCCCAAGAACCAGAGAGCCAUCAUAACCAGCAUUAGAAGCUAUAGUUAAAGUAGGUGCCUAAAAUAGAGUCACAUAUUACUGUGAGGUACUAUAGGUUAUAAUGAGAUCAAAAGAGGUGUGCUGAGAGUUGCCACAAACAAAACCUUAAGAGCAUCCUGAAUUAUCUGAACGCCUCUUUUUUGAUCUUCAUUUUCGGUUUGAAGGUUCUGCAAAGCCUUUGUACUAUAUAAGAGAGCAACACCACCGCCUGACCCAAAAAAAUCCAUUAUAUUAUGACCUAAAUAAACAUUGACAUUUGAAACCAAAAAAGGGGAAAUUAUUUACCUGGCAAAAUACCCUCUUCCACAGCUGCUCUUGUGGCAUUCAAAGCAUCUGUGACCCUAUCUUUCCUUUCUCCAACUUCUGCCUCACUAGCUCCACCAACCUGAGAGAAAAACACCAAUAAGUACUCACCUUAUGCAGCAUAAGAUGCACAUUGCAUUUGGAACUUAGAUAAAGGGAUCAUAAACCUUGAAAACAGCCACACCCCCAGAUAGUUUUGAUAAUCUUUCUUGUGCUUUCUCCCUGUCAAACAUGGCACUGCUCUUAUCCAUAGCUGUCCUCAGCUGCAGAAGUUUUCAAGAAUCGUGAGGAAAAAGAAAUCAGAAUAGCCUUUAUUACAAAGUUAACAACAUUAAGGCGUUGCUUGGUAGGGUGGAAAGAAAAUUGGAAAAAUGGAAAUUUAAAGUGGUAGAAAAUUAAAAGAUAGAAAAUAUAAUUUUUCUUUCCAUAGGUGUGCUUGGUAGGAAUGAUGAAAAAUUUAAAGAAAAAGUAAUUUUCUGUCCAUCCAUUGUUUGGUAGAGUUGAAAAAGAAUUAAAGAAAAGAAUAUGAAACUUUUGAAAAAUGCAUAAUUUUGAACUAACACACAUCCCUCUCUCAUUUUCUAUCCCCUUAUCAUUCCAACUUGGAAGUAUUGGUUUUUCUGCAUGGGAAUGGAAAAUGAUCAUCUCUCCUAUUUUCUUUCCUCUCACUUUUCUUCCCUAUCGAGCACACUUAAAAUCUAGUUUCUUUCCACUUUUCCACUCCCUCCUCUUAUCCUUCUCAUUUUCCACUCAACCAAGCACACCCUAAAAGUAGAUAACAGGAGAACAAAUGGAUAACAAAAAAAUUCAUCCAUUUGUAUCAACCCCUCCCCCCCAAAUCCCAAAAAUUAAUCUAUAAAGGGCAACGAGGACAUGAAUAUGGCAUUUAAAAUGGGUCGAGGUUAUUAGAGAAAAAUAUCAAGAAACAACCAAAUAGGGGAUCAAAACACCUGCUCACAUCUUUCUUCGAUCAGCUUCUUAUCCCCUCCCCCAUGUAGAAUUAUUGUGUCAUCAAGUGAGACAGUGACCUGUCAUAAAUCAAGUCACUUACACAAUAAAGAAGAAAUUCAAGCAUGUGCACAGUUUCAUGCGUACCCUUUUUGCAGUACCAAGCAUUUCAACUUUGACUUUGUCAAGAGUUAAGCCACGUUCUUCACUGAUAACCUGUAGUUUUGACGAUUAAUAAUGAUUCCAUUUAUAAAGAAUGAAAUCUGAGCAACAAGAAUAUUAUUACCUCUCCGCCGGUAAGAAUGGCAAGGUCAUCUAAAUUUGCCUGUCUAUUAUCCCCAAAACCAGGAGCUUUGAUGGCACAAACCUAAGUACAUAAGAUUCCACUAUUAGAAAGGUUCCAGAGGUGUCAUCUACACUAAGAGCAUCUCGUACUCUUUGAUGCAUGCAAAAGUAAAUUUAAAGCAAAGCCAGAUAGCUAAUCACCUUCAAACCAGCAUGAUGCUUGUUGAGAAUAAGUAACUGAAGCGCAUCACUCUCCAAAUCCUCAGCCACAAGAAGAAGUGGUCUGUUUUUCUGUUCAAAUUGAAGAAGAGAAUGAGCAAGCUCACAACAUGCUUCACUUACAAUCAUAAAUGUAAAAGAGUCCUCAGAUGAAUUACAUUUAUAGCCAACUCCAAUAUCCUCACAAGUGAGUUAAUAUCUGAAAUUUUCUUGUCAUGAAUGAGAAUCAAGGGAUUCUCAAGUUCCUGCCAACAUAAAAUUGAACCUUCUUUACAUCAAAAGCCAUCCAACAUCCUUAUGAAAUUAUUACAUUCAAUAGAAACAGGAAAAGAAAACUGAAAAAACUAAGGACAUAAGGCAGGUCAAAUUAUUGUGUACGCAAAGCCAUGAACUGUACACUAAAACUUUGAGAUGGAACUAAUAUGAUCUUCAAAUUACAUUAAGGAAAAAUAAGAGAAUGACAAGAUUUCACUGUGAGCCCCCUCCAAAUUCAAAACAUUUAAAUAAGAGAAGAAAAUUGAAUUUUGUGCAUAGGAUUUACAUUGGAAACCCCAUUUUUGCUCAACGAACAAGUACCCUACCAUAUUGAGUAAAAAUUAUUGUAAAAAGAUGCAAAUCUGAGCUUACACAUUUCUGGGUCUUUUGAUCGGUAACAAAAUAGGGAGAGAUAUAACCUCUGCCUAGCUUCAUUCCUUCCACCACUUCUAACUCAUUGUCUAAAGUAUUCCCAUCCUAAAAUUUGAGGUAAAAAUAAGAUACACCAAAUUACAUAUGGUCUAAGAAAUAAUCAUUAUUACUCAAAAUCUAACAAUAAUUAAAAAAUGUACAAAAAUCAAAUUUGGGCUUACAGUGACAGUAAUGACCCCUUCCUUCCCAACUUUCUCCAUUGCUCUUGCUAUCAAUUCUCCAAUUUCACGUUCUCCGUUUGCUGAAAUAGUGGCAACCUAUUCAAAACAUACCAAAAACAAGUUAACACGAGGUAAAUUAAGGAGAAUUAGAGGUAAAGAGCCGGAGAGCCCACAUCAAUAAACCUGUGUAAUUUCUUCUGGUGUGCUUAUCAUUACUGCCCUGCUUUUCAAGUCAGAUAUGACAGUAUCAACUGCCAUAUUAAUUCCUUUUCUCAAGUCCAUCACAUUUACGCCAGCAGCCAAUGACUUGCAGCCUUCCAAAAGAAUUGCCUGAGUUAGGACAGUUGCACAAGUUGUACCUGUGAAGAGAUGCAUAAUAGUUAAUAGGUCUUCAGCAUUAAGACUAUCAAAUAUGAUGGGAGAAAUUAUUUUAAAAAUGCCAUAUCUGUAAUCGAGAACUAAAGCUUUCUUCAUGUAUCAUGCAACAAAUACAACUGAACUGAUCCAUGCUUUGAACCUGAGGGCUAUAGAAAAUACUCGCUUAUUGCAUACAGAUAUGCACUGCAUAUCUAGGACUCUGAAUUCUAAAUGAAGUCAAAGACCAAAAAACAACAAUUUCCAAGAACCCAAAGCACUUAUGCCACACUUUCCAGGAAGGUUUUCUAACAGCAAGUUCUUAUCCAAAGGCUCACCCAUCCGGAUUAGCUUGGAAUGAAGGCUUGGUUGAGCUUUCUUAAGAUUUUUGUUAUUCUUUUUUACUUUCUAACCAGAAUGCCUUGACCAUAAAUCAUUGGUAUACUGAUUAAUCAAUGUUCAGUUACAACGCCUAAAUAAAAUAAGGUUGAAAAUAAUAAGAAAUUACCAUCUCCAGCAACUUUAUUGGUGGCAUUUGCAACCUGCUUUACAAGAUCAGCACCAACAUUUUUAGCCUUAUCCUUGAAUUUAAUGCUCUUGGCAACAGUAACACCAUCCUUCGUGACUUUAGGAUAGCCCCGACUACUCUCAAUAAUUACAUUGCGACCCUAAAUCAAUAGAUCAGAAUGAAUACUGUGACAAAGCAUAAUAGCAUGCAUAAAUCUGAGCUCUUAGUCCUUUAUAUAUGUUACCUUUGGUCCCAUUGUGACUUUCACGGCAUCUGCAACUUCAGACACACCCAACAUCAUAGCCGCCCUUGCCCCAACCCCGAAACUGAUAUCCUUCGCUACAUAAUUCCUAUUGCAAAUUAUCCUACUACAAACCUGUCAAAUUCAAAUAAUUAACCAACCAAAGAAAAUAAAGUUUAAGAUUCAUUCAUAUUCAUCAAAACCAAUCCUAACGAACAUAUAAUUUUACCAUAGAAAACCUUUCCAACUAUUUCGUGAUCCACCUCGAAAUUUUCAUUGUUGCAAAAGAAUAUAAAAGCAUUAUUUACAUAAACCUAAUGCAGCUGUUGGUUCCUAGAAAUUUUUGGACUUUUUCAUUUCAUUUCUUCUAUUUCCCACAUCCCUCACCGUACAAACAGAAAUCAAAAUGAAAGAGAAAUCAAGUAAUACAUUAUGAUUUCUUACCAAUUUUCUCGAAGUCGAGGAACUGUAAAACAAAAAAACGAUAAUUUAUAUCAGAUAUAAACCAAAAAAAAAGUUAACUGGCAGGAAUUGACAUGAAGGAAGCAAAUGUGAUCUAUUAGAAGCAUUACCUAAUAGAUGAAGCUAAUUUUGAAGCUAUUCGAUACAUGAGUGAGACGGGUUUUACUUUACACAGCGAGCAAUCGAAAAGAAGGAUCAAAAGAGAGACUUAAAAGAGAGCUUCCAAUGGAGUUCUUAAGGCUUCCAAUUUCAGGUUUAAAAAAGAGUAGGGUUUUAGCUCCGGGGUUUUACAGUGGAGGGCUUUCCCGUCACUCUAUCUGAAAGAUAAGAAAAGGUUAAAAUCUGCUUUUAAGUCCCUAUAGUUUUUGCAUAUUUAGAACUUAGUUUUUUACUUUUAUUUCAAUAAAUUUAAUCCUUUAAUUUUUCAAUGUAAAAAUGCAAAUUCAAUUAUUGAUAUAGUUAAAUUUUAAAAUAAGAUUUUAACAGUAUUAAAAAUUGAACUUAAAUUAUGAAAUCUGAAAAAGUAAGACUAAAUUCUUAGAAAUAAAAAUAAAAGAUUAUUUUUUCAAAAAAGUAAAGAAGAUUAAAUUACAAAUAUAAAAAAUAAAUGGACUUAGAACAUAUUUAACCCAAAAAUGGAAUGAGAAGAUUGAAUCUGGAUUGUUCCAGAUUUUGAGUGUCCAAUGCACUGAACUGAUUAAAUGGACAAUCUCUAACCCAAAUUUUGGGUUUGUUUGGUCUUGGGCCUGUUGCAAAAAAUAAUAAUAAUAUUUUUUGUUUUUAUUUUAAAAUAUUAUAAUUAACAACUAAAAAAAAAAGGUAAUUACCUUAUUCACGGGUAGUGGAGUAAAAAAACUCCACAAUCUGGUUUAGAAAAAUAUUAAAUGCCCUUUUUAAUUAUUUUAUCAUUAUUUUAGGGGUUAAUAUUUAACAUAAGCAGUUUACUUUUUUAUUUAACAAGUAGUUUUAAAAAUUUGUCAUUUUUUUUUCUAAAUAUUCUUUUUUAAUAUUUUAUUAUAUCACUAUAUAGACUUAUCAAUUUUCUGACUUUAUUUAUAAAAUUUAAAAAUGCUACAGUAUACUAAAUAUUUUCUCUUAUUUUAUUAUGGUAGCAUCAUUUAAACCUACUUAUAGAAUUUUUUUACUGUAGAUAAAUAAUGCAAAAAGUAAACUCACUUUAUUUUUACAUAAUAUUUUUUUGGAAAACAAAAUUUUCCUUCGUUCAUGGUUGUCCAGUUUACUAUUUAAAUUUUAAAGUAUUAUGAAUUGUUGGUUUGUGUCAACUUUCUCAAAUAAAAACGUAUGAAUAUAAAAUUAUAAUUUAUAAUUGUUUAAGUUCAUCUACAAUAUCAAUUUAGAGAAAAUAUUCAGUACACUAUUAAUUAAAUUUUUAGACUUUAUCAGUAGGGUUAUAGAGUUGACAAGUGUUUUAUAGAGAUAUAAUAAAAUAUCAAAAAUAAAUAUUUUUAAAACAGAAAUAUAUUACAUUUUUUUAAAUUACUUGUGAAAUAAAAAAGACAUAAAUUAAUCUAGAAAUGCUUUGAAUUCAUUCUAUAUUAAUUAAAAGUUUUUUUUUAAUAACUCAGUUGAAGACUUUUCCCUCAACCUUAAUGUUUAAUUUUUGUGAAAUUGAUAAAUUAAUCAUGGAAUACAGGCCAAAUAUGGUGAAGCUAGAUUGUAAAAUUUUCAAUGAACAGAUCCCCUCCCUUUGAUAUUUUUUUUCAAACUUUUUAGUAUAGAUUGCAGGACAGUAAUUUAUAAAUUAUUUUAUAUAUUUGUUAGUAUUAUACUUGAUUCUGUCUUAAAAUUAUAAUUGAGCGUAAUUUAUAUUAAAACCACUAAAAUAUAUACUCCAAUUGUUUCGAGUGAUCCACAUGCUGUAGUACAUACAUAUUUGGGGGGUGUUUUUCCAAGAAAUGGUAGUGAAGCUUUGAGAAUUGAGACCAUACUUUAAAAUACCCACCGACACUCAUAUUUUGCGAAUUACAAGCAAGCACUUAAUCAUUUCUUAUUUCUCUGUUUCAAAAAGAAAAUAAAAGCAUUUAUUUAAAGGGGUAGAUCAAGAAAAAUUAAUAUUCCGCAACCACUAAAUACUAUAUUUAAUAUGUGAAAAUUUAUCUCAUUUAUAGCUUCAGUUUCACACAAGGAUUGAAAGUGACAUUUGUCUUAAGAGUAUGGUAAAAGAUAUAAAUAAGAUUUUUGUCACAUUUUUAAUAAGAACUCCACAAUUUUUACAUCAAAUAGUUGCUCUUUAAUAUAUAUAGAAAUCAUAUUAUUUAUUGUACAUGUAAAUCUUAAAUUUUAUAAACAGCUAUUCUUUUUCUAUUUUUACUUAGGACGAUAAAAUUUUAAUAUAUAUCGAAAAAUCAUGUAAAUCUUAAAUUUUAUAAGAGGUAUUUUAGGAAGAUUCUUUUAUGGAAGAGUAUUAAAUUUAUUACUAUUUAAUUGAUCAGAGUUCUUUUCUUUUUUACAUGAUAUGAUUGAUCUUGGAUUUAAAGCAUGGAUGAAGUCAGAAAAUUUUUGAGAGAGGUUGAAAUUAAAUUGUAUAGUUUUAUGAUAGUAAAAAUGUAAUUUUUUCAUUUUAAUAGUCUAGAUCUUUAUCAUUUUUAAAGAACUAAAUCAAAAUUUUAUCAUUUUUUGGGAGGUAAAAUGUAAUUUUAUCAUUAUAAUUUUAAAAUUUUAAAGAGCCUAAAUAGAAUUUUUCCAUUUUAGAGAGGGUGGGGCCCCUGCCAGCCCCUUGAAUUUCACCACUAAUUUAAAUGUCCGAGGCUUGCUUGGACAAAUCUCACGAAUGUCUCGAAAUUUAUUCAAGAGGGAAUUCGUUAUGUGUUUGCAAAUCCUAGCGAGAAACUUUUGUACCUUAAUGCUUUGAUUACACAUCUCCCUCAGAUCCUAUCAUAUCAUUGCUCUUUACUAAGUUGUCUUUAUAAUCAUGGCUAGCAAAAACGAAAUAGUUCAUUUCAUUUCCAAUCAAUGUGACUUGAACACCUAGACUUUAAACAUAUUUUGAACAAUUUCUAGACUUAUUUGAGUCUCUUUUUACUAGACACCAUAACACCUUUUACGAGCCUCUUAUCUUAAUGAAAUAAAUUCACCUUUGGCAAUAUUUUUAAGAAAAAGAGUCGACUUAUGGUGCAUAGGGACUUUGAAAGCCCUAGUUAAAACCCCUUAUUUGUUCCUCAUCAACCUGCGUAAAGUCACCCUCACAAACUUAAAUGUUGUGACUAGGGAAAAAGAAUUAAUUGCACCCCGGCGUGUGUGCAUUGGGCUGAUAAUCAACAUUAAAACAAUUAAUAAUAAGGUAGUAUAUUGCAAGUGUGACAGGUCGAGUUGCAAUAUUUUUAGUGUUACAAUGGAACACUCAAGUAUUCCAAGGAUCGAACCUAAUAAAGUUCGAGUACAAAGUGAUUCCUAAAAAGUCUAGCUAACUACUCAUUAAGUUUCAUAUUACGACAAUUUAUUAACAAGGAUUAAUUACACUAAUUAGCUACCUAACACUACGGAAAACCAAAUUGUAAAACAAGGAAAAUUACCCAAUUAACAAUUCAAGAAAAAUAAAUGGUUGGUUGAUUUCCAGGUUGUUGAUUAGUCUUUGGAUUAGGGAUCUAAAAGGCUUCUACUUUUAAUUGGCUCAAUUUUUACCUCUCGGACACCAAUUUAUUAAAUUAGAUGAUUUAGUACAGUUUAUCUCUCAACCUCGUCGAACUAACUCAGGCUAAAUGAAUUUAUGCUUAAUAGGAUCUCCUCUUGGUCUCACCUAUUUAUAUGGUCUCUUUAAUACGUCACCAAACAACAUUUUCAUCAACCAACCACCAUAAAUUUAGCUACUGAUCAUCAUUCCAAUAUAAACAACAACCCAAAAAAAAAUUCAAAACAUGCUUUAAAUUAAGAAGAAAAGUAGGGUUUAACAAAGCUUAGUGACUUCUUAAUGGUUGCUGGCGAAGAUGAAGAUGGCAACAAUGGUGGUGAAAAAUAAUACUAGAGUUCAUAUUUUUGCCAAAGAAAACGAAAUGAAGCUAAGCUAUAUUAAUGAGUAAGAAUUAAACUGAAAAUACAAGUAGAGUUAGUACUAAAAUGCAAAUAAAACCAAGCUAUAGUAAAAACUAACUAACUAACUAUCAUCAAAACCAUAAAAAGCUUAAAACUGAACCCUAAAAAUGAAGAAAACGACAACUAAAAGCUAAAAAUAUGGAAAGGAAAGUAAAAAGUGAGCAGUCUUCUUCUUCUCUCAAUCAAAAGUGGCUUUCUCAUUUGUUUACAACCUAAAAUUUUGGGCCAAAAUGUCCUUAGAAGUUUUUCUUAUUGGUGUUGGACAAAAACCACCCCUGUAGUCAAUUUUCUCCUCACUAGGCAGUGGUAUCGCGAUAUCCAGUUUCUGGUAUCGCGAUACCCAAAAUAGUAUUGAAAUUCGAAGUCAUAAAGGUCUCACUAUCGCGAUACCUAGGCUCUAGUAUCGCGACAUCACUGGAGUUAGGCCCAAUUUUCUUCACUUCAGCACUGUUAGGGGUAUCACGACUUCCAUGCCUCAGUGUCGCGAUACCCCACCUUUGAAUGAUGAUUUCUUCAAGUUUGGAUCAUUAUCGACUUUCUACACUCAAUCAUAUUGUUAGGUCCCCCAUGUUGCGUCUAACCAUUUGCUUCUCAAAAGGUUAUAAAAAUAAACAAAAACGUUUAUUAAUGCUUAGAACUAAAAAUUGACAAAAACAUAUAAAAGAUACUUAAAUUGCUUAAGAAUAAGCUUAUCAAUUGUAUUGGAGAGCCUAAUUUGACGUAUCAAAUUACGAUAGAUUAAGAACUCCUUUGGGUCUUAAAAUCUCGAGCAAAUUAGAUAAUUCAAUGGGAAUGUAACAGUCGUUUAUUCCAUUUAUCUACUCUAGUUCAAAGAACUGUUAACAGAAUUGAAGGGCUAAUUAUUUCAAACUAUUUUUUUAAACUGUUCACUACCUUUGGGGUUUCCUCCUCUUUUCAAAUCAUUGGCGGAGACAAUGUUUGGCCAUAGAUAUUUGAGUUUGACAAACUUUUAACAUGUAUGGAAAUUUCUGAUAUUGAGAUUGCUAAGGUGGUUUGGUCUUUCAAACCAACUAAAGCUCUUGAAUCAGAUGGCUUACACCUUCUUUUUUACCAAUGUUGUUGGAGUGAGGUAGAACAGAAAGAGCUACGUCUUAUUCGCGACGUCAAUCUAAAAUUUUAGAAUCUUUAAAUUUUGGCCCUAUUUUGACAUCGGGUUAGAAAAAGAGCUUUCAUAAGCUUGAAUAAGACCCGAAAAUGAUUAUGUAUCGCUCUAUAUACUCAUUUUUAAGGGUGAGCAAAAUUCGAUUCGAUUCAAAAAAAUCAAAAAAAAUUCAAAUUUUGAGUUAAUUGAAUCGAGUUAUUCGAGUCAACUCGAAUAAGAAAUUUUGGAUUUCGAGUUCGAGCUGAGUUGAAUUUUUACAAUUCGAAUAACUCGAAUAAUUCGAAUAACAGAUUAGUAUAAAUACCAUUUUGGACCCUGUAAAUUUUGAAAAUGGGCAAAUUGGUCUAUCUCUUAACAAAAAUUACAAAAUAAUCAAAGUAAUUUUCAAAAUUUGAAAAUAUUUUUUAAAAUUCUAAAUAUUAUAGAAAUUCUAAAAAAAUUAUAAAUUAAAAAAACUAAAAAAUAUAUAAAAAUUUUAAUAAAAUAAUAAUUUUGGUAUCUAAAUAAGUGAUUAAUGAUUUAAGUUUAUCAUAAUAAAAUAUAUAUAUUUUUUAUUUUGCUUUAAACAAGUUUUCAAAUAUAUAUAUUGUUUCAAAUUUUUGUGUUCUAACAUGGAAAUAGUUAUAUUGUACAAGAUUUUAAUUUAACAUUAUUAAUUUUUCUAAUUUAACUCAAACAGUUUCACUCGAUUCAAUCAAAUGCUCACCCCUAAUUCAAGUUAUCAAAAAAAUCCAAAUAAAAAGGGCAAAACUACAUUGUUUUGAUAAAUAUUUACCUUUUCUAAAGUUAAAAGUCAAAACUAUCAAGUUAAAAGGCAAAUCUAUGUUGUUCUGAUAAAUGAUUACCCAUUAGUCUUACUUUCCUUCCCGAAUCGCCCCACUCUCCCUUUUUUCCUUUUCUCAAAAUUAAUCUAAAAGAUUGUAUUUCGUCUACUAGUAAAAUAAUCGGUCCAUGUAAACGGAACAUUAAGUAUAAAUAAUAAGAUUCGUUAAUUCGACUCGACUUGACUCAAAUUUUUUUGACUCGAUUCGAAAAAAAUUCAAAUUGAGUUCGGUUGCUAAAAUAGGAUUCGUCAACUCAACUAACUCAAAAUUUUUUGACUUGAUUUGACUCGACUCAAUCGAAUACUCACCCCUACUCAUUUUAGUUAUAUUUGAGUGUUUAACGAUUUGUAAAUGAAUGUAGUUCAACCGUAAUUGCUUUGGCAAUGAAUAUGGCACCUCGUAACUCGGACUUGACAAUCAGGUUGGGUAACGCGGUGUUGCACCUGUUAAGUACUGCCAUACCAUCUAUUUCGUCGGUUAUGGAUUCUAUUUGUUGGGGUCCCUCUAAAUCUGGAGACUUUUCUUUAGGUAGAGCCUACUCUUUCAUUCUCUCCCGUAGUGAUCCCGAUAUUGUCACAUCAAAGUUUCUGGAUGACAUGGAAAGUUCGCCUCCCACCAAAGUUUUUUUCUUUUUCAUGGAAAUUUGGGUUGAAAGCUCUCCCCACCAAGUCUCGCAUGUUUCGUCAAGGUAUGAAUUGUGUUUAUCUUUACCCCUUCUGUUCUAAUAAAAAAAACUAUAGACCACCUCGUACGGGAUUGUUACACCACUUGAAAUUUAUUGACUGAUGUCUUCCACCUUUGUCGUUUCAAUCCAUUGCAUCUGUUAAUUAGGAGGAAUGGCUUUUGACUAAUAUCACGUCCAAAAAUUGGAUUCAACACCCACAGAUUCCCUGGUAUAUUAUAUUUUCCUUUACCUUAUGGGAAAUUUAGUUGUGCCAUAAUGCUCUAGUGUUCUCGAAGAAUAGGCCUCUAAGAGGUUUCUUGCAGCGUAUUCUGACUAAUUUUGGGGAAUUUUUUGCUUUUUCGGUCACUGUGAGAAAAUUUAGCAUUCCAUACACCAUCCCAAUUGCAUGGAAAUCUCCUCUGCAAGGUUGGGUUAAGCUGAAUAUUGACAGUUCUUCUACAGGUAAUUCGGGAAACGCAGAUGUUGGUGCUAUUAUCUGCGAUCAUCAUGGUGGGUGGUUGAUCGGUUCUUUUCAUCACAUUCCUAAAGCAAUGAGUGUAGAGGUUGAAUUGUGAGCUCUAAGAGACGGUCUAGCUUAUAUGGGGAGUAGUUUACAACUGAGUCAUUCUCAAAAAGUAUUUUCUCUUGAUGACUUAUUUUGUGUGUGCUGAUCCUCCUAUAUAUUUAUUUCAUUUACUUAUAGAUGAUACCUACGAGCAUAUUAUGUAUCGAAUCUUAUUUUAAUUGCUAAAUAAUAUUUAUUCUUUUUCAAACUAAAAAAAUUAAAUAAUAAAAUAAAAGUUUAAAUAUUAAAAUGAAAAAAAUAAAUAUACUUGAGGGCCCUUUGAGGAAAAAUAAUUUAAACGUUUAUCUAAUGGUCUAUAGGAUAAAGUAAAAAUAUAAAUCUUGGGUAGUAAAGUAGAAGUGAUAAAAUCAGAUAUGGAAAUCAAAAUUCAUUGGUCCAAUUAUAUGCUAACCUUAACCCAAUAGCCGUGAUAAAUCAAAAGGAUAAAACAACUCAAUAAAUUUCCACGGCUAAUACUAAUUUACAAAAUUUGGCUCACACAACUUCUUCUCUGUACAAUAAGCUUAUAUUUACAUUUCCCUCUUGAAAAUAACUAUUGGGAAAAACAUUGUAAAGAAUUAUUACUGAAUGCUAUAAUACAUUGUAAUCGAUGAGAUGCCAACAAGUAUGAACAAUUUUAUUUUAUUAAAAAAAAUUGUUUGCAACAUGGGAAAGAGAAAUUGUGCACUAAUCAACAAGAACUAACAACAAAAUGAAAAAUCCAAAAUAUAUAUUGAAAAAGAAAAGAAAUAACGUAUACAUUACAUUUUUCUAUACCCUAUACAAUCAAAUCACCCAAUUUGCAAACAUAUUACCUCCCUAAAAAAAUAACGACACAACUUUAAAAAAAAAACAACAACAAUAACAAAAGUAAUAAAAUAAAAUAAACAACAAACCUUUUUCUUCUCCAUUGUUUCUCUUUCUCAAAAUAUUCUCGUCGAUCAGAAAGUCCAUUUCCAGAUCUUGAGUCUCAAAUCAACCUUACAUUUUGCAUUAGAAGUUGAAGCUGUGGUUGCUGAUUUUGCCUUCGGGCCGGUAGCUUUAAUCCCUUCACAAACAACCCUUAUCCCGACCUUUGGUGUCUUCAAUGCUCCCAUUUUUGCUUCCACUUUAGUAUCGAGCUUUAUCUUUAAUGGCAGCCCCUUCUUGCUCUUCAAAGCUUUCUUCAACUUGGCAGCUGACGCGUCAUCGAGUUCUUGGUUGCUACUAGUUAUGGCAGCUUUCAAGAGGGUCGUGUUUUUAGUUCCGUGCACGAAGGAACCGAAGGAACCUUCCCCAAUAGCGAUGUCGUCGUCUGUGACAAGCGCUACGGUGAUUGGGUUGUAACUGUAGACGACUUUCUUGUUUGGGUUUUUGGCUGUGACGUUUAGGUUGAUGUUGGUGAUCAGCUUGGAAGCUGAGGUUACGUUAAGUGCCGAGAUUUUGAGGGAGGAAACUGUGAAAGUAGGACGGUGAGGGCGGUAAAGGACGUACAAUAUAGCAGAAGCUACGGCGGCUAUGAGGAUGAGAACGAGGAUAGCUAUGGUGGUCCAAAGGCAGCAAGAACAGCAAGAGCGGCGGUAGCGGUGGCGUUCGGGUUGUGGACGGUAGACAGGGCGGGAGGCUCCGUAUUGUUGUGCUUUAGUGGCUGGAAAAGAAGGGUUGGUUGCGGCGGCGGUGCCAUUUGUCGCUUGUUUAGGGUAUAUCCUAUCUGCCAUGGUGAUGUUGGGGGAGAGAGCUCAGCAAAGAGAAGAAAAGGCGUUAAUUUGCUUUUGGAUUUCGAACUUGAAGGAGAAAAUACUGACUGCCCUGUCUUUAUACAUUUUAAACGUGCUUGUCAGCGCGUAUUUUGGGGAGAGUGGGAUAGGGAAGAAAAGGGAAUUGUUUUGGACUCAAGCCAACGAGGGAAAUAAUCUCGUGUUCUCUUUGUUUUGGUCGGGUGACUUUGUGAUAAGGGUAAUAUUGACUAAGGAGAAGGAAGGUGGGAGUGACAGCAAUGCCGUAACUAGAACCAACGAAAGGUUAUCUCGACGCUCUUGUUUGGGGACGUGGAAUUGACAUGUAGUGGUAGUUAAGGUUUUCUUUUUUCCUUUUUUUCAAUUUAACAAAAUUUGAUUUCAGUCCUAAAUAAAUUUCUAUUUAUACUCUUAUUUAACUUCUUAAUUUGAGCUCACAUUAAUUUUUUUUUUCAUAUUUAAAAUAAAUUAUUAUAUAAUAAUAUUUUGAUUUUUUAAAUACAUGUAAUUACAACUGUAUUAGUAAAACCUUAAUUUUAUCAUUCAACCAAGUUUCUACUUUAAUUCUUUUGUACAUUUUAAUUUUAUUAUGCAUACUUUAGUACCUUUAUUAAUUUUAUAUAUAAAUAAUAUUAUUGACUGAGUUGGUGUCACAAAUUAACUCGACACCAGCUUAAGAUUGAUGAUAACACCAUGAUAAACAAAUUGUAUUCAUUUAGUAUUCUUAAUAUGAUUCUUAAUGUGUUUCAAUUUUGUUUUACUUACAAUUUUAUUUAAUUUUUUAUUUUAAUAUCGUACACAUUUCAUAUGUCAUUAAGUAGUUUCAAAUCAUACAUUGCUAUUUUAAAACUCCCAUAUGUAUUUUAAAUGUUGUUUUCUCAAUCAAAUUUGAGUUUAUUAAAAAUAAAACUUAUGAAAUUACAAUGAUAAACACCUAUUAAAACAUCUUAUUACAAUGAUAAACACCUAUUAAAACAUCUUACUCAUCGCCAAACACCUUAAACUAAAUGAUAACAAACCUCUACAAUAAACCAAUUUUCAUCCCAAAACCAUGCCCCGAUAGAAUGAAAAACCCAACGUAUCUAAAAUAUCUCAUAGGAUUGCGUAGAUUAAAAUAAGUCAAACCUGCAAUCUCUUGUCAUCACUUUUGCAAACUUUCUCUCCAUCAAUGUCGCCACACAAUUGAGCUUAACCCCAAACUCUAAUUGUUUUUGCUUGCUUUUUACUUAAUUUCCUAGACAUACAAUCAUCCAAUUCAUCAAAAUAUUUCCAUUUCAAAUGCUUGUGUUUUGUGUGAUUGAAUCUCUAAUAUCAUUUAAAGUCGUCAUAUUAUGAAUGAUAUUUUAGUAGUUGGAUAAAAAAUGGUGUUCGAAUUUUUAAAUAUUUAAGAUCAAAUUUUAUAAUGUAAUUUGAUUCUAUUUAUAAUUAGUCGGAAAAAUAUUUUCUGUAUUUAUUUAUAGUAAACUCUAAAAAAAAAUUCAACGUUGGGUUGAUUUUUAUUCAUCAGUUGAAAUAGGAAUUCAAAAUUAUAGGAAUAGAAAAGUGGUGAUGGUCAGUAUCAAAAUUAUACUCGUAUAAUAAUUCAGAUGAAGCGGAGUUUAUGGGAUUAGAGCUCGAAAUUUAUAAUGUAGAUGGACUGUUACAUCCAUAUCUCCCAUGUGAGUUCAUUAAUUCAACUACAUCAAAUAUGUGUUGUAUUUAAUGAAUUGUGUAUCAUAAUUAGAUUGUAAAUGAACAGGAACUUCCUUGAAUAUUUAAUAAAAUUAUCCCUAAUUGAAGUUUUCAUUUCAUUUGAAUUUGAGGGUUUUAAAGGAAUGGAAGGGAUAAUGUAGUUCAUCCUUUAACACUGUUUUUGGUAAGUUGGGAAGAAAUUUUUGGAAAAAAAUUUUCAAAUCUUAUAUAUAUAUUUUUAGAUGUCAUAAGUUGAUGUAUUAUAGUGAAUUUACAAUUGAGUUAUUCUACUUUUAUUUUUAGUAAUUUUUUUUUAUAUUUUAAAUUCCAAAUUUAAGUUCAAUUGUUAAUACUAUUAUUUUUUUUUUCUGUUAAAUGAGUUGGUGUGACAUUUUGGGAUAAAAAAAAAUAUUUACUAGGUAGUAAUGUAACUAAUAAAUGUUGUUGUAAGAACCUAAAUUUAGCAAAAUAAUUUUAACAUAGUUGGACUUAGAAUUUUGAAAUCUGAAAAGUAGAGGGACUAAAUUCUUAAAAAUAAAAAUACGACGACUAAAUUCUAAAUUUAUGAAGAGUAUAAAAACUUAUAACAUAUUUUAAUAUUUUUCUUUUACAUUUGGGACCGAAAUACUUAUUCCGACUUAAUAUUUGUGUAUUUUAUAAUAAAUUUAAAUAAUAUUUUUAUUAAUUAAAAUUGAAACCCACCAAACCAAAAUAUUUCUCUGUCACAUGCAAAAUGGAGGCAAAGAGCAAAAGAGAGUGAUUGAGCAAUGUCAAAAUUUGACAAAGUACCUAAGAUGACACCUAAUAGGGAAAUAAAUUAAUGAAGUGUUUGUUUAGAAGGAAAUUAAACAGGCAUUUGCCAACUGAAUUAAACCCGUAUUAGUGAAAGUCAAUGCUUAUAAUUAUAUAACAAAUUAAUUUUCUCAACAAUCACAGACGUUCCCAUGUUACCUAAACCUAAUUUUAGACUUUUCUCUCCAAAACAGGUCGACCAUAAGGCUUAGUUAAGAAUGGGAAAUUAACCAUGGUUGUAAAUUAUCAUAGGCUAUAAUAUAUAUAUACACAUAUAUAUAAUAUUGAAGGCACUGAUUGCCAAACUUUAUACCAAAAUAGAGCUUUGUCUCAUUGGCUUUCCAUUUUGCUCAAUGAUGGACAUCGAAGAAAACUAGGAAACCCAGCAAUUUGAUUCCUCACCUACUGAGUGAUGACCCAAAAAUUAAAUUAAAAUAAUUGCUUGUUCCCUUUUUUUUUGUAUUAUUAUUAUUGUUGUUAACACAGCACAUCAUGUGAUUGUGCUAAUUUUUUAAAUAAUUUUUUAUUUUAUAAUACGGAAAUUUGAUUACAACAGCUUAAUUGCCAUCAAUGUUCUUCAAUACUUCGACACUCCCCGCCCCCAACCAAUAUGUAUAGCUCUAAUGUUGUAAAAACGUAUCGUGGUCCAAUAGUUAAACUAUUAAUUAAUUCAACCACUUAAAAAAUAAAAAAAUACUAGACACAACUAAUUAAUUAUAGAAACAUAAAUAUUUGUUUUAUAAAUUAUAAAAAUUAAAUUAAAUAUUUAAACUAGUUUAAAUUCAAAUUAAGUAACUUUUAAUUGAACUUUUUAUUUAGUUCGCUUGAUUUUUUAUCGAUUCAAUAUUCUUCCGAACAACUAUUUCUCAAGUCAAUCUAUCGCUCUAAUUCUAACAGCCAUGUUUUCUUCUUGUUUCUAUGUAAAAUGAACAAUCUCAAAGUGAUACAAAACAAUAUAUUUUCAACAUCAGGUGGAAAUGGACAAGGCAAUACUCAUUCCUAUUAUGUUGAGUAAGGGUGAGGUCAGUUCGGUUUCAUUCGGUUUUUUUAAUUGGAUUGGGGUAUUCGGUUUUUUCAUUUUUCAAACUAAAAUUGAACCGAAUGACAUAAGAAAUCAAUUAUUAUUGAAUCGUACUAAAUCAAUUCAGUUCAGGUUUCGAGUUUCCAUAAUAUUUUUGAGCUUUUGGACUUUUUUUAGAUAAAAUUGUCUUUGUAUUUGGACUUUUCAACUUUAAUUAGAUAAAGUUAUCUUUAUUUUAUGUUUCUUGGACACUGUUUGACAAUUUUAAUUUUUUUCAGUUAUACAUAAAAUCUCAAUUAAUAUAUUUAUUUAAAAAUAAAUUGUAAAAUCUAUAAUUCUAAAUGUUUAUUAAAAAUCUAAUUAAACUGUGAUUUAAUCUCUCAAUCUUCAAUGAACACAAUCAAAUGUUAAAUUACUUGUAUUUUAUAACUCUUAAUGUGUAAUGAUAGCAAAAAAACACCCAACUUGGAAAUGUUUGUAACACCCCUUGCUCGACCCGAUUGUCGAGUCCGAGUUACAAGAUACCACAGUAAAAAAAAUGAAACAGUUACAUACAUUUAAAUACAUAAUUUACAUCAUAAUUCAAGUAUUUAUAAUCAAAACAUUUCACAAUUACUUUGUACGAUCUAUUACGGGUCUUAAUCGAGCCUACAAAAGCUAAUUUACAAACCCGAGCUUGAAAAAUGACCAAAUUACAAUAUUUUCAAAGUUUCCAUAAUAGGUAUCGAUGCCCCCAUAUAGGUACGGAUAUAAUCUUUAGCUUUGAUGUUUAGAAAAAUCUUAACAAAAUCACAAGUACCGAUACGUACUAUAAGGUACCGAUACCUCUUUUACAAAGUAUCGAUACCCAUUUCAGUAUCGAUGUCGUUUUACAAUUCGAUAUUUUCAGAAAAUUAAACAAAAUCAUGUGUAUCAAUACCCUCAUUAAGUAUCGAUAUCCUGAUAUGAAGUAUUGAUACUUUAGUCCAUUAUCGAUACCAUUUUGAGCUCAAUUCGGACCUCAAGGUUUAAAAUUAGGUUAGAUUUUAUUUUAUUUUAUUUUUAUUUUUAAGAUUUGAGGUAAAAAUAAGAUUUUUUUUUAUUUCAAUUUUCAAUUUGAGUUUUUUUUCGAUUUGUUUAAUAGUUUUAAAAGUUGAAGUUGCAACUCAAAAACGAUUUAAGCUUUUUCGAAUUAAACUUACACAUAUAAAUAAUGAUUUCCAAAAAUAUAUUUGAACACAUUAAAAAUUGAAAAUGGAUAUUAUUUCUUUGAGGACUAACGAUUUUGCUCUUCUAUUUGUUUCAAUGGAAUCCAAAAUAAUAAUAAUAAUAAUAAUAAAUUGCAACAAUGAGAAAGAAAGUUUUCAUGUGUCAAAAUGAAAAAAAUAGGAAAAAAUUAAUGUUUUACUAUGAAGGAAAAUUAGGAAAGACGUGUUUUAAUCUCAUCCCUAAAUCAUUUUUAAUUUAAUGGUUUAAAAAUAUUAUAAAACUAUCCAGAUCUAUCUUAGUGUAAAUGGAUUCCUCCCCUAUAUUUAUUUAUAUCCUUACCAUAAUAUAAAAUUAAAAAAGUUUCACACACUUCUAUAACUUUUUAUUCGAUUAAUAUUUUAACAACUCAACCAUUGAAUUUUAUUAAUAUGGUUAUACUUAUAUUGUAUGUAAAAUUUUGAAUUAAUCUGAUACCUCUAUCAUAUUGAUCUAAAAUAUUGCUUAUCAAUAUAUAUAUAACGGCUGAAAGUUUUUUUUACAUAAAACAAAUAGUUAGAAAAAUUAAAUUUAUUUUACACUUGACAUGCAUUAUUUGUAUAAACCAAAUAUAAAAUAUUUGGAUUGUUGAAAUAUUAUUCGUACAAAAAGUUACGAAAAUAUUUAGUUUUAAACUAAUAUAAAUGGACCCCUUCAUGUAUAUAUACAUGUUUGUGUGUGUGAGAACGAGAAAAUUGAAUAUAUAUCAAUAUUAGAAAUUUUAUGACACGCGUAUGCGUAUGAAAAUCAUGAAUUUAGAAUACAUAUGUGUAUUUAGAAAUAACAUACAAUAAUGAAACAUAUAGUUUGAAACUAAUUAAUUACAAUAACACAAAUAUGUAUUAAAAUAAAAAAUAAAUAAAAAAUUACAAAUAUCAACUAGAAAAUCAAAUAUAUAAAUAUAUAUUUUUGGAAGGAGUAUAUGAUACCUUAGAGCCAAAACAAUUAUCAAUAUGAUAUAAAAAAUAAAGAGUAAUACAAUUUUUUUUUUUUAUAAUUGAGAGAGAAAAAUAGGAUAGCUCUCAUAUCAUACCUAUAUUAAAAUCACUAAAUAAAAUUUAAAAACAAUAUAAUAAAGUAGGUAUUUUGAUUGGAGAAGGUUUAUUAAAAGUCCGAAAACAAGUGGAUGUUUCAUUAUUCAGGUAUUUUAGUCAGAAAUAGAGUUGAAUACAAGUUUUGACUCUAAAUAAUAAUAUAAUGGGAGCCCAUAUAUUGUAGGAUGCGGAAGAGGCCUCGCCAUUCAGAAAGAACAGUGGACCAAUAGUUGUCAUAUCUUUUACGUAAGGUUGCUUAGUAGGCCCAUCUCGUAUGUUAUGACCCAUGCUUUUCAGAUUCUGAGGAUAGGACAAAUAAAAACCAUUUUGCAAAUCUUUAUAUGUCCAAAAGGACUACAACAUAUGGUGCAAAAUGAAUAUGGCUUCUUACGCUUUUGUUUGAAAAUUUCACCACCAUGUUGGUUCUAUCUUUUCUUUAUAUAAAAAUAACCAUAAAUAUCUAACCAUUAAAAUAUCAUGUUUUAAAAGUCAUGUCUCUUUUCGAAAAUACAUUUUAUGGUAGGUUUGGAAAUUAUGAUUUCGCUUGGUUUGGAUAACAAAUUAAGUAUUCGAGUUAAAUUUUGGAUUUCAAAAAUUCAUUUUAAAAUCUAAUAUUAAUUAAAAAAAAAGAUGAGAAUUCUUUUUGUUCUCCAUUCUUCCACACUUCCUUUCAAACCCAAAUAAUAAUUAAUUAAUUUUACUUGUAAUAUAUAAUCAUCGAAGCUUGAGGUUUUCAGAAUUGGACCGGUAGGCAAAUCAGUCAGACCACCAAUUCCUAGUUCAAUCGAUCCAUUCGGUUUGAUUGAAUAAAUUAAUAAGAAUAUAUAAAAUCGAUUCAACUGUCGGUUCAGCCGAUUCACUACUCAAUCAAUUUGACCCUUUAUUUCAAACUGAUACCUCGAUCGGUUUUCAAUCUGACUUUGAAAAGAGUAACAAAACUUCAUGCAUUUAAUUUAAUACAGUAUAAAUAUUCAAAAAUUUCAGUUAUACCUUCAAUUUUAAAUCCUUGAUUUCUAAUUUAUACCUAACUACCUAAGUAAGUCCAUUUAUGCCCAGUACAAUUGAUUUAACUAGUUGAUCUGAUUUAGCUUUGAAUAUAGAGAUGAAGCUUCGUGUUUUUUUAUUUAAUAUGGUAUAAAUAUUUAAAAGUUUCAUUUAUACCAUAAUCUCCACAAUUUUAAUUUAUAAAUCCCUGACUUUUAAUUUACACCUAAGUAAGUCCACUUAUUUAAGUACAAAUCAAUUCGACCAUUUCAAUUGCUUUGAUUGGUACGAUCGGUUCAGUUGGUCCAUUCAAUUCUAUUAAAAAAAUCAUAAAAAAAUUGGUUGAACCUCCAAAUCAAUCGAUGACCGAUAUCCUGGCUAAUUCUCUGUCCGAUCAACCAGUCUAGUCUAGUUCAAACAAAAAUGUUCAAAAUCCUCCUAAAUAGUUAAAUUAAAAAAAAUCAAUGCUUAAAAUUAAUUGAGAUCCAAAUCUAAAUUUGAAUUAUCCAAACAAUAAAUUUGGAUUAAUUCAAAAUCUUGAAUUUCAAAUAAUUUAUUUCUCAAAAAUAAAUUAGGAAUAAUAAAUUCAUAAAUCAUAAAUUUCAAAGCUAAAAUUUUGAAUUUCAAUCCUCAAACAUUACCUUAAUUUAUUCAAACUUUAUUUCUUAAAUAUUUUUCCUAAAAGAAUAAAAGCAAAUAAAAAUCAAUAAUCGAUUGUGAGCAAAUCCAAUAUCCACAAAGAUCUAAAUGAAGUAAAUCAUUUAAUAUGUCAGUUAACGAUGGAUGCAAAUUAAGUUGAGGGAUCAAAGACGAUGAUCAUAUUAAAGCCUUACACUGGAGUGUUUAGUCUUCUAAUUAUAUCUAAUCAAAGACUAAUUAGAGAGCAUCAUACCUAAGCAAAGACUUAUGAACUGGGAAAAAGGUGGUUUAUGUAUAAUGCCUUACACUGGAGUGUUUAGUCUUCUAAUUAUAUCUAAUCAAAGACUAAUUAGAGAGCAUCAAACCUAAGCAAAGACUUAUGAACCGGUCCACAUAAAUUAAAACAUGUUUCAAACCGAUUUAAAAAUAAUAACUAGUUUUAUAUAAAUAUAUAUAUUUUAUGUUAGCUUUUAAUAAUAUUAUUAAUUACAUAGCUAAGACAAUAUAAAAAAAGAGUUGGCAACUUUACAACUUUACCUACAUUCAUAAAUUAAUUUCAUAAAAUGGGUAUUUUAUUUUAUUUUUAUAUUUAACAAAGCUUUGACAUUAUUGAUUAAAAUGAGUAUUUUUUUUAUUAAUUUAAUCCUCCGUUAUAAUUACUUGUAUAUAUAUAUUGAUUUGUCUCUAAAAUUUUGAUAAAUAUUUAUAUUUAUCUUGUAAAUGUAUUUUAUUUAUUUGUAGAGGCAACACUUUGAAAAUAUUUUUAAAAAAGAGAGCUGCUGGCUUAUCUUAAUAAAAAUUUAACCAAGUUCACCGACACUUAAGUUUUUAGUUUGCGUCUUGGGUGUGCCACUUUUGUCUGAUUUUUAUUUUUAUUUAUCAAGUAAAAGAACCUGUAAAAAACAAUGGUGGUGGUGGUGGUGUCCAACGUUGCCUUCCAAAAUUACUACCUAACUCUGCCUAAAUUGUCUGUUGUGGGGACGAGUAUCCAUAAGUUCGAUAUUUCCUCGAUCAAUUGAAAAUACUUGUCAAUAUCAUUGGUUAAUAUUUUUUCUGAAAGAAAAAAAAACCCAUUAAAUGGUCGAAAUAGUUGGAAUUUAGUUCAAACCCUAAUCACAGAAAUGUCAAAAAUCAUAAUUCUAUAGUGGACCGGGUGUCUAUUAAAAUAAAAAACAAAUAAUAUUCUGGAAUAUAAUGAUGAUACUUGGGAUCUGGUUUAUUAAUUUUCUAAAGCAGUCAAGCAAUCCAUGUGAAACAGUUGAGCCAAAUAUACCCCCAACAACAAUUCUCCCUCUAUCACUGAAAAGUGUCUUAGACCAAGCUCCUUUUAAGUUUACUGUUCUGCUUUGAUCAGCUCCAGUAAAACUUUGAUUUUUUUGGAUAAUUAUAGUUACCUUUAGUCACUUCUACUGAAAAAAGCUGUUUUCUUCCAUUAAAAUUAUGUCAAUCUUCUUAUUAGUCUUCAAUAAAAUCUUCUUAUUAGUCUUCAAUAAAGGGAUAACCUGAUUUUUUUGGUUACCAAAUCCCUGGCUCUUUUAUUUUUAUUUUUUUGAGGUGUACCAUUAGUGGGUCUGCUUUUGUACUCUCAAUAAGGCAGUAUAAUUUUUGUUCCUUCAAGUUAUAAAUAUAUACCCAUGUUUUGCUUCAGGGUGUUGUUUCAGUUUUCACUGCUUUGUUUCUCUUAUCUUUUUCUUGCUUUAAUGCUUGGCUAAGAGGCCUGAGAGAGGGAUGGAACUUUUUUGAGAUUGAAUUCCAGCUUUUUUGGAAGUGAAAAAAAAUGGGGUUUCAGUUUCAAUUUAUUCUCCUGCUGGUGACAAUAUGUAUAACUUUGAGUGCCAUGUCAGUUGAUGGAUCAUCAGGUACUAAUGAUGUCUAUAUCUGUUUUCUUCUAAGCUGAUCUUUUAUUUUUAUAGCGGGCUGUUUUUGAUCCAUGCAUUUGUUUGCCUUUUUUGAUUGAGAUUUUUCAUUAAAUUUGUACUCAAAAUCCAUUUUAAAGAUCUGGGUUAUUUAAGCUAGUUUCAGUGAUCAAGAACUAGGAUAAUGAAUGAUGAUGUACUUUGAGCUUGUUGUGAAAUUGGCACAGUUGAGAAUUUAAGUAACUGAUGGAAUCUGCAUUUCAUGAUCACUGAGAAAAGCCUGAAUGAGUGAAUUUGAAAUCAGCGUGUUCACAUUUCGUGAUUCCUAGAUAGUUUUGAUUUUCAGAAGUUUAUUUCCUGGGGAUCUGUUGUUCUGAGGGUUUUAUCAUUGAUAAAUUGUCCGAAUAUUCCAUGGCUCGUGGAGAUUAAUGAUGACGGGCGACUUUGUCGUCCAAAAGCUAAUAGAUUGCUUUGAUCUACAAUCUACUACAUGGUGCUCUUACAUCAAAUCCAUCAUUUCCUUUGAAAAAAAAACACAUGUUUAGGAAAGCAAAACGAUUUGUCACUAAAAAACUGACAGUAAUGCGGUGCGGUGUGUCUAACUUAUUUUUUGUCUCAUGCUACAGUAUUUAAUUUCACCUCACCGUUGUUUUUACACAAACAACAGGUAAACGCACCGUCCAUCCAAACUCACAUUAAUGGAGUUUGGUAUUUAGGUUCUCAUUAUAGCAUGAUAUAUCCAUUAAAUAUAUGAAUUUAGCAGUCAUGAUAUAACAAAUGUUGUCAUCAUGAGGUUCACUGACAUUACUAACUUAAAGCAUUUGCUUAUUGAUGUUGCUGCUUAAUCUGCCUAAGUUUUUGUUCCAUUGGUAUUUUUGAUGCAGUAAGAGCUUCAUGGACGCCGCCAAUAGUAAUGCCAGCAGAAGCACCAACCAUUCAUCCUAUCGGGCUAGGUCCACCACCAUCGACGCAACCAGGUGAAUGUCACAAAAUGGGAUUUUUGAUAGACUAAGACUGCAUAUAUCCCAAUGCUUGAUUUCUUUUUGGAUCUUAAACACCACGGUGCUAUCUAUGAUCUUAGAAGAAAGUUUUGCAAGAAAGAAUAUGAAAGUUUCCAGUUAAUUCUGUUUCCAUAACAUCACUGUUCUUGCUGAUCACGUCUAAUAUAUUGAUGAUCCACAAUGAUUAAUGUUCAUUCGAUCUUUUUUAUACCGACGUUACAGAUCCAGCACCCUCUCUGACACCAACUACUCCCAGCUUUGGCAGGACAAGAAAUGGAAAGUUGGCUGCUGUCCCUUCUAGCAAAGUAUUCCAUCAUUCAUCAUCUUCCAUGGAUCACUCUCCAACUAAAGGUGAGUGGAUAAUCUAGAAUACCUUCCGUCUUUGGAAAAGGUAAUGAAACCAUCAGUAAAGGUUGUUCUCUUUGAUUUGUAGCCAUCCAUCCGCACCAUGCCUUGAAGCCUUCAAGUAUUUCGGUUGCACCUACUGCACCAUCUUUUGGACCCCCUGCAAAGAAUUGGAUGCAUGGUCCUGCAUCCUUACCUUUGGUCCCGUUUCAUAAGCAUCAUCAUGCAAGGAAACAUUUCAGAAACUCUGCUCCUCGACCCUCCUAUUCAAUUCAUCAACCUGCUUACAGGCAGCAAGGUUUAAUUCUCUCCCUUGGUAGCCCCUAAUAGUUAUUUUUGAGGAUUAAAACUAAUUGAUAUAUAUAUGUAUUCACACUUAAAAUACUUCUAAAUGCACAGUUCCUCCCGUCUCUCCUUCUCAAUAUCCCACUCCCAGCUGGGUUUCACCUGCACCAUCACCUACUGCCACGUCAAACCACUUUCAUAGUAUGGAUCAGUUUACUUCUUUCAUUUGCUUAACAAUGCUUUCUUUUACUAACUUUAAACUGUUUAUUAAUAACUAUCAUAUCAUCUUCAUGAUUGUAGAUAUGCCCAUUCUUCAACCUGCAAUUUCUCCGAUUGCUUCUUCCCUGAAGAAGAUGAAGGCUCCGCCACCAUCCAUCGUUAUGGCACUGCCACCUCCACCUCCUAAUAAAGGUACCAAGUACCUCCUGUAUGAUCUAUGUUUUCUGAUCAAGAGAAGAAAACAAAGGUUAAAUUCGAUAUCAUUUGCAGAUUGUACAUCAGUGGCAUGCAGUGAGCCCUUAACAUAUACACCUCCUGGAUCACCUUGUGGUUGUGUGUGGCCAAUUCAAGUUAAGCUUCAGCUUGGUGUUUCAAUAUACACCUUUUUUCCUUUGGUUUCAGAACUGGCUCAGGAAAUUGCUGCUAGUAUAAGACUAAAUCACAGUCAAGUUAGGAUUAUGGGGGCAAAUGCAGCUAGUCAGGAGCUUGAGAAAAGUACAGUCCUCAUCAACUUGGUACCAUGGGAAGUAAAAUUUGACUAUACAACAGCAUUAUUAAUCUAUAAUAAGUUUUGGAGUAGACAGGUCUUCAUAAAGGCCUCCCUUUUUGGUCCCUAUGAAGUCGGUUAUGUUCGCUAUCCAGGUAAUAUAUCUGUUUCUCCGUUCUUUUAGGUUGUUUUCUGGAUAAUUUCACUAUCAGAUGGCAUGAUCUGAAGACUUUUGGAUGAUUCCAACAUGUAAAGGUCUUCCACCCUCACCGCCUGUAGCGAGUUCCAGCGUUUCUGCUAUUGAUGACGGGCCAUUCACUGGCCAUAACAAUCAUGGACAAGCAAUAAAACCUUUAGGAGUUGAUGUUCCCAAGAGGAAGAGAGAAGGGCCUACACGAAGCAUGAUAGCUGUGAUUAUUCUGUCAUCCUUUUCAGCCUUUGUUGUAUGCUUGGGGAUCAUUUGGCUUUUUCUUUGGAAAUGGGGCGCUUGUGUCAAUGAACCGGAACAUAAACCGCAAACUACAACGUUUUCUCCACCACCACCGUCAGGUACUUCCAUUAUGACUGAAUUCAUAGAGGGUAUUUCUCAUAGAACAUGAUUCGGCUUUCAAAUAUAAAGCUUGUUGCCAGAUUUUGUUAUGAAAUCAGGCUUUCUUCCUUGUUCAACUUGAAUUUCCAGUUUGCUGUUCUUCUAUAAUCUGUCAUAAUUACUCCAAAGCAUUAUUGUUCAGACUUCAUUUUGUCACAAAUCAUAAAAUUCGAAUACAACAGGGUCUACUAGAGCUGUGAUGCAAGGAAGCAAGUCCAGUGCUGCUUCAAUGUCUAUUAGUUCCGGUGGGAUGACAUAUACAGGAUUGGCAAAGAACUUCACCUUAAAUGAUAUAGAAAGAGCGACAAAUAGCUUUGAUGCUUCACGGGUGAUUGGCGAAGGGGGUUUCGGCAUUGUCUAUAGAGGCAGUUUAGAUGAUGGAGCUGCGGUGGCUGUUAAAGUUCUGAAGAGGGAGGAUCAACAUGGGGGACAAGAAUUCUUGGCAGAAGUGGAGAUGCUUAGCCGCCUGCACCACAGAAAUCUGGUUAAACUGAUUGGUAUUUGCACUGAGGACAAUACACGUUGUCUCAUCUAUGAACUUGUUCCAAAUGGAAGUCUUGAAUCCCAUUUGCAUGGUGAAUAUCUUCAGCAUAACUAAAAUCCCCUUUCCACAUUUUCCAUUUGCAAGUGAUUAGACUGCUUACAACAGCUUAGAGAUUGUUUUAAUUCUCUAUCUAUGUUCUCCCAGGAGCUGAGAAGGAAACUGAUCCACUCGACUGGGGUGCUCGAAUGAAGAUUGCGCUUGGUGCAGCUCGAGGUUUAGCUUAUUUACAUGAAGACUCCAGCCCCCGUGUUAUACACCGAGACUUCAAGUCCAGCAACAUCUUGCUGGAACAUGAUUUUACACCAAAAGUUUCGGAUUUUGGAUUGGCUAGAACCGCAAUAGAUGAAGGGAACAAAUACAUCUCAACACAUGUGAUGGGAACCUUUGGGUAUGAACUUCUGUACCAUCUUUCCUGAAACAAUCUUUUUCUAUUUUCAUGACCAUUUAUGAUUCGAUACUCGCAUGCCUCAUGAGAAUCAGCUGUCUAAAUUGCUUAAAAUGUAGUUAUGUUAGUACUUUUUCAUUCUUUCUUUUUCUACAUCUAGAAGAUUUGUAACUUAUAAACUACUCAUUUUUCAGUUACUUGGCUCCGGAGUAUGCAAUGACCGGUCACCUUCUUGUCAAAAGUGACGUUUAUAGUUAUGGGGUGGUUCUACUUGAGCUCUUAACAGGGAGGAAACCUGUGGACUUGUUACAGCCCCCGGGUCAAGAAAAUCUCGUUGCAUGGGCUCGUCCACUCCUUACAGACAAGGAAGGUCUGGAAAUGGUCAUCGAUCCAGCCAUAAAAUCUGAUAUCUCACUUGAUAGCAUAGCAAAGGUAGCGGCAAUUGCAUCAAUGUGCGUGCAGCCGGAAGUAUCUCAUCGGCCAUUCAUGGGUGAAGUUGUUCAAGCAUUAAAACUAGUAUGUAAUGAAUUUGAUGAGAGAAUGGAGGUAGAAUCAAAAGCUGGCAUCCAGGAGGACUUUCCUAAAACUGUAGAUAGUAAACUUAGUAGACUUUCCAGUGAGCCUGUGGAAGCUUCAGAUACCUAUCACCCAAUACCUGGCUAUGAUUAUAGCCAUGAGAGCAAUAUACCAUUGUCUUCAUCGGAUCUUUUAAGUAUCCCACCGGGACCUGAGCUGCAGGAGCCUGGGUCAUUUAGGAGGCACUCGUGUUCGGCCCCCCUAGGAACAGGAAGGAGAAGACAUUUCUUGCAGAGAAUAAGAAGUUUAUCGAGAGGCAGCCGAAGUGAACACGGAUUUUCUGUCAAAUUCUGGCGAGGGUCUCGUUAAAAUUUUGCUAAAACCGUUUUCAUUGAAGUUGCAAUAAUUUCCAUGGGAAAUUAGAGUUUGUUCUCUUGAAUCCAGACUGAUGCUUUAUUCUCUUACAUGCAUGCACCAGAUGAAAAGUUGUGAAUUUUGUUCUUUUUUCUCUUGAUAUAAUAUGUCAGUUAUGGUUUCCAUCAAUUCUAGGAAUACCAAUGAUGUCUAUCGAGUGUGUGUGCGUGUAAAUGGAAAAUACCAAUGACACAACACAAUAUCUUAAAAUAGCAUUGAGUCAUUGACAACUACGUAACCUGAUCGUCUUAUGCUUUUAUGAAAAUCUCAUGCGACAGCCAGAGUUUAUAUGCAAAGAGCUUGAGUUCUUCAAGCACAGCCCUCACAUGCUGGCCAACAACAAUCUUCUGCGACUAAAGUUGUCAUUUAAUAUCCUCCACGGUUAAUAUUUUAUAAUGUUGGUAGCUUAUAAUAUUUUAUUAGAUUAAAUAAUUGUAUUGUAAAGAUGUAACAUUUGUAUGUAAAUUUAUCUUAUAUAGAUAUAUAAUUUUAUAUAUAACUUUAUAUAAAAUUAUUUUAUAAAACAACGCAAUCAUGUGAAAGGGUGUCUCAUUAAAAGAUAUAUCUCUAUGAAAGGUAUAUCAUGAAAAGAUACAUCUAUUAGAUGUAAAUAUAAAUGACCUUUCUAUUAGUCAUUCUGACUAUUCUGCUUAAAAUAUUGAGGAUUUUGUUAUAUCUUGGAUGUAUUUUAAAACCUUAAGAAAGUGUUCUACACAUCUCAAAGUCAAUAUAUUUUAAUAAUAUUAUUAUGCAUCAUUUUAUCUAAAUUCUUGAAAUUAUCAAUCCAUAAGUUGUAUUCCAAAUAAUAUGAAAAGAAAUCAUGCAACAAAAUAAAUAAUUAGUUCACUUACCUGUAUUGUAAUCAAAGAGGAGACAACACUUAUAAUUUGUAGUCAUAGAAUAAUUUUUGUUUCAACCUUGAUCUUAAAGCAUGCAUCACGACAAUAAAUCACUAUUCUUCCUUUGUACAUCAUAUAUAAAAUUAUCAUAUGAAAGGCACAUUUUAAAAUUGUUAUUUUUAGUGAUAAAAAAAAUCUAUUGAUAAAUGAUUGUCACAAAAUCAUAUAAUAAUAUAUUGAUAAUAACAAAACAAUUAAUAAAAAGGUUGUUAACAACGAUUAAAUAACUGAAUAGUAAAGUUACAAUAAUAGAGACCAUUUAAAGUGUAGAUUCAAAAUAAAAAAAGUGAUGAUUUGGUAAAGACACCUCAACAACAAUUAAUGUAUUAUAUAUAUGCUUUGUUUAAUGUUGGAAUUAUUAUUAUUUUAUUCUAAGUAAUAUUUUUUUUUGCAUGGUUAUAUAUAUAUAUGAUAUAAUGAUAUAUUACUAAAUUUAUAUGCUCUUAUAUUGAAUUGAUAAAAAGUUUUAGAACUAAAGUUUCGAAAUAUCAAAUGAUUGCUAUGUUAGUAAUAUUUCAGUUGAAAUUAUAUUAGUGAGAAUAAUGCCAACAAAAAAAAGAGAAAGAUAAACAUGUAAAAUAGACAAUUGCUAAAUUUCCCGGGGCAUAGUAAUCUCUUACAUAAACUUUAUGCACUACUACAAACACUGCUCUUCAAAUGCCACCACUUGGUCUCAUGUCAUUAUUACACAUGAGCAGCUUUUCCUAGUCUUCUUCUCAAAAUCUUGACUCCCAUGUACCUGCAAAAAUCAGAACAACCAGGUUAAUUUAGCUCCAAAAUCAUGAUUGUUUACCAGCUUUGGUCUCAACGGUUACUGCUGGUUGGCAUGACUAAUGAAAUGUGUAGACAAAGCUAACCUGCCCAUCAUCAAGACAGUGCCCUGAGGAUUUGUUCCAGGGGAUUCAUUAAAUGUGGAGCCAUCGACAAUUCGGAGUCUGUUGGUGCCAAGAACUUUGAGGUCAGGAUCCACCACUUUGCCGACGUGGCACCCUCCAUGGUAAUGCCAAAUUGUGAUCACAGUGUCUUUGCAGAACUGCUCUAGGGACUUGGUGUCAUUAGUAUGCUUUGGUAUAAGGUUAAUGUUAGCCUUGACACUCAUGUUAAGAAGCUUCUCUACAGUUGGUUUGUCACACCUUGUGAAGUUUGUGAAAUGUUUUGAUUGUAUAACCUUGGCAGCCAUGCGGAUCCCGUCAACGCAUCGCUGCAGAUCACGUGGGUGGUGGAAGUAGUUGAAGGUAACUGAAGGGUUGUCAUCGAUGUUGGUGUUGACCAAGUUGAGGUGCCCCGUGGAAAUAGGCCUGGCAAUCUUUUCCAAAAUGAAACCUCCCUUGAAUGCUUCAUGUGGUAGGUCUCGUUUUCUUUUGAUGAAAGCUUGGAUCGCUUCGGGUGUCCUUUGCUUCGGAGGAAUCGUAGAGAGCUGACCGAUCUGGUUCAGUAUAACAAAAGACAAAAACCAUCAGGAAUAAACCAAUUCCUAAUUCAUGAAAUUUGUGAAUCGACAUUGCAAGAAAGUUUACAUUUAUUUAUCUCUUCUUAGUUAAUUAAUCAAUAGUACUUGAGAUCACCUCAGCAGACAAUAUUCCAUGAUGGCAACGAAUGCUAUCCUGGGACUGUCCAAAUCCACUGCUGGAUUCCAUGUAAACCCCCAUCUUGGUAAUGCCUACAGUUUGAAUAAGGGACUGUUCCACUGGUCGAUUAGUGGGGACGAAAACCGAGUUCAUCGGGUUAUCAGCCAUGCCUUUGCCAACAAACUCAUUGCGCAGAACCAUAGAAAUGUUCAAUUUGUCGAGUUCAGCCUUUGGUCCAAUACCACUGAGCAUUAGCAUUUGAGGAGUUCCAAUUGCACCACAUGACAAAAUCACUUCACUCCUCCGAUUGUUUGUGAGAAAUGCCUGAUGCUGGUUCCCAUUUUCAUCCUUGAAAAUCACUCCCAUUGCCAUUGGUCUCCUCCCUGUACCAGACAUCAAUUUUUUUUUCAUCUCAUUAACAAAUUAAAUGAUAGUAAGAAAAGGGUGUAUGUAUAUAGAUAUACCUGUUUGAUCGAAUAAGACUUUUUGGACGGUGGCAUAUACCAAGACAGUAAGCAUUUUGGGGUUUGCAGAAGCAAGCAGUUCGGCUGCAGUAUGGCGACGGCCAAAGCGGUCGAAAAGGGUACCUCCAACUUUAGUUCCAUGGAUAUGAUCGUAGGUGAAUCCAUUAUAAGGUGACACCCCAACAUCCAAAAGGCUGUCCUUGAAGGCACCCUGCCAUUGUGCUAGUUUAGGCUGGUGAAUAAUUUGCUUCUCCACCCAUGGAUAUGACUCAUUCACUAGCCUUUCAUCCCAACCCACUCUCCGGAUGAAACUGUAAUAUUCACCCAACGAACUUCAAACAUCAAUGCUUAAUGACAAAAUAGUAGGGUAUACAUAAAUUUUGAAGUAUUUCAGCUAACCAUUUAUUACGCAUAUUUGUGGUUUAUUUGUACUGUUGAAUACCCAAGUUAAAAAAAAAGUCAACUGAGUUCCAUGGUUAAAUUUUUUAUUAAAAAUAAUUAAGGUCCUAAUAAAAAAUUGCAUUCGGCCGAGUUCUUAAAAUAUAAAAAAAAUAUCAAAAUCCUUAACAGAUCAUUAAGUGAUAGUGUAACAAUUGAUAAAAAAAAUGACAUGACAAUUAAUAUAUUAUUUAACAUGAAAAAACUGAUAUGCGACUUAAUUGAUUUUAAUUAUUUUACAAGUUUUGAUAUCAAAACUAUCAUAAAAUUAAAACUAUCAAAACUUAUAAAAGUAGUAAAAUUUUAAAUUUUAAAAGUUCUAUUAAUUUUUUAAUAAUUUUUAUAAUUUUAUAUAAUCUCUACUUAGUUUCAAAAACUUUAAUUUUUUAAAUUUUUCAUAAUAUUCAUAAAAAAUAUAGAAAAUUAUUAAAAAAUAUAAUACACCUUUUUUUAUUUUCCCGUCAUAUAUCACCAUUAUCAACAUCCUUCGCAUCGCUUUCAUUCAACCAAAGUCAUUUUUAUCACUUACAUUAAGCCAUCAAACAAUAAAAAUAUUGUCACUCAAACCCCUUAUUUAGCAUCGAUACAAACUUGAUCACCAUCAAACUUUAUGCUUCUCAUAUUUUUUAUUACUGAAACCAAAGAUUUCAAACCUUCAAAAUAACAAAAAAAAAAAUAUAUAUUUCUAUUAUAAUCUUCAUAACUUUUUAACAAAGUUAUAAUAUUUUUUUAUAAUUUUAUAUAAUUUUUAUAAUUUUUUAUAAUAUUUUUCAUAUUAUUUUUAAAAUACAAAUUUUAUAAAUUUUCUAUAAUUUUCACAAUUUUUAAUUUAUUAUAUUUUUUAUAAAUUUAAAAUUUUUAUAAUUUUUUUCUAUAUUGUAUAAUAUCUUAAUAAUUUUCAAGUUUAAAUGUUAAAAAUUCUUAUAAAAUAAUUAAAAACUCAAUUAAGAUCUUAAAAAAUAAUUUAAAAAUCAAUUAAACAGUCACGUCAACAUGUUUUCAUGUUAGCCCCAUAUCAUAAUUCUUUCAAACUAUCACAUCAUCCAUUUAUCACUUAAAAACUCAUUAAGGGUUUUGAAAAGGUUUGUGAGUUUUCUCUUUUCUUUUUUUUGUCUUUUUAGCUUAAAAAGAGUUUUUAGGGUGAAAAUGAAAACGGUGUUUAAUUUUUUGAAAUGACAUCUCCUUACCACCAAAGCUUCCAAAAAAAGGAAUUUGCUGACACCUGACAUAUUACUUUCGUGCAUUGUUGAUGGUACCCUACGUAACUCCUAAGACCAAAUGUGUUGGAAAAAUAACGAGACUCUUCUGGUGUUAUUUUCAGUGUGAUGGUUUAGGUUUAGGUUUUUUUACGUUUUAUUGUUAUUUUUAUGCUAUCUAUAAAUAAAUAGACUAUUCAUCUAAAUAAGGUUAUGCGUAUAACAUGCUGAUGUUUAAUUUAUAUAUAUUUAAAAUAUUGUAUUUGUAUGCAUAUUUUUAAAAUAAUAAUAUAAUUCUCUAAAACUUCAAAUGAAAACAUUUAAUUGCCUAAAAAAGAUGAUCAUAAUUUCUUUUAAAGCGAAAACUAAUUAUUUUGAAGGAAGAACAUGGGAGCUCGGAUAACGGAACUAUAAUUGUUGGCCAUUAAUUCUUUGUUGAAUUUGUGAGGACAUGAUAAUUUAGAUUUUCUUGAAACUUAUUAUAGACUGUGAACUACUUUUGACAGAUUUCAAUAUUGCAGGACCCAAUUCUACAUGUUAUAUAUAAUAUUAUCUCUUCUUCUUUUUUAAUAUAUGUAAAAAAGAUGAAUUGAAGAGUAUAGAAGUCGACAACAUACCCUGAGUUAGCUCUGGUGUAAAAGCCAGCAUUGAUGCAAGUGCCACCACCCAGAACCCUAGCCCUUGCAUUGAUGACACCAUCGGUUGAAACAAAAGGUUGGGAAGCAGAGGUGGGGGACGUGUCUGCCAGGGCGAUGUGGAAGUUGCUGAGGAAGGAGACAUUGACGUUUGAGAAGGGAACGCCUCCUCUCUCCAACACCAGCACACUGAAGUUUUGAGACAGUGUGGCUGCUAAGGGACAUCCUGCUGUGCCACCUCCCACUAUUAUGUAAUCGUAUGAUGCUUCGUCUGUGUUUGAUGAUGAGAACGAUGAUGAUGAUGCCCAAAAUGAACUCGCCCUUUUGAUGAAUGGGUAUUUGAAUUCAUAAUAAUCACUGCCACCUGCAACAGUUGCCAGUUUUUCCAAUGUAUUCUCAAGUUAAUUCAAUCAACUAUCUAUGAUCCAGAAAUAAGGUACAGAAAAAUGAGACGCAAUGGUACAUCAUUAAUCAAUUAAUCAAAAACCCAAAUUUAUUCAAACGAAAACAGAUCCAAAUAAGAUGAUUUUCAGAUUCUAAAAGAGAGAAAUAUUAUUGAUCCUACAAGAAUAAAGAUAAAUUCUAUAUUAUAUACCCAACAUACAAGAUCAGAAGAAUCAAGUGCAUAUAUAUACAAGAGCUGAGAGAAGCAGAAAAAGGAAAAAGACCCUGAAGAAAAGGGAGAGUAUUGAGCCAAAGAAUCAAACAGAUAGAAAGCUUCUUCAAUGCCCCAACAAAAGCAGCCAUUGAAAGGCUAAACAGCAGCAGAUUAUCAAACUCAAAGCAAGAAUCCUUUGCUUCCUGAAAAACAAACAGAUUCCUCUUUGCGGCUCUCACUGGUUGGCCUUGUUUUGUGUGUUCUAUAUGACACUUAAAUCUCUCUCUAUAUACAGCUUAGCUUCGAGCUGAUCAAUUAUGAUGAAUAUAUAUAAAAAUUAACUCCAACAUACGGUAGCCAAGCAAACUAGACAGCGCAUAUUAUAAUGAAAUCGAAAAAGGAAACAAUAUAUUAAACGGUAUUUAAAAUCACUGCAACGAGGGCUGGUGUAAGUCAUUAAUGUUGAAAUGAAUGCCGGAGUUUGGAGUGUAGGACUCUCCUUUUAAUUUAUUGGCCGUUGGAUUCAAACUCUACGUUCAUUUCCAUCAUCCAGCUCAUAUACUCUAUCCUUUUUCUACAUUCAUUGAUGUAAUAUUUAUGAUCUUGUGGAACAUUCAAGAAUAAUGCUUAAACCUUUGAAUAUUCUAAUACACAUUUCUUUAUAAUAUCAAAAUCUUAAAUUCUUAAUCCUGCGUUCAAAUUUUAAAAUUAUUUCGUACUCUUGCCAUCUACAAAUUUUUUUUUCAUUUUCGGAUCUAAAUUGUUGUAGGGUAGGCUGGGUUUUGUUAAUUUGUUGGGUAGCUAUUAGACUAGAUAAGUUAUUUAGUUAAAUGCCACAAUUGAUGGUAGUGUAGUGUAGUCCUUGUUAUUAUUAUAUUAGGUGUAUUGUUCAUUUUUAAAGGUUAAUUAAUUGUGAUAAGAUUAUAUUAGGUUUAAUAAUGAUUUUUUAUUAUUAAAUAUUGACUUUGCAAUUAAAAAGUGAAAACAUUUCUAAAACCUAAUUUCUCUUUUAUCUGUGUUUUAUAAUUUGGGUGGGUGCCAUUUAUGACAACAUCUUUAAAUACUCUAUCCAAACAUUGAUAAACGAUUCAUUGAUGAAAUUUAUGGGAAAUAAAAACUUUUUUUUUUUUAUAUUUCUCUAAAAAUAUAUAUAUUCAGAAAAUUUUAUAUACAGACUGUCUGUAAGGGAAGGUGAAGAAAAAAAAGGACAGUGGAAAAAUAAUUGUAAAUUUGUCGGUUUAUUAAUUUGUAAAUGUCUUAUGUUGUAACAACUUUAAUAAAUGUGAUAACAAAAACAAACAAAUUUUGCAGGUUAGGGCUAAUUAAAAAAUCUUAUUAAAUCUCAUGCAAUGGUUUAACGAUUAAAGAUGUUUACUGUUUUAGGUGGUGUAAUCUAGAUUCGAGUUACGCUAGUCGUAUUUUAAUUCCUAUAUAAUAACAUACAUUAUAUAAAGGGAGAAUAUAAGAGUGUGAAAGGAUCAGACCAAACUAUAAGGGGAAUUUAUUAUUAUAUUACGAGUUUAAUUAACAAAUAUGUUUAUUUUGUACAUGAACAGAGGUAAACGGAGAGGAAAUUAAAAAUCUUGAAGUUUAACCCUAAAACAUUUAUAUUUCCUUUGAAAGUAAUUAUAGUGUAAAACCCAGACUCAAUUUGUUGAGCUAUUCAUAUACAACUUUUAUAUUUGUAUUCUAAUAAUGAAAUUUUUUUAUUUAUAUAUAGAAAAAAUAUAUAUUAGUAUUUUGCAUUUCCUUUCAUCAUUAUAUAAGAGGGGAUACCGUUUAGAUCCAUAUUAUACUUAAUACCGAAUAAAAACUCUAGUCAUUAUCCCAAAAGCGUUGAUGCAUUCUUUAGGAGACACCACUCUUGCAUUAAAAAUCCAACAUUUUUUUCCCUUGUUGCAUAUAUUCUUUAGCCGUGCCAUAUCAUAUGUCUGAAAUCUUAAUUUCUAUUCCAAGACAGAUGUCUUUUAUUGCAGCAAAGGGAAGGAGAAUAAAUUAUAAAAUAACUAUUAUAUUUAGAAAAUAACUUAUAUUAGGAUGAUUCUAAAAAUUAAGGUUUUUAGGCACCAAUAAAAUUUUGUCACAUCAUCAAAUUUUAAAGAUAUGAAAUUAUAAUUAUACACUCAUUCAUAGAGAAAUUAUUUUAUGAACCCUUACCACCACAUUAUUCAUGGUCCCUUUUCAAUUAUUUAAUAAUAUUUCAACAAUUUUUUCUAUGUUAUUGACAUAUAAUUUUGGUAAUUUUUUUACCAUGAAUCCUAAAUCUAGAAUCCUGAAUAUUGAAUAAAAAACUUAGAACCCCAAACCAUAACCCAGAACCCUUGCACCCUAAACUCGAACCAUGAACCUCAAACUCAUAAUAUAUAACCUUAAACCCUUGAACCUUGAGCCUUGAACCUAAACAUGUAACAUCAAACCCUGAACCCAAAACUCAAACCGAACCCUGAACCUUAAAUCUCAAACCCAAACCCAAACCCAGAACUUUGGAGUUUAGGGUUUAAGGUUCAAGGUUCGAGGUUCAGGGUUCAGGAUAAAAACAGUUAUCAAAAUUAUGUCAAUGAUAUGAAAAAAUUGCACAAAAAUAAAAAAAAAAUAUUAACUUAUGAAAAAACUAAUUAAAAUUUGUAAAAGAAUAAAAGAUGCUUGUUUAUAAUUUAAAAAAUUAAUUAUUUUAAGUAAUUUAAUUAAAGUUAAAUUAAGUUGGAAAAGAUAUUAGAUAUAUAUGAGUAUAUAAUAAUACUUUGUUAUCUUUAAAAUUUAAUGAUGUGGCACUAUUUUAUUGGUGCCUAAAAACUAUACUUUUUAGGAUGAUCCUAAUAUAGUUUAUUCCCAUAUAUUUAAUAGAAAAAACCUUUGAUUUAGAAUUUGAGAUAAAUUUAAUCAAUUUACAAAAUUAUUUUUUUGUUGAAAAUUUUAAACAAAGUUAGAAUUAAAAUCUUAAUAUAUAAACUACCAUCUACCGUAAAAAUAUCUGUACAUUAAUUCAUUGGGGAGAGAAGGUGGUUGAAUAAUGCAUCCUACAAAGCAAGCAAGCAUGCAGAACCCAAGUUUACAUUGAAGUAGUUAUUGACAGCUAAAAUCAAUUACUCUGAGCUAUUUCAUCCACGGCCACGACCUUUGAGUUCAGUUCUCAGCCUCUUUCUCUGGUUGCAAAUUGUGUGUCCUAAUACGAUGCACAUGAAAAUACCUACCCAUCCAGCUGUAAAUCAACAAGAACAAGCACAAAAGAAGGAUUGUUGUAGUCAGAUAGUAGUAAAUAUUCUUGAAAUUUGCGAUUUGAUGAUUUUUCAUUUUAUUUUAUAUUUCUUCAACUGCCUUAUUGGAAAAAGGGUCAAGUUACAAACGAAUGAGCAUUAAGAUUAUGAGUUAGCAAUUUAAUUAAGAGGGUGGGAAGGAAGGAAAGACCCGAGACUUCAAAAGAAACAGGUGAAACAAUAUUUAAGAUUUGUGCGGCUGAUGGAGAUUGGAGCGUAGUGCCGUAAAUAAUCGACGUACGUCCGUAAUAAUAAAAUCAAAAAUCAAAAUUAGCAUUGGUAAAAUGCCAAGGAAGGACACAAGAAUAUGCAUCCUGCUCAUGCAAACCAAAUUCACUAACCCAUAAUAAUUCUGUCGUUGAUGAACAGACAUGGCAUAACAUCACAAGCCCAUGCACCCUUCACUUUUAGUGAUAAAUCUCCAAAUUGGGUAAAAACAAGUAUUAAUAAGGCCUUACAACUUAUCCGACAUACAAUAAAUAUAAUUGAUGAUUAAAAACCUAUGCUGAAGAAUAAAGUAUAAAACAAAAAAGAAAAAACUAUUUAAUGGGGGGCUCAAUUGCAAGAAAGCCAAGGCCCCCACUUGUGUAAAUGGCACUUGCUCAAAAAACAAAAUGUCUUCUCAAGAUGUGUUGACUGUCACAUUCUUGGAAGAGAUGUAGACUUCAUGGACCAUGAAAUAACAUACGUGACAAACACCCUACCAUGAAAGCCAAGUACAAGACAGGCGUCUUCCAAGCACAAAGAAUGAAUUUCUGAUAAGUUAAAAUCAGUCUUCUUUAGGGGGACUAGAGUAAUCGAUAUCGUUUCCUGAUGCAGUUACUCCAGACGAAGCACUCGACGAUGUAUUGCUGCUGCUGCUUCCGUUUUGGAAGCUCUUGAAUGCUGUUGCACCCGAGUUUGUCUGAGGAUUGUUAGUUGCGGGACUUUGCCCCUGCUCCGCUAACUUUGUGAGAAGGUUCAUGACGGUGGGGAGAAACUUGGUAGAUAUGGAAAGAAGCCCUGGAAGCUGCAAGCAUAGAAAGGCGUAAAUUAGACCUUCAAUCAAAGGGAAAAUGGUGAAACAUAUUAAUGACAGUGACAAUUGGACUAAUUUGAAGGACAAAAGGCAGUUUUAGCUCUUCAGGAUAUAUCAAAAAUGCAUGACGUUACUAACAGCCACUGAACACACUUCAAUAAUAAUUUUAUUCAUAUAAUGAGCUGCAAAAUGGAGACCAAUGGAAUAUUUAACAAAUAGAAAAAGCACAAAGAUCUUACUAAUGGCUGUAUUUGAUGAAAAGCAAAUCUGUUUGGUAAAUAGGCUUUUGAAUUUUAAGUUUGCAUGCCCAGGAUGUUUUUAAAUGCUUUUAAAUACAUUGUUUCAAUGUAUUGUACUGUAAAGGUCAUUGCUAACUAAAUAUAUUAAGCCUGAUAACCAAGAAACCGGGGAUAAAAAAUUUUAGUUCAAAACUUACAACGCCAUGUUGGAAUUCACCGGAAAUGUUAAGUUGCACCCAUAGAGCCUUCACAGUAAGGUAACCCACAAAGAGGACACCCAGAUAUAAAGGAUUUCUGCAAUGAGGAUAUUUGUAAGUAAGCGCAGGCAACAAACAAAGGAUUAUAUCAUUGAAUACUGACCAAACUUAAUUCAAAGCUACAAGUGCAACAUGCACCUUAGGAGAGUCAUAAAUUCAUUAAAUCCCAAGACGACCAAGGCAACAAUUGCCCAAGGAGGUGGCAUCCAGUUGUUGUUACGCCUGCUGGCUUCCUGAAAGCAGAAGGCAUCAGUUAACUCAGGGAAAAAAAACAAUGCAUUGGCAAUAACAUGUCUACCUAAGCCACAAUAUUAAUUCUGAAUUCUGGUCAAUAAAACUUUUGACAAUAAUACCAUAUAUGCUACAACAGAAGCAGUACAUGUGCAAAUCAGAGGAACAGAACAGGACAGAAUUUUAGGGCGCAAGCAGCAAUAAAUAAUGCAACUAAUUAAAGCCAGCUAAUGUGAAUUGCAAUUUGCAAUUGCAGAAGACUUAUUUUUCUAGCACUUUAGGCAACAUCGGAAUUUGAUUUGAAGACCGACAAUUCAAAUCAAUAUUGGAUGGGAAAAUGAUAAAACGAAAUCUUUGGAAUAAUUAGAAAUUGAAAAUUCAUGCCUGAGCAGAAAUGGCCUGAGUGACACUGUACUCUGUCUCAGCCCUGAAUUGCCGCCACAAAGAUUUGCACUGAACAGGUGUGAUCAAUGUCUUGGCGGGUAGAACCUACACCAAAAUCAGUCAUAAGAAUAUAUCAUGGAUGAUAAAUGGAGGAAAAGACAGUGUUCAACUGAUGAACUAAUAGCAUGAGAGAGAGGAAAUGUAUCAAGACCCUUGGGUUGCUUCAGCAUUAUGCAUUUAGGUGAAUGCCACACAAAUUUGACAUUUAUGGUAACCUUCAUUAUCAAACAAACAACAAACUACUUUUGACUUUCAAUAUUAAAUCCAUGUGGCCAUAAAAAUGCCAAAUGCAAUGUUCAAACAGUUUGUAUAGUGAUGUCUCUCAUAAAGAAUCUCAGCAACAAGACUUCACCUGUUCCCACGAGCUUGAGGCCAGGGGAUCAAAUGUUGUAAUGCUUUUGUCAGCCACAGCAGCAUUACUUUUAGUAUCCACCAAGGCAGAAGUUAGUGUAUUCUCGAUAUUAUCAACAUCAUCAUCCAACCGGAUGGCAGCCAUAACGGAUAGCAACUUUAAGGACUGAAAAAUAAAUCAUAAACAAGUUUAAAAGAGAAUAGAACUGUAGAAUGAUUCUGAAAAUCCAACAAAUGGGUUUACAAAAACAUACUGCAGAGCGAGCUGUUUUAGUGAUGGCUCGAAUAUCUUCCUUCCCAGUCCAAACCCGUGGCAUUGAAUCAGAAUCAUGACUAAACAAUGUUGAAAACCUGUAUGCAAAUUUAGAGUCAACGUCAAUUAUGUAUAAUGCCUAGCAAAUCAGGCACUUUAACUCAAUCAUUGAAAUAUGUCAUUACCUAUCCUUCAUACGUAUCAAUACCCUGCCAGCUUCUUCUCUUGCUUUUGCUUCAACCACACCUCUAGCAUAAUCCAGUAGACUUGUUAGCAUCUUCUCCUUAUCUUUUGCAUCCAUUUCAAAGCCAGAAAGGGCACUGGAGAGUCCAGAAACAGCUGAUACUGUUUCACGCUGGAGAAGUUUCUUUAUUGAGGGCCAGGUCUCAUUAUUAGCUCCAUCUAAAAAUGCUUCAACAGGUCCUGCUAAUGCCUCAUUCAGCUUUGCCUGCAAAUGCACCAUAAUUAUCAGUAAGACUCCAAGUGGUAAUAAACUAAUCAUAAACACUUGCUCUGGAUGUCACCAUGACAAAUUCUUCAAAGGUUAUGAAAUUUCUCGCCGAUAUACAGCACGGAAAACAAUAAAAAAAAGACAAGCAUAAUCACAUCAAUGCCAACAUUGAUAUGAGGUAAUUCGUUGUUUACUGUACAUCGUAUAUUAGAAUAAAAAGAAAACACUAAAUAUCCCAAACUUAAGAUCUUCAAAAGAAUUGAACUAGAAAAAUCCAGAACUUUUUUAAUCAGACCUAGAUUCCAUAUUUUAAAGUUUAAUAACCUAACUGUUUAAUAUGACAUCUUUGUUAAUUGGGCUUCUAUUAUUUUUAAAGUAAUCACAUUGCAGGUAAUAAGGUGAAAUUUUCAGCAACUAGCAACACAGUAAAGCUUGUUUGGGUUACACUAUACCCAACUAAAAACUAGCAAAACCAGCGUCACAACAAUUACCGUGUCAUGUCCCGCAAGUGAAUGCUUCAAUGAGUCUGGAAAGAGUUGAGCAUGAGAAAAUCAAGCCACGAGAUUCCCAGAGUGCCCCGAAAGACUCUAGAAAUCCGAAGGGACCGAAUCCGCGUAGAAUAUUCCAGAAGUUAUAGAACUAUCCAUCCAUGUAUAUCUUUUGGGGCUUGCCUAUGUAAGUAGAGGCUCCCCUCCCUCAUUUUUAGAUUCAAGUUAGCUCGAGUUGAGCACGAGAAAAUCGAAUCACGAGAUUCCAUACCGAACCAGACCGGAAUAGGGCUAUAUACAUUCUCAUUAUGAUAAGGGGUCAUUCGAGCGUAUAGAUACUAUGUUUAUAUAUGGAUGCUUACGUUGUUACAUUCCAUUUAGGAUUAGGAAUGGACGUAAUCGGGCCUCUCUUUACAUAUCUCUCGUUAUUUGGGAUCCUAUGACAAUAACUUGCAAUAAAUAAAUGGCUAGAAGAGACAGAAACAUAAGUUGUUAUACCUCAUAUGAUGAAGUCAGCUCUAAAAGUUUAGCAGCACGGACUGAAGCAACAUGUGUAUCAAUAUCACGGCAUAGCUUAUCCCUGACUUUAGAGCAAUCCCAAUUUGCCAGCUCAACAUUAGCAUCUACAAAAACAAUUUAAAAAAUCCACAUGUAUCCAGUCCAACAUUAGCAUCUGCUAAAACAAUUAAAAAUAUCCACAUGUAUCCAGUCCACCUUGUUGAGCAAAAAGCAAGGCCAUUGACAAACAACUAUAGCAUCAAACUCUCUAAAUGCAAAUCAAUAUACCGUUGCUUAAUUCAAAAUUUCAAUUCACAGUAAUGGUUUAAAAACUCAAUUUUGCCUAUAUGAAUAACUUAUUACCAACAAACUGUUUUAAAAAUACAUUUUCCCAUUUCAUAGCUCUUGAUUACUAUUCCAUAACUUUUAUUCCCAUGCCAGCUUAUAGCUAAGAGAAUGGUUAAUUGGUUAAUGAAAUUCAACCAUACCUGUGCAUCUUUCAUCAAACAAAGCCAUAUAAGAUUGAGUGCAGUUGCGAGCAGCCAAAGAAAACCCCUCCCCUCCAUUCAAAGCUUCCUCAAAUGCUUCCUUAAAUUUUUCAAGAGUUCCAGACCUUAAAUGUCCUAACAUGGAUAGGUAGGCCGGUUGGACAAGCUACAUCAGAAUACGAAAAGCAAAUGAGUUGAGAAAAUUAAAAUAACAAGAAAAACUGGAUAUGGACACAGUACAGAGCUAUUACUUGUAACAGUUUUUCUUCAAGUUGCUUUCGCUUUGCAGAUCGGACACCUUCAUCAAAAUAUGUGGCUUCUGCAUCAUACCUAAAAUUAGAACAAAGAACUUGCUGUAACUGAUAUGAUAGUAAAUAGAAAAUAAAUACAGGAAAAACAAUAACCUUGAAUUUGAUCAUUAAAUUGACUCUUAUUUGGCCAUGCCUCAAGAAAAUUUCCAUCCAUCCAUUCAUUUAAGCAAAAUAUAACAUUACCACCAUCUUGGAAACAUGGACAUGCAGUACGGAUACAACAUGAGUAGGACACUGAAAAUAAUUUCUAAAAUAGCAGGUAUGGCUAGACACCACAACAAAAAAGAUAUAUUUUUAUUCAAAUAAUGUAUAAUAAAAAAAUGAAAUUUGAACUUCUUAAUCAAAGACUUGAAUGUAAUUAGCUUUUUAAUAUUUUAAACUUGGUUUUGAGUAUAGAAACUUUGAACAUAAAAAAAACCCUUAAUAUUCAAAUAGCUCAAAUUCAAAGGUUAAAAAUCCCGUGUUAAAGGUGUCUGUGUUGAACAUGUAUCAGGUACCAAUAUGCGAGGGCAUAUUGCAUGUAUAUGCUUCAUAGGUCACCUUCAAGACGCACAAGCCAACAGGUUGCCAAUUCCUAUUGGUCUGUUAGCAUCAUAAUUCUGCACCGUCACUUUGACCGGAUGAAUCACUUAUAUAAUUUCUUCAAUGCUCAAAUGGUCAUUGCCUAAAUGAACUCAGCUACGUAGGUAGUAACUCAUUUGUAACUUAAAUACUACAAAACUUAUCUUCUAAUCUCAUUAAAGUAGUCUUACUCUGAUAGAGAAGUGCAGAGAAUUGAAUUCAGCUUCUUCCCAAAGCCAGCAACUGGACCAGACUGCACAGCUUCUUCUAAAAGACACCAGUUCUGUCAAAUGAGGUAAUAGGAUGGUUUGAGUGUCUAGAAAAAUAGCCAGCUGCACAGAAAAAUUGUGCAUGUGCGUGUGUGCAUCACAUGUUUAUGAAUGUAAAGAAUAAUCCAUAUACCUCAUUUGCAGUGAAACCAGUGAACUUCUCAUUGGCAAUUUCUUCACAGCGUACCGUAGCCACCAUGACCUACAGGCAACAAAAAAUCAACAAGAUUUACAAAAUUCAUUCAAGUUAUAGCUAAAAUUAAGUCUGAAAGGUUACCUUAUGGGCUGGAAGGUCAAGGUCUUUAUUCUCCUUAAUGACUUUCCAGAUCUGUUGUGCACUAAAAGAGAACCCUGAAGCAGGUACAACUCCCCUCCGAUCUCCAGCAAGGCCCCCCGGUGCAAUAGAGUGGUUGAACCGUUGUCUCAAAUUAGCAACCUUCAAUGAUAAUAGAAUCAGACAAACUGCCCAUUUGUAUGCCAAGUAAUCAAAUAUUUCAGCACCAAUAUCCAAUAUUCAGGCAAAACUAUACAGUAGUAGAGGUAUUUUAUUUUGGCCAUCUCCAGAAAAGAUAAAUUACACAGUAUAACCAGGACAAGUGAGGAAAAAAGAAUUGCAAAAACAUCAAUGAGAAAAAAGGGAGUCAUCAGACAAUCAAUAGGGUGAUGUCACAAAUCUAAAUGUAGAUAGUCAACUUCUCUCUUUCAAUUAAAAGAAACUUCUAAAUACUGUGAAAGCUUGUUUACAUGCUAUUCAUACAAAAUAUCCUUAUGCGACACGGUACCUGCUCUUUAAAUUGCUCCUCCUUUUCUUCAUAACUAGAAAGUGCAACAACCUCAACCUGGCCAUUAUCAGCAAUAGCAUUAAAUUGUCAGAAGAAAUGUUCAUUAGAAAAAGGUAUAAAGAGAUGUUAAACAUUUAAAUUUAUGUUGCAUUAACUCAUAACCGAAAAUCAUACAUUGAAAAAUUCACUUAAUGGAGUUUCCUUAUGUGCUUGUGGCUUUGGAACAGAGUCCCAUAUCUGCAGUUAAUGAUAAACAGGUCAGAAGAAAACAUUACAUAAGUUAAUCAAAAGAAGCACAAUAUAUCUGUACCUUCUGAAUAUCUUCUCUCAGAACAGGUUCUAAAUUUUCCAAUGGUGUCUGUAAACAAGAAAUAGCUAAGUAGUCAUAGACUCAAUUGAAAGUAGAAAAUUCUAAGUAUAAAGCUGAGAUGCUUGGAACUUUUUAAUGAAAAAGGUAAACAAAAACUAGCUGUCUAAGCACAAAAUGCCCACCCUUGUUUUAUCACGGAUAACAAACAUCAAAGUCGUUUUGCGGGGACUAAACAAUCGCAUCAUCACCUGCAACCAAACUCAACCAAAUAAAGAAAAGGACCACUUGAAAUUCAAGGCAUUGCUUAGAAAGGGCAGAGAAAGUGAAACCUGGAAUACGGUCUUUAAAAGAGGCUUGUUUGCAGCUUGCUCACGACCAAUAUCAUGACACCACCUAAAUGAAAGUUGCUCAAUAAUAUUAUUUGCAUGCAGUACUGACAGCAAUUAACUUAAAAUGAAAAUUCAAAACUAUAUCCAGCACCAUGUAGGUGCCAUCGCUUACAUGUUUAUGAGUACUAUAUCUGAAACCGCCAGUGCAAAAAGUGCACUUUGUUUCUCAAAUGCUGUGUCAUCCUGGAAUAAUGCAAAGAAAAUAAUUAAUAAGAUAACUUGGAAAGAAACUCUAAUCCUCUCCAUUUUUCACAAAACAAGGAAGAUAGAUAGGAACAGACAAAAACAAACAGACUAUCAACUUUUACAAUCUCAAACCACUAUUGAUUUGUUCAGCUUGGUACAUCACUCUAAGCUUUACGUGUUAUUGGAGCACCAAGACCUCUGUCUAAAAUCACCAAGUCUUCUUUUAACUAAAAAAUCCAGUGCAAAUCACCAAAUUUUGUACUUUCAUCAUGAUCGAUUUGAUUGCUCCAAUUUCAAGUAUAUUCUACUAAUCAAUGUUGCUGAAAAUAAUGCUAGGGAACAAAUAUCACCUAUGGUAGAACCUUUGUUUAAACAAGUAAAAAGAGAAUGGAACAUUCAGAACUGAAACCUUGACAUUAGAAAAAGAAAGAACUGAUGACCGACCUUUAAUUUCAUUUUACCAUCAGGUAAAACAAAAAUUCAUUCAAUAUUAGAACUACUGCCUACAACUAACAAUUCAGUAGCAACACCAUGCCAGUCAAAACUUGUUAGAAUUUUUUAGAUGUAGUUGAUAAAUUGCCAACAAAGCAAGCACUACCCACUCGAUUAAUAAAUCAAAAUGCAUUGCCAUAAAUACUCUUUUUUAUUGUCCUUUGGGGUGGGGGCCUGAAUCCUAUGUUUAGCAAAAACAGGCAAAAGAUCUUUAAGCUGACAAGCGAAAGGAAGGCAAACAACAGAGCAAGCAAAAGUAGUUCUUGGCAUAUCAAACAAUGUAGUUUCAAUUUUUUGACAAAACAUGUUAAUGAGAGAAUGCAAGCUAGCAACAGCACCUCCCCACGCUCUCUUCCAUCAGUGCCCUCCAAAUCCAUUACUAUAGUGCAAGGCUCUAUACCAGCACAUUUUGCCAUCCAAAUACCUUUAGUGGUUUGAGACCUGAUAAGAAGCUCAUUUCAUUAAUUGUUUGAACCGAUUGAAACAAAUGCAAUUUGCUAUUACAUAAACAAAAGUUACCUUCCCUUAAAUGCAUCCAUCUCCCUGAAAUUGGUGUAAAACAAAUUGUUUAACAGUGUGCUUUUACCUGUCAAGAUCAAGGAAAGUGAAGAGAAACUUUUAAUGUCAUAAGCAGAACUUAUUUAACAACCAUAGAAUGAUAAAACAGCUAAAAAUUGAAAUCAAUUAUGGAAUGCGUUACAUUCAAAAUAACAAUAAACAAAAUAUGGAUAUAACACUAGCUACAAAAGUAAUUACCAAUAUCAUGUGGUAACAAGUCCACCUGAAAGUGAGAUAUGAAAGAUAUGCCAAAAUGAAAUCAUUUAUGGCAUGAGUUACAUUCAAAAUAACAAUAACAAAAGAUGGAUAUAACACUAACUACAAAAGUAAUUUAACAAUAUCAUGUAGUAACAAGUUCACAUGAAAGUGCAAUAUGAAAGACAUGCCAUUUUCUGAAAACUGACAUGACCAGGCUUCAAGCUUAUCCUACUCUCAUUUGUAUCCCACAUAUUUCUAGUACAAUUAUCAUUAAACAUAGUGCAAAGUAAAUAAACAAAGCAGCUUACUAUGAACUGGGAAUAGACACCUAAGUAACAGGGAAAGGAAAGUAUAAAGCAGAAAGUCACAAAGAUAACAAGGCAUACCGCUGCUUUGCGGUCCCAUGAUGGAAACCACGGCAUAUGACAGACCGCAUUCAUGAAGUUUCACUUCCUUGAUAAAACUUUCGAUUCCAGUAUCAUUGAAUGAACCAUCUCCAUCAAUAAGUUGAACUGAACAACAUUCAUUGCUUGUCGCUGAGAAAUCAAAUGUUCAUAGCAUGUCAAGGUAAAGUGAGAAAGCAUCCAUAAUGCACACAACUAAACCGCCCUAUUCAUUUUUCCUUAUUAAUUUAAAAUUAAACUCUCUAUAUCAAUUAAUCAAGGAAAGGACAUUUUAAGUAUACCUAAACUGAAACAAAGUCUAUUUAUCUUUUGAUAGAGAAUUUUGACGUACUAAAUAGCUUUAACAGCUGGUAAUUCAAAUUCAAAUUCCAGUUCUUUGUUUUUUUUUUUUCCUUAGCUUCCUCAACAACCAAACAUACCAUAAACAUGAAAUUCAUCCCCGGUCCCGAUCCAAACAUCACAACGAAUUGCAGAUUUACACUACUAAAAGAAACUUUAGAAAUCUAAAAAACAGUAUUCAAACCCAAAUUUCCACCAAAAGAAAAAAAAAACCCGCAUCGCACCCUAAAUAAUAAUAAGAAAAAGAAGAAGAAGAAAAAACCAACAAAAUUAUUAAGGCGGCGCUGCUUGCUCAGCCGCUUUCUUUUGCCGUUACUUUACAGAAAUUAAACAAAUAAACCGCAAAACUAAUUGAGUAAUGAAAGGAAGAAACGGAUCACUGAAUAAGCUAUAAAUAGUGAGGAACAAAAAUGCAAAAAGAGAAAAAAAAAUAGAUUAGGAUGAAACGAUUCGAGGGUUUACCCAUUGAAUCUUAUUUGAAAUUGAAAGCUCGGAAGAUGAUGAGAUCGAUUCCGAUGAAAGACAGAUAAGAGAAAUAGAAAAACAAAGAUAGAUUUGAUCGAUCUGAAUGGGGGCACUUUGAAGCUCUUCUUCUCCGUCUUUAGUUUUUAUAGCAUCGUAUUUUCCUUUUAACUAGCACGCAUGUUUUAACUUUUGUCUUCGUCAACUUUAAUGAAUACGUUUAGAAAGAUGGUCUUCUCUUUCGAUUUAUUUUUCCCAAUGAAUCAAAUAUAAAUUAGUACUGUUUGAUUUUACUUUGAAUGAAAAAGGUCUUUCAUUUUUACUUAAAAUCUUUUUUGUCGGAGUUAAAUUUCAAGUACCUUUAUACUUCUAUUUUUGGCUUUAAACAUCUAUUUAAGAUUAAUAGCUAUAUUUGUACUAAAUAUUGUAAGUCUAUACUUAGCAAAAUAUUUGUCUUUUUGUCUUUUUUGAAAUUUUGAGUUGAAGUUGAAUGUCAAUGUUCCUAGUUAUAACGUACAAUUAGAUUAUGUCAUGCCUCUAUUUAAUAUAUUUAUAAAAUAUUUAUAUAAAGUGGUUAUAAUUAAACAAUCAUCAAUCUAUUUCGGAAAAAAUUUAUUCUUUCACAUAAAACUAGUAAAAGAUAAAAACUCAGUUAUGUUAAUAUUUAUUACUCAUGAUUUCGAAUUGAUUUACAACACUAAUUUUGUCAAAUAAUUAAUUAAUUAAUAGUAUAAAUACUUUUAUGAAUUAUAUAAUGACACAUUAUAAAUAUAGAUUGAUAACUAAUGCACACAUUUAUGGUGAAAAAAAAAGGAAAAGAAAAGGCAGGGCAACAAAUUACGAUUUUAACUCGCAUGCAUGAGUCCCCAAAUAAUUUCCGUACACCUACUGUCAAAGGCGAAUACGUGUAUGGCAUCACCGGGUUGGCUAUCCAAGACUCGGUUAAGCAGUUAAAAGAUCAGAGGUUUUCUGUUUGUGCGAAAUUGCAGUUGGUAGUGAAUUAUGGUUGUGGACCCGUUUAUUCCACGAUCACCGACUUUAGCGGGACCCAUUGGCCGCCCAUGUCCUUUUUCAAAAGUUUGGACGGCGUGAUCGACUGAUCGCAGCUUGUUUUAACAGCAAGUGCUUUACACGCUCUAAUAACCAGCGUGGAUUUGGGCAUGGCUGAGUCAUUUGGCCCGGUGCGUGGAACCCACACGUGAAUUCACAGAUUUAAAACCAACAUUCCCCUAUAAUUCAAUCUCAACACUGCGGUUCGGGGUUAAAAAUAAAUAAAAAUGUGAGAUAAGUCUUUAUGUAUUUUUCGGAAACUUAAAAUUUAAUUUUUUUAUUUUUCAAAUUUUAAAAUUUAAAUUUAAUUUUUAAUUCUAUUAAAUUUAUUGGUGACAUUUUCAAAUAAAAAAAUUCCCCUGGUAAUUAUAUAAUUAAAAAUAAUAUUAUAAUUAACUUAAAAUUAAUAAUAAUAAUAACAUUAAUAGUUAAACCUGAAUUUUAAAAUUUUAAAAUUACAAAAUUAAGUUCUUAAAAAUGUACAUAUUUUAACCAAAAAGCAUUUCGUUAGCAAAUAUUGAAAUAUUUAGAUGAAUAGAUAUUUAUUCUCGAGUUUUAUAGUAUGCAUGUGAAUCUUUAGUUUAGAAUAUGUAAUUUUUUAAAAUUUUCGUUAUAUUUUGUCUUUGUUGAAUUUUAUUUUAUAGUUACUUAGAAUUUAUAUAUGUAAUUAUAUAAUUAAACAUAGUUGAUUAUAAAUUCAUUUUAAAAUUUUAAAUUUAUUUAUUAACUGACUUAAAUUAAAAGACCAUUAUUAACAUUUAAAUUUACUAAUUUUUAAUAUCACUUGAUUUUAUAAUUUUUUAAUUCAUUAAAUAAUAUAAUUUUAUAAUUUAAAAUAUUUUUACUAAUUAAAUGAGGAUAAAUUUAAAAUUCAGAUGAAUAUCUAUAUUUAAAAUUUUUAUCGGAAAAAAGUGAAAUAAAUUCCCAAAUUUUAAUAUAACAAAAAACAAUUAAAAAGCAAAUCCACAGUAUUUAAAUAAACAGAAUACAAAUUAAAUAAAUAUUAAUGGUUGUGCGUGGUUGGGCCUUGGGCGGCCAGUCAUGCGCCCAACCCUAACUUCUAGGAUAAAUAUAUUAUAUUAUUUUAUUUAUUGGCCGCAUUUUUUUUUCUUCGGCCAAAUUUGGCGGCAUUUAGUUUAAUGAUUUAUUAUUAUUAUUAUUUAUGAGUUGAAACAAAGAUUAAAAGCUCUAAAAUAUAAAUAGUUCAAAAUUAGCUCAAUUUUGUAUGUUGUUUCAUUUUCCUUUUACAAAAAUAAAACAUUCUAGAUUUAAUCAACUCUAAUAAAAUUCAACUGAUAAGUAAUUGAUUUAAAUAGAACAUUUAAUAGAUUUGUAGUUUUUCAAUUUUCAAUUUCAUCCAAUCCAACGGCUGUAUAAUUAAAUGAUAACUACAUUAUAUUUUUCAUGUUAAUUAUAUAUUUGGUUGCAGAAGUCAAGAAAAUACAAACUGGCAUUUAAAUUCGAUAAAUUUAUUUAUUUAUUAGGAGUCUAAAAUUGAAUUCUAAAAAAUAUUUGAAAAAUCCUUGCAUGUUUAGUAUUUGGAAUUACUUUAUAUUAUUUUGAUUUUGAAUUGACCCUUCACCCGAGUUUAUAUAUAUAUUUGUUUAUAUAUUAGAAGAUGAAAAUCAUGUUGCUUUUAAUAUUCGUAUACAAAAUUUAAGAGAUGAAAUAUCAAGUAUUAUAUGCAUAUAAAUUGGGUAAAAGUAUCAUAAAAUUCGUUGGGCUAUAUUUUGGAAUAUAUUUUAACUUAUUUACUGAAUAAAUGAGUAAAUUAGCUCAUAUAUGUUAGAUGUGUGAAUAAAAUAGUCAUUUUAUUAAAAUUUGAUAUUUAUAUAUGAGGUAUAAUAAUAAAUUUGUCCCUUAAUCUUUACACAUUUAUUCAAUUUGACCAUUACACUUUGUGGGAUGUGUCUCGCAUUUAUCGGACGUUUUGCAAGUACUUACCGGAGAUAGACGCGCGACGUCACGACGAAGAGUUACGUGACGUUAAUUGUUCAAUCAUGCCGAAUCUUGUCAAAUGAGGUAGGAUGAGUCAUCAACUAGAGACUCGAGUGAGAGUAGUUUUAUCGGUUUGUUAAGGGGUCUCCUUCCCCUGUUCUUUCACCAAUGGAUUUUGUCUCAAAUUCUCAUUUUCUUGCCAACCAUGAUACUAUUGGUCAGAACAUUGGGGUUUCAUUUUUUGUUUCUUUUGUUGCUCUUGUUAGUUUCUUUCAAGGUAGGUACAUAGUUAGGGGAUGGCAAGGACUUCGGUCAUCCUAAAAUGAAAAAUUUUCAUUUUGGUCAUUUACAUUUCUUUUAAAAUUUUAAAUUAAUAAAGAUAAAAUUACACUUUAAACUCUUUAAAAUGAUAAAAAAUUUAAUUUAAUUAUUUAAAAAUUAUAAAAUAUAAAUAAUUAAAAUAAUAAAAUUACUAUCAUAAAAAUUACAAUUUAAUUUUCAUCCAUACAAAAAUUUUGUUGCUUCCGAUAAAUAGAAAAGGCGCUACCACAGUCGCAUGAGUUGUCAUUGGAAUUUGGUUUCGUUGCUCUAGCUUUUGUUUUAGCCAAUGGCCAAGGGUCGUGGCCCCACUCCAUUUGUUUAGGCAUUGCUUUCAGUAUGGCCUCUUUUAUGGAGGUAUGUAAUCGUUGAUUGUGCAUUCGUUUUUACCCCUAAACACAUUGAUUACUCUUUUCCUCACAUUUUCGACUUUAGCAUUGAAAAGUAUUUUUGAUGACUUGUUUCUUCUUUGGAUACUUUACAAAUAGGGGAUAAAUAUCGUUUUCUAGAUUAGUCUACCUCUUUAUAAUAAAUGCUGACAUUUUCUGGAAAGGUUUAAUUUACAAAUUAAUAUCUAAAUUAUUUAAAUUUUAUUUUUUUAAUUUUUUUAUCACAGUACUUAAACUAUUUUUUUCUUAAAUUGUACAUAUGUUAGUCAAACUUUAACCUAUAUUCAUUUUUUAAAUUGAUAUCUAAAUUUUUUUUGUUCAUACGUUAUAUAUAAAUUAUUAUUCAAAUCUUAUUAUACAUCAAAAUAUUAUAUGAGUUAAAAAAAUUAAAAAAUAGGUGAAAAAAAAGAACUGAAAUACCAACAUGUAAAAAAGGUAUAGUUUAUCAUUUUGAGUCCUUGAAAAAUAAAACUGAAAUGCUACUAGUCUUCCUCUCCGUGUCGAAAUCUCUAGUACUAUAGCAAUUCACAUACACUCUAUCUCCUUCAUGCAGCAGAUCCUCGUUUUUCCCAUGUAUUCUAAUCUUUCUUAGGGCUUUAAUUCAACCAUGUUCUAGAUUAUUAAGAACCAAAACAACAAAAAUUAGUAAAUAAUGUCUACCGUUGAAAAAAAACAUCAUGUUACCUCCUGACUUCGGUAAGAAUCUCCAUAGCAGAGAACGAGGAAACAAGAAGAACAUGACUCUUUUGUAAGUGGUGACUCUACUGAGCCAUCUAUUUCUACUUUGAUGACAACGACAGCUUCAAGCCUGUCGUUUUGGUUAUCAAUGGGGAAGGGACCGACUCCUAUGGCUUUGUUUAUCUAGUUCAAGCUUUGGUCCGUUUAGGCCUCUACAAUGUCCAUGUUUGCGCCCCUCGAUCGUGGGUCUCUCUUUCUUCUCCUAAAGUUUCUCUAAUUUCCUCAUUUCUGCUUUUUUUUUUGUCGUAAGUCUUGCAUUUUCUCAUCUAGGUCCUCACCAAUUAUUGAUUUCUUAGUAUUUCAUUUUUCUUAUUGAAUUUUGUAAUUUUUUCUGUGAUUUAUUUCUGAAUGGAUUGCUUAAGGGAUAAAUCUGUUUCGGGUCAUUCCAUGACAGUGCGAGUCCAGCAGAAAUAGAUGGUGCUACUGCUUAUGGAGUCUGAGGUGUGAUUGGAUUUUGCUUGUUCCGCUCAAAUUUUAAGUAUCUCAGUGUUCUUGAUUUGGGAUAUGAAACCAUGUUAUUGGAGUAAGCCAAGUGUAGUAUGUCACAACCAUCAUUUAUAUGAUUAAACAUGGCUUUUAAAAAGUACCUUCUGGACUGUUAUUUGUUGCCCUUUUUGCAGAAACGUCAAUAUAUAUGCAUGCAAGCUUGUGUGAAUUGGCUGUGAUAAUAAUCCUUUUCAUUUAUGGUUCUCUGAUUUCAGGGACUACCGUGGAUUGUGUAUCCUUAGCAUUGUCUGGGGCAGUGCUCUCAUGGUCGAAGCCUCUCCUGGUUAGGCUUUCAUCCUGAUUUCUAUGAAUUAAAAUACAAAUUUGUUUUUAACCACUUCCUGACUUCAUGAAAUUUCCAGGUGAUUAGUGGAAUAAACCGGGGGAGAAGCUAUGGUCAUAAUAAGUUUUUUAACACGCCUGCACGAUAAUACUAAUUGAAUUUUCUUUGAUUGUAGCAGGUGGGAAUAUUACCCUCUUGAUUCACUCUUCUAAUAGAUGGUAUAAAUUUUGCUUUGAAUAUUUUAACGCCUUUUGCUCAGCUUCAUUCAUAUGUUAUUAUUGUUUUAUCAUGUUAAUUUACCAUCAAUCCUCUUUGCUCUUCCUUGGAUGAUAAGUGUAUUUAUGAUGUGUAAUAUACCAGGUUUAUAUGAUUAAACAUGGCUUUUAAAAAGUACCUUCUGGACUGUUAUUUGUUGCCCUUUUUGCAGAAACGUCAAUAUAUAUGCAUGCAAGCUUGUGUGAAUUUGCUGUGAUAAUAAUCCUUUUCAUUUAUGGUUCUCUGAUUUCAGGGACUACCGUGGAUUGUGUAUCCUUAGCAUUGUCUGGGGCAGUGCUCUCAUGGUCGAAGCCUCUCCUGGUUAGGCUUUCAUCCUGAUUUCUAUGAAUUAAAAUACAAAUUUGUUUUUAACCACUUCCUGACUUCAUGAAAUUUCCAGGUGAUUAGUGGAAUAAACCGGGGGAGAAGCUAUGGUCAUAAUAAGUUUUUUAACACGCCUGCACGAUAAUACUAAUUGAAUUUUCUUUGAUUGUAGCAGGUGGGAAUAUUACCCUCUUGAUUCACUCUUCUAAUAGAUGGUAUAAAUUUUGCUUUGAAUAUUUUAACGCCUUUUGCUCAGCUUCAUUCAUAUGUUAUUAUUGUUUUAUCAUGUUAAUUUACCAUCAAUCCUCUUUGCUCUUCCUUGGAUGAUAAGUGUAUUUAUGAUGUGUAAUAUACCAGGUUUUCCUCGGGUGUUGUGGCCUGGGCUAGAGAAGCAUUAACGUUGGUGUACCAUCUUUGUCUAUAUCACUGAACUGGUGCUGGGAAUUCAGUUUCUACUAAUUUCUUUUCGCUUAUGAACAUUCUUCUGAUUGUUUGAUACUACUGAAGGAAGGGGGAAGAAAGCCAAGAAAGUGAUUUUAAGGAUGCAGUUUCACUUUGUUUGCUUUUAAUAAACGCAGCCAUCCUAGAUAUCGAAAAGGGUGUUUUCCCUAAAAGUUGCUUUUCCAAGUGUAGAAAUUCCUACUUUUCCUUCAGCAAACAAGGUUCGGAUUCCCUGUUUUAUGGACAUAAAGAGCAUUUGGCUGUGAUAACAAUGACGUGAUAUAUACCAACGUCUAUCACAUUUAAAAUGAGAUAUAUUUCCGGUUUUGGUCUUCAAAUUAUACUCAUAACCUAAUAACUAAUAUUUGGAUACUGUUGCUUCCUUGAGAUGUGCUCUCUAAACCUUGUUUAUAUGCAUCUUUAUUUAGACAUAUUAGCUGAUAGUGACGAAGUUGUCUUAGUUUGUGAUCUUUCCUGCUUUUCAACUCUCUGAAGUUCUUUAAAUUGUUAGGAGAGGCAAAGUUUGGGUUGCUAUCAUCAUAAGAAACAAUCUUUUAUUAGAGCCAGUGAGGAAAUCUUUGUUAUGCCUUAGAGGAAUAUAUAUAUAUCUGUUCAUCUACUCGUUUUCAUUUGUUUGUUCAUAGGUUAUAGCAUUAUUUUGUGGGGGAGUUCUUAUAUAGUCACACUAUUUAUAUCAGGUUCAAAUUAUUGGCAAUCAUGGAAUUGUUCAUAGAAAUUUCCCUUUUAGAAGCUUCAUUGAACAAGGGAGAGUUUUAAUUCACCAAUGGGAUGAAGUUUCCUCAUGCAAAUUGAAUGUUCCAUACAAUCGUAUAUUUGGACGAUCAAAGUUCCAAACCGCGUAUUUACUCAAACAUGCUGUUCUGUUUUUUUGGAUAUAGUAAUGCUAAGCCAUCUGGAUUCUUUCAGCAAAUCUGUUUAGCUUGAUAUUCAGCUACAUUUCUUUCCUUUCAGUAUGUAAAUUUAUCUCGUUUCGUCCUUCAUGCAAUCUUGCUUAUUCAUAUACGACAGGGCUUUAAACUGACCAAGCAAAGUAUGUGGAGAUUGUUGGAAACGUGAUGGGCCGAAAAUUUACUUUUUAUUACACACUCAAUAUAUUACAAUACGAAGAUUACAAAUAUUUUCUCAAUGACUAGAUAGUCUAGCUGCUGCUAGAUUUUAACUCACUCAAGGUUUGCUAACCUUCUCACUCUCACUCACGUUGCUUCUCUUAUUUCUUUUUUCUUCUCAUUUUUUUUCCUUUACAACACAAGUUCAAGCCUCUAUUUAUAGGCUGAUAAAGUGACAACAAAUGUGGCUAUUAAUCCACUUAAUUUCCAGCCACAAAACAUCUCAAUAAUGGAGCACUUUGUAUGGCUAAAAUUUCAGCACUUUGCAUGGCACAAAAUUGCUCCACGUCUCAUGCUUCUAGAUUAUGCUUGGAGUGGGUUUGAUUUCUAACACUCCCCCUCAAACCCAACUUUCAUACCGAGCUUCUCUUUGAAUUUGUUGAAUGUCUCCACUUUCAACGGCUUUGUGAAAAUAUCUGCCAGUUGAUCUUCUGUCCUGCAAUGGACCAACUCCACGUUUUUGUUUUUCACUUGCUCUCGGAUAAAAUGAUACUUCGUAUCGAUGUGCUUGCUUCGGCUGUGCGACACCGGAUUCUUGGCAAGUGAUAUAGCGGAUUUGUUGUCAACGUAGAUGGUAAUUGGACCUUCAUUUGAAACACCUAUUUCUCCCAAAAUAUUCUUCAACCACAUUGCUUGGCAUGUACAAGUUGCUGCGGCCAUAUACUCUGCUUCACAUGUUGAGAGAGCAAUUGUUUGUUGCUUCUUUGACGACCAUGAAAAAACUGCGGAACUGAUGUGGAAUGCAUAUCCGGAAGUGCUUUUCCGAUCAUCCAAGUCUCCCCCAUAAUCGCUAUCUGAGUAGCCAACUAAUUUUGAAUCUUGUGAGUGGGUAUAGAAUAAACCAUGGUUCAUCGUACCUUUGAUAUAUCUCAAAAUUCUUUUUGCGGCAAUUAAGUGGUCUUGCUUCGGCUUCUCCAUGAAUCUGCUCACCAAUCCUACUGCAUAUGUAAUAUCUGGUCGUGUGAUUGUCAAAUACCUUAAACUUCCAACGAGACUUUUAAACAACGUCGGAUUUAUCGACUUCCUUGUCGAAUCAACACUUAGCUUCAUCCCUGGAUCAGCUGGCGUGACUACUGGCUUGCAAUCCUUCAUUUUGAACUUGUUCAAAAUCUGCUCCGCAUACUUCUUUUGAGAGACAAAAAUUCCAUCUUGUAUUUGUUUCACCUCGACUCCAAGAAAGUAUGAUAUCUCACCGAUAUCUGUCAUUUCAAAUUCUUUAGUCAUAGCUUUCUUGAAAUCAUCAGACAUACCUGGAUUGUUUCCGGUGAAGAUCAUGUCAUCCACAUAUAGGCAUACGAUCAUGAUAUCUCCAUAUCCAUUCUUCUUUGUGUACAGGGUGUGCUCGUGCGGGCUUUUGAUGAAUCCAUUUCUUCGGAAGUACUCGUCGAUCCUUGUGUUCCAUGCUUUUGGGGCUUGCUUCAAUCCAUACAAAGCUUUCUUCAAUCGGUAGACUUUGUCCUCCUUUCCUUGUAUGCUAUAUCCAGGUGGUUGUUCUAUGUAGACUUCCUCCUCCAAGUAGCCAUUCAGGAAUGCAGACUUGACGUCCAUCUGAUAGAUUUUCCAUUUGUAUUGUGCUGCGACCGCUAUGAGAAGCCUAAUUGUGUCUAUUCUUGCGACUGGAGCAAAUAUUUCAUCAUAGUCCACUCCUUGUCUUUGCUUGUAGCCUUUGGCGACUAGUCUUGCCUUGUAUUUCUCUACUUUUCCUUCUUUGUUGGUCUUCGUCUUGUACACCCACUUGACACCAAUCGGGCUAUGUCCUUCUGGCAGACUUGUUAGCUCCCACGUGUCAUUCCUUCUUAUUGCAGCAAUCUCCUCGUCCAUGGCCUUCUUCCAUUUAUUGUUUUCAAUUGCUUCUUCGUAUGUCAUUGGAUCACAUUCUGUCAUUAGACAGAAUAGUGAAUAAUCGAACUGCGUCUCUACAGGUUCCGUAGAAUUGUAGAUGUCGUUGAGACUCCGUGUUCUUGUGGGUGCUUCAUCUGAGCUGCUGCUUCCGCUGCUGCUGGUUGGUGACGAAGGGGCUGUUGUACCAGGACUUUGAUCAUCGCCUUGUUCUUCUUGGUUAUUGUCGUCUUCGUUGAAAAAUAAUCCUUCCACUUUCUUUUCUUCUUCACUCCAUCUCCAGUAAUCCGCUUCAUCGAACUCGACAUCUCUUGAGAUAAUCAAUUUCUUAGUAAGAGGAUUAUAAAGUCUGUAGGCCUUACUUCUUUUGUCAUAGCCUAUAAAGAUACACUUCUCUCCUCUAUCGUCAAGCUUUUUCCUCUGUUGCUCAGGAACGUGUGCAUAUGCAAUGCAUCCAAAAAUUUUGAGGUGUCCAACUCUUGGCUUGUGACCGCUCCAUGCUUCUUCUGGUGUCUUGUGUCUUACACUUUUUGUUGGACAUUGAUUCAACAGAUAAACUGCGCAUUCAACGGCUUCAGCCCAGAAAGUUCUCGGAAGGUGUUUACCUUUUAUCAUGCUUCUUGCCAUAUCCAGAAUUGUCCGAUUCUUCCUUUCUGCAACUCCGUUUUGUUGUGGAGUGCGUCUGGCUGUUAACUGAUGAAUGAUUCCAUGAUCCUUGCAGAAACUUUCAUAAAGCUUUGCAGUAUACUCACCUCCUCUAUCGGAUCUGAGUAUCUUCAAAUAUCGACCACUCUGUUUUUCCACCAUUGCUUUGAACUCCUUGAAUUUUUCUAGGGCUUCUGAUUUUGCUUUGAGAAAAUAAACCCAACAUUUUCUGCUAUAAUCAUCAAUAAAAGUUAGGUAGUACCUGUUUCCACCGAGUGAUUCAAUGUCGUACGGACCAGAUAUGUCGGUGUGUACAAUUUCCAAUGGUCUUCUAGCUCUUCGAGAUUUUCCUACUUCAAAUUUCUGCCUAUGCUGCUUUCCUUUGACACAGGCUUCACACAGUUGAUCUGGAUGAUUAAUACUUGGUAAUCCAUUCACCAUAUUUGUCUUCGACAACAGCUUCAAGCCAGAAAAUCCGAGAUGUCCGUACCUUAAGUGCCACAACCAUGAUUCAUUCUUCAGAUCCGUCUUCAUGCAUUUUACUUCUCCAGACUCGAUGUCGAGGGUGAAAAGACGAUUUCGCGUCAUAUCAACUCGAACAACUAAUUCUCCACUUUUGUUCCUGAUGGCGAGUGAGCGGUCUUUCAUAUGAACUUCAUAUCCUUUUUCUAGGAGUUGACCAAGACUGAUCAGGUUGCUCUUCAAAGCUGGUACGUAGUAAACGUCUGAGAUGUACUUCUUCUCUCCAUUCCUUUGUGUUAUAACAACCUUGCCCUUUCCUUUGAUUUCUGCAUGUGAGUUGUCUCCAAAAGUUAUUUGUCCAUGAACUGUUUCAUCUAAUUCUGUGAACAGCUCCUUUCUUCCACACAUGUGGUUGCUUGCACCGUUGUCGAGAUACCACACACUUCUCUUGCGAUCUUCAUUUUCUCCGUAAGUGAGAAAGACACUUGAUUCCACUUUUUCGUUGCCUUCUGCUGCGACUGCUACAUGGUUUCUUUCAUCCACUUUGUGUGUUGAUCUGCACUCGUAACUGAAAUGUCCAUACUUGUUACAGUUGUAGCAUUGUACCUGAGAUUUAUUUUCUUGAAAUCUGCCUCGGCCACGACCUCUAGAUCCACGUCCACGGUUGGAUGUUUGAUAAUCUUUAUUUUCUUGAUAUCUCCCAUAUGAUUGAUUUCCACGUCCUCGUGAUCCUCUUCCUCCUCUGUUUCCACCACGGUAGCCUCCACGGUAUCCUCUGCGGUUUCCUCUUCCUUGGUUAAAGUUAUUACUUGUUUCUCCGUCGUCGACGGACAACUUGCUAUGCAAGGCUUGAUCAAGAUUUUCACUAUCUUCAUUUAGCUUCAUCUUUUGCUCAUGGGCUUGCAGAGAACCCACAAGUUCUUCGAGCGACAUCUUUGACAAAUCUUUUGAUUCUUCGAUGGCAACGACUACGUACUCGAAUUUGCGUGUGAGUGACCGUAGAAUUUUCUCCAUCACUCUUACCUCGUCAAGAGUUUCUCCAUUUCGUUUCAUUUCAUUUACCACCGAUUUUACACGAUUGGCAUAGUCAUCGAUAUUCUCGGAGCUCUUCAUUUUUAACAUUUCAAAUUCAGCUCUAAGUGACUGAAGGCGUACCUUUUUAGCUUUUUCUACACCUUGAAAUGAUUUUUGCAAAAUCUCCCAUGCAUUCUUCGCGUUCUUCACAUCUGAUAUUUUCUCGAAGGUUGAUUCAUCCAUUCCUUGAAAGAUACUAUUCAAGGCCUUUUGAUCCUUCUUUCGUGCUUCUCGUAACGCCUUCUUAGCGUCAUUUGAUAAAGCUGCUUCUGUAGCGGCAUCUCCGGGCUCGAUGUAUCCUUUUUCAACGAUCUCCCAACAAUCUUGCGAACCGAGCAAAGCCUUCAUUCGAAUGCUCCAAUUUCCAUAAUUUGUCUUCGUCAAUUGUGGAACUUGUAGCUGAAUUACGUCGCCCAUAUCGACUUGUUAGAUGAACACCAAAGGUACUCCGAACUGGACACGAACCGGACACGAACCGAACUCCGAACCAAGCUCCGAACCGUAGCUCUGAUGCCACUUGUUGGAAACGUGAUGGGCCGAAAAUUUACUUUUUAUUACACACUCAAUAUAUUACAAUACGAAGAUUACAAAUAUUUUCUCAAUGACUAGAUAGUCUAGCUGCUGCUAGAUUUUAACUCACUCAAGGUUUGCUAACCUUCUCACUCUCACUCACGUUGCUUCUCUUAUUUCUUUUUUCUUCUCAUUUUUUUUCCUUUACAACACAAGUUCAAGCCUCUAUUUAUAGGCUGAUAAAGUGACAACAAAUGUGGCUAUUAAUCCACUUAAUUUCCAGCCACAAAACAUCUCAAUAAUGGAGCACUUUGUAUGGCUAAAAUUUCAGCACUUUGCAUGGCACAAAAUUGCUCCACGUCUCAUGCUUCUAGAUUAUGCUUGGAGUGGGUUUGAUUUCUAACAGAGAUCUGCUCCGGGUUGGCAAGGUGUUUCAGCUAAUCACCAUCCUUUAGCUGCAUAUUCCAUGUCUAAUCAAUGAAGUCUUGGGAUCCAACUCGCACAGCUUAGCCAAGAUGCAUCCACUGCUGUAAGUUUUUAUUUUCUUUUAAUCAAAAGGAAUUGCGUCAUUUACUCCUGUACAUCAAAACCUGCUUAUUCAUGCCCACAUUUCUUUAUAUUAAUCCCUUUAAACAGAGUAUCAGGAUCUCUUUCUCACUAUUUGAUCUUGGUAAUGUGCAUUUUUUCCCUCAGGGUGCUGCUCGCUAGUUGACUGCACAAAGGAAUAAUGUGGAUGUGGUCUGUUGAAGCAGCUAAAUCUGAAUCUAAUAAAGCGAAAAAGUACUUCCGAAUGGAGGUAGGGAAAUUUUCCAACAACGGAAUAGAAAAGUUCUGAAUUGCCAUCAAAACCAAUUUUGCUUGCUGUUCUCAGGUUUUUCUCCUUAUCUAUGAAUGAUCCUGGCAUUGUUAAUUACAGUUGAUGCUGGCUUAUGUAUUUUGCAGUUUGUAGACAAAGAACAGGAAGAUACAUGCAAGGAUUUGGAUUUUGGCGCACUCGAAACAGAUUUGUAAGUUAAAACCCCGUUUUCUCCCUGGAAAUUAUGGUUAUUCAAACCAUUUAAGAAUCGAACUAUUGAUUUUCAUUUCUGUUUUCCAUGAAGGUCAUGGAAUCAACCUAAUACGGUUCAUUUAUGUCACUCAAAUUGCAUUUGGUUUUUUUCCCCCUCAAACAGUAGAUUGCGGUAACUCCUGUAUCGAUUUAUCCUUCGCAAAUUGAGUCACACGUUCAAAAGGCUGCAUUGGAUUGGAUAUCCAGAUCCUUCUAGGGCAGCAAUUGGCUCUUGGAUGAUCAACAUAGCAUCUUAAAUCACUCAUUUGCAUUUAUAAAUUCUUAGGGGCUUUUUUCUAUGUAAAUUACCAUAAAGUUUCGGGGUGGUUGUUGAUACAAGGAAAUAAGCAAUUGGUCUAAAUGUAUGUACGACCUUGCUUGUUGUUUCCGCAAAUUCAUUGAUUUGUGACAUGGUGUUCAUGCAUGAUUAAUCAUUUUUGUUCUUUUUGAAAUUUACACUUUGUUGUUGACUAAAUUAUUCGAUGAAUUAUUGAAGUAUGGAAAAGCCAAGGCAUUGAAAAAUAGAUUGAAUCUGCUUGUUUAGGCAAGGAAACCGAAAGCUGCUUGGCUGCCUGCAGCUGCAGCUGCCUGAUGCAGCCAGUGGUGCUUCUUCUUUUUUUAAUUUUUUUACUGCUAAGAUUUUAAGAGCGAUUAACAGUAGCGGUGCUGUUAAAGACCAUACCUUUUGGGCCCCUACCGCCUCUGUUCAUGUCCAGUUUACUACCUGCGUCCGGCAUUGAUGACAAUUGCCGUAUCAGCCGCGGACUUGGCCCGCUCUUGCUUUGUCCUCUUUCUUUUACCUUGCUCGUAAAUCCGAUCAAUUUCUAAUAUACGUAAAAAAGGGUUUUUUUUUCAAGUGAAAUGGUUAAAAUUUAUCUCCUAAUGUUAUUGUUGACCCAGAAUCGGCUGCCUCGUAACUGUAAAAAAUACUCACCUUUUCAACUUAAAAGUCUUCAACAUGUAUAAAAAAUGAACUUUAAAAUCAAUCAUGGAGAAGGUCUGCAAUUUUUUUUUAUUUGAUCUUUUUACUAGAAUCUUACGAUUGUCUAAUCAUAACAUAAAAUGAUGGUUUACAUUCGUGGUCUUACACGGUUCAAGAUUGUUGAUCGUUAAUUGCACAAGUGUAAUUAUAGGUAAUGUGCUCCUAAUGGCUGCGUUACAUCUCUUUUUACAAGCAAUUACAUUAACAAACAUAUGGAUGAAUCCUAAACCUAACGCCUUUAAAUCCACAUAAGUUUUAUCAAGUUACUUGUCUAAUUUGCUUUCCAGUUAAUCCCAUUCGCUCUCCACCCAUCUUUUUCAAAACUGCGUUUACGAAAAUUGAAAUUAGAUUCCAAAAUUUCGAGUGUAAUAUAUUACCAUGAAUUUUAGUCUACACAUUAACGUCACCGUAUAAAAUGUAUAUAUAUAUAUGAAAUUUCUUAUUGUUAAUAUCUCCUACAAAUGAGAGAAUAAAUUAAUAUAUAUAUAUGAACAAAUUAUUUCAUAUACUGUUAUACAAAUAUAUUUAGAACAAGUAAUACGUGAAAUUUAGAACCUAAAUUUAUUUAUGGAACAUCAUCUGGCAUUAUUCAUACUGCAUGUCUGAAAUAGUAACAUUUAGGUUAAUAUUUUUCUCUCAUAUAUAAGAACCCUACAAUAUUUUUUUUGGUCGAAAAGGAACCCUACAAUAUACAUAAAUAUAUAUAUCUGUGCAUAUAAUAUUUGAGGAAAAUAAUUGCUGUUGUAUCGAGUGAACCCGCAGACGGAGUACCUAGCUAAAACUAACCCCAAUCAUGUAAGAAAAUGUGAAUGGGUCGUGCCUAAGGGUCCCAACCGCCUGAUGGAAGAUUAGGGUUUGUGAUAUAUUGCCCACUGGAUAAAGCUGAUAAGGAUGACGAAGAGGACGAUGAUGCUGAUGGCAUUGAUGUAAUGAUGGUAUCAAUAAAUUCCAUCUGGUUGGUUGCCACGACCAUGUCAUGCGCAUAGGAUGAACCAGCAGAUAUAGGCAAACAUGUCGAGAGCCUCGAGCCUAACGGGUCGAUGUUUUCCAAUGAAACAGAAGUUAGUGGCACGUUGCACAGGUUCCCUUCAAGGAUUUCACAGAGUUUGGGCACUGUUUGGGCUGCCAUUAAUGGAUGAUCAUAAAGAUUUACGGCAGCGGUUGAGUUCAUAAGCUUCUCGUUGAAAAUAUCAUGAACUACUUCAUUACUGAAAACCGGGACGUGAUGUUUUUUAUCUUGGUGAUGAUCAAGAUCAUGUUGAGAUGUAAUGAAGGGAAAUGGCCAUGAAGGGUCCAAGGAAGAUGCACUUGAAAGGGGUGGUGGGAGCAUUGGGGUUAACGGGAAAUGAUGGUGAAUCAAAUCGACGUUGUCACCGCUUGGGUUUGACUUGAAAUCUGCAUGAUGUUGAGCAAAGCUCUGUAGCAGUGGUGGGGAAAGAUAGAGCUGGUCCCGUUGAUCACUAAGGAUCAAACUAGGGUUUACAUUUAGAGAGACGAAAUCAACUGCUUCAUCUGGAGGUUUAAAAUUAUGAACAUCGGCGAAAGAGGCUAAAGCAGGAACCUCAUGGGAGAUAAACUUCUUUUUGAUGCUUGAAUUCCAAAAGUUCUUCACCUCAUUAUCUGUUCUCCCUGGUAGAUGUUUGGCUAUCUGUGCCCAUCUGUUCAACAAAAUGUGAAAAAAAAGUACAAAAGUUAAAAAAAUAAAAAGAGAGAGAGAGAAGAAAACAUUGAUGAUUACUAUGAUUAAUACCUGUUGCCUAGAAUACUAUGGAGUUCAAUGAUGAGAGCUGCUUCUUGUGGGGAGAAACUCCCACGUUUCAAAUCAGGUCUGAGGUAAUUUAUCCAUCUUAAUCUACAACUCUUCCCGCAUCUUUGAAGGCCUGCAUCAUGAAACAAACCCCCAAAAGGAACAAACAUCGAAAAAAAAGAAAAUAAACAAGGAAUCAAAUUAAUGUAGUUGGGUUUUUGCAGUUAUUGUCUGCAAAAAAAAAAAGUUUAUAAAAACUAGUACUGAUAUUGGCAAAAAAGAAACCAUGGAAAGAUGGAGAAGAGUAAAAGACCAGCAAGUUUAGGGACUGAGCUCCAACAACCAUGGCCAUAGGUUGUAACGUAGUUUAUAAGUUUCUCAUCUUCCUCGGGUGACCAUAGCCCUCUCUUCACCUUCUGCUUGUUGCAACAAGAAUGGUGGCCGUGCCCCAUCAUUCAGCCAAUAGCGGGCCAGAAUCUAGAAUUGUUUAUUUAUUCAAAAGUGAAAAAGAAGAGCAGAUCUGAAAAAGAGAGAGAGAAAGAGAGGGUAGUUUCAAGUUUUAACUUUUAAUUUCUAUAUCAGAAGAUAUUCAGAGCUAAGCCCUAGAAUUUGGCUUGGAAGAAAAUGUGAAAAACAAAAAGAAAAAAAAAAGCUUACAAACUGAGUGCUAAGAGGGUGAUUUUAAAAGACUGAUGAGAGUGCAGUGAGGGCGUGAAUUUAAUGUAGGGAGCUGUACCAUGGUGGCCCAGUUAGGGUUUGAGGGCAAAAGGCUAAAAUCUGCAGCGUCAACCUGUAAGGGAUGUAUGGCUUAUAAUGGGAUCCCUCUCACCCUGUUAAUUUCUGAGAUAUGGGUUUGCCUUGUACAAGUGGCAUACAUGCAGGCAUGUGGGACCCUUUAUUGUUUUUAACGGGUCCCACUUUUUGGACUUAUUGUCUUCAUGUAGGAAUACGAAGUUGUAGGAUGUCAAAACUGGUUCAAUAAUUUUUCUUUCUUCUCAACUUUCAGAUAUGGCUCUUGCAAAUUAAUGCAAAAUCAAACUCACUGGGAUUUUUCUUCAUGAUUACAACAACCAUCAGACGGUUGUGAGUCUAUGAAAGGGUUGUGAUUGUAGGCAAUGCAAUAAUAUGGAUUGUGUAGGUAAACUUUUAAUUCAUUCAAGUAAUUAAAAUUCGAUGCACCAUGAGAUAAUUAUUUAAAAAAAAUAUAUUAGGAUGUAAAUGGAUCGUCUUCUUUUGCGCAUUGAUUGAUAUCAAAUGUUCGUAGAACUGUCCCACCAUAGAUGCUUUGUGAAUCUCAGCUAGAGAAAAUUGUAUCAUCAUAUAUUACUAUUAUUACGUUCUAGAACAAGAUUGCCGUUGAAAUUCUCUGCUGAUUCGUUGCAUGUAAUGAAGGGCAUAAAGUAAAGGCUUUUUAUCUCCAAGUCAAGCAACUAUGUGAUGCAAAGAAAAAAGGGAAGACAUUUCAAUCAAAUGCAUGAAUUAAAGCUCAGCUCUUUCUUGUUAAAUUUCAAGUUGUAAAUCAAUUACUAGGUUGAAAUCUGAAGACGUUACUAUGUUUUAAUAAUUAUCGUUUCUGAAUAAGCAAUGAGUGGCUUUAAACUUAUAUCAAAACUUGUUGUUAUUAUUAUUAUUAUUAUUAUUUCUUUUACCAAUUUCAAUUAUAAUCAUAACAAGACUUCUGUUCAUUAUCUACUUAUUAGGUUUUAGUUAUCAUAUUGAAAUAAUGAACAGUGUAUCUACAAAUUGGAAAACCAAAACGUUGAUUGGGAUCUAAGCAAUGGAACACAGAGGUAGAGUAAUUAUUUAAUCUUAAUUAAGGGACCACAUUGCCUUAGCAAUUCCAGAAUUCCUUCCAUUUCAUGGAAACAAUAUAUAGAUUGCUUAAUUUAUUAACAUCCAGGGGCACACCAUACUGUUUUAACUCAAACUUUCAUUUCUUCUUCUUUUUCAACUUUUAUUGGAUUAGACACGAAUAUUUCUUCAAGUUGGACGAUGAGUGGUCACCAUAUAUUAAAAGCAAAGAUGCUGAAAUCAAUUAAUUUUUUUAUCUACAUUUUAAUUCCAUCAGUGGGUCCUAAUCGUUAUAAUAUCAGCUGAAGAGAAAACAGGAAAUGCUAUUCGGCUGGUCUAUGUGUUAAAAAUUUUGGCAAACCUUGGUCUGACACUCCCCUUUUUACCUUACACACAACCAGUUCUUUUUUCUUUUCAAUACAAUGUUAUGAUUAUAGAUAAAUUUAAGGUUUAAUAUUUUAUGGUUUAUGAUAAAUAAUUUUAUAAAUUAUAAUUUAGUGUUUAAUGUUUAAGGUUUUAAGUUUGGGGUUUCUUUUUAAUUAUAUUGAUAACUAAUUCUAUAAAUUAUAAAUAAAAACAAUAAACCCUAAAUAAUAUAUAUUAAUUUAAACACUAACUACUAAAUAUUAUCACAGCCGGUUAUAAAAGAAACGAAUUUUCUUUUCUUUUCUUUUUAUUUGGUAAAAAACAUCUUAUUUGUGAUUUUUUUCCUCAGCAAAAUCAUUUAUUCAUUUCAUAGGAAAAGUAACUGGAAAAACCAGUUACAUACAAACAACAAAAAUGGAGGUAUCGACAAGGCCAUUAGCCUCUCGAAACACAUGCACAAAAAAUAACUUAGCGCACCAAUACAGUCAAGUGAUAUGAACAAAUCCCAGAGUCUACAAGGGCGAUCAAAGUAAGAAGAGCACCAGCUCACUGCCACCUGAGAGUGGGAUUCAAUGAUGACAUGACAAUCAGGACUCUACCUAUAGUAAAUUAAAAGAUGUAAAAAGUGUUUUUUUUUAAUUCCGACAAAGAAAUUACACUCGGACAAAAUCUGAAGAUUCUCCGGCAAACAUUAUUAUAUAAAAAAAAAACACAUCAUGAAUGAAAGGGUCAAAAGAAUUUGUAAUCAAGGCAGUGUUAUGAUUGAAAAUGGGGUCACCCUAGUACAAAAUGCAUGCUCUUGCCUCUUCCCAAAUUAAGCAAGCAGUUUUUAGUGGUAAAAUGACGGAAAGGAGGACAAGAUUUGCAUGGAAUGGAACCCUGCCAUUUACUUCCUUUACCCCAUCCAUUCAUUAUUAUUACGAAUAUAUAGGUUGAGCGAUUUUGACAAUACUAAUCCUAAAAGGCUAUUUAUCUGCAUAUAUAUAUCGAGAAUACUGAUCAACGAGCUUAAAAACAAAAGGCUAAACGAUAAUGGCAACAAGAAAAUUUAUGACAAUCAAUCUUUUGCAACCCUAGUUCUUUCCAUAAAAAAAAUUAAAUGUUACAUCACUUGAAUGGAAUUCAGGAUGUUGAGAAGCUAAAUUCGUAGGAAUGACAGAUUAUGAUUAUUGGUUUGCUAAAGUCAAAAGGAAAAUUGAUUGUUUUGGGUGAAAUAUGAAAUAAUUAGCAUAGGGUGUGCUUCAUGUUCUGAUAAUUAUGGUGCCAAUUCAUGGUAGCAGAAGUGAUGGAUGUUGAAGGAGAGACAAUUAAUGAUCAAGGCCUUGAUCUGAUGGCUAUUUUCAUUUAUAUUUCAUUUUUUUUACAUAAAAAGAACUGGACAUGGGUGAGGCAGUUGAAAAGGUGAAGUUUCUCUUGGCUUCCCCACAUUUGCCCAGUUUUUCAUGAAAUGAAAACCCUGCUAUGAAAUAUGAUUGACUGUACUCUUUUCUCAAAAAUUAAACCCCUUUUUUUUAAUAAAAAAAUAAAAAAGUUUAUCAUCAUUCAUUCGUGGCUAUUAUCUCUCAAAGACAAGUUGUUUCACCAAGUAAAAUUGCUCCUAACAAGCAAUUUAUAUAUAAUAUGUCUAAUUGCAACUAUAAGUAAUGGCAUUGACGUAAUUUUCCACCCUUUUCUCAAGGGGAAGUUAUGGUAAAAUUAUACUCCUAGGUUAGGUGGUAAAUUGGAAACUAUUUUCCUUUCAAAUAUAAGACCCUCAAUCUUAAAAAUCAUUCCAUUUCUUCAACUAGUAUAAAAUCUACACUAAUUUUAGUAAAACUAAAAUAUGGGACUACAAUCUUCAACUAGUAUAUGCAAGAAUUUGGAUUUGUUUUAGUGCUGUCAAUUCGGCAUCGUAAAAGGAUUCCAAAUUAUUUGUGUUGUUUUUUCCUCCUUUUGGUAAUUGGCGUCCAAUUUUAACUCAAUGGGAACUUGGGGUUACUAGAUUACGAUGGUGCUACAAUUAUACUAUAUUUGUUGCCAACUUUGAAAAAUUAUGUUGUAUCUAACAUUGUUGUCUUUUAACCAUUUUAAACAUGCUUCUUUUAUAAUUUUUUUUUGGGUAAAUUAAAGAUUUUACUCCUUAUACCACUCCAAGAGAUUCAAAAUUUUCAUGAAUAUAGUUAAUUGGAGUGUACUACUUGUACGAUAAAUAAUUAUAUACAUAGUUAUGAAUUUUUAAUAACCGCGUAUGACACAAGUCAAAAGAUAAGAUCAAUAAAAGAACUUAUCAAUCAAAAGACAUCUACGCUCAUCAAUUAUAUGCAAAGAACAACUUGACUCCCACGCACUUGAAUAACCUCACGACAACUAAAGACCCUUGAAUAAAUUCUUACCUCCUUUUCUUCUCCUACCUACUCCUUUGUGUAAAAAAACAUAUUAGAGCACAAGCUCUAACACCUCAUACUUUGCCUUUCAUCUUGCAAGAUAUUCAAAUCCUCAAGCAAAAGAAAAAUCUAGCCCUAUCUCCUUCAAACAAUAUGUUAACACUAAUCAAAUUUUUUUUAUUGGAAUAAAACUUUAAAUGGAAAUGUAAAAGCUUUUUAUACUCAAAUUAUUAUGUUGGUAACAUGGAAGUUAUAAGUUGAAGCUCACUUAAAAGCAUGAUAUCUUCCGAUUUAAUUAAUUUAAAUUUUGAAAAUUUUAUGAAUAAUUUAAAAUCUUACAAAAUAAACGAAACCCAUAUUCCUAUAAUUGCUAGAUAUUAAUUAAGAAAUAAUCAUAGACAAAAGUUGCAAAAUAUAUAUAUCAUGCAAAUGUAAUUACAAAUAUUAAAAACAAAGCUGCCUUUUAAAUAUAGGAAAAUAAACAAAACUAUUCUUCUUCUUCUUCUUCUUUUUUGGUUUUUGGGUUUAAAGUCCUUAAAGCAAAUGCUUUAUUGUGGUUAAAAAUCACACACAUCUGGGUUAAAUUUACAUGAUUAAUUUCGCUUUCUCAAAAGCCAAAGAAAAAAGAAAAGUAAAAAGAGAAAUGGAUUGGAAUUGCUUGUGAUGGAAGAAAUUAAAAGGAGCGAAAACAAGGAUGUUGAAUUUUAAUGUAGCACAUGCAACAAUUAAUAGCCCAACCCCUUCGUUUGCUUUAUUUGUUGAGUCAGACGAGGUCACAAGAUGCGGCCUAAGUCACCCAAACAAAGUACAAAUGAAAUAUUGAUUACGUAAUUCUUUGUCCUCACUUGAAUCACAAUUUUAUUACACAAAAUGAAACCAUUUUAGAUCCAUACCACUCUGCUAAAUUAAACGGUUAAAAAGUAAAUUAAAUGUUAAUUUAAUAUAAUUUGUAUUUGAUUUUAAUGAUAUAUUAAUUUUAAUACCCUACAUACACAAGAAAUACUAAUCAACUGUAAAUAUGAUGGUUUUUUUUUUUAAUUACAUAUGAUAAAAUUAAAUUCAAAUAAUAAAAUAAAAUACAUAAACAGAAAAUUGACAACCAUGGAUUUUUUUUUCAAAAAUAUAAGACCCAAUUAUUAUAAAUAAGGAUUAAGAAGAUAGCAAAGUAUGAAUUUAUGAAAAAAUAUACAUGGUAAAAACCUAUAUCAAACUUAUAUUAUAAAUCAUCGAAGAAGUCAUUGAAGUUCAACAAUCUAUAUAUAUAAAAAAGUUAAAAAAAUAAAAUAGUUCGAUUGGCAUAGAUAUUGUUGUCAAAACAGGAGGACGUGAGUUCGAAUGCACUGAAGUGUAUUAUCCUCCUAUUUAUAGGUUAGGGAGGGGCUCAGGGUUGUUUUAAUAUUGUGUCAAAAAGAAUAGAUAUAAUCAAAACCUAUAAUUAGAUUGUUUAGAAAAAUAGUUAAGAUUUAUAAAUAUGAAAAAUUAAUAGUUUUUCAUUUUGAAAGCAAUAUUUACAAUAAUUUUUUUAUUUAUUAAAGUCCUUUGAUUAAUUAUUGAAAGGCUUAAUGAUAAAUUUAACCACUAACGUUUGCAUGUUUUGUCAAAUUGGUCCUAAUUGUAUUUUUGAACUUUUUUUUGCCAACCUUUGUUCUUCUUCUUUUUUAAUCUGUUUUUUUAAAAUAUUUAAUGAAAGUACCGUUAAAAAAGUUAACGGGGAUGAUGUGAAAUUUCAUAUGUGGAAUAUUUUUAAUGAGAUGUAAUUUAUUACUAUGAUAACCCAAUAAAAUAAUUACAUGUGGAAAAUAAUAAAAUAAAAAAAUAACACAUUAGAUUAAAAAGUAGCUCUUAAUUUAAAGAAAAUAAGCGUAAUUAUCUAAAAAAAUUAAAUCAGUAGAAAAACUUCUCAGUAAACAAAGUAUGAAAGAUUGAAAUCUUUUAAAAGAAAAAAAUUAAAACCUUGAAUUUAUUCAUUAAAUCUGUUAGAAAAAAAACAUAUUAAAAAAAUAAAGAUUGAUGACCAAAAUAGACUCAAAAAUACAAUUAGGGUCAUUUUGACAAAACAUGCAAACGUUAAUGGCCAAAUUUAUCAUUAAACCUUAUAGAAAUAAAUUUAUUCUACUGUUUUAUACAAAUUUAAAUAGUAAAAGUUAAUUUAAUUAUUGAUGAAUUUAAUUUUGAUACUCAAAUAGUUAAUUAGUAUUUGGAGAGAUUUGUCCCAUUAAAAAGUUAAUUUAAUUAUUAAUAAAUUUUAUUUUAAUAGCCAAAUAGUUAAUUAAAUUAUUAAUAAACGUUCAAAUUCUUUAUUGAACAUGAUCAAUAUACACUCUCUUUUUUUUUUUGUUAAUGUAAUUCGUUUAAAGGCACUUUACCUCCUCCUCCUUUUUUCAUACUAAAAAUGCCCUGAAACCGUAGGAAAAAGGAGAGAAUAUUUUUACAGGAAGUCGUAAACUUGUCACCUAAAUUUAACUCUUCCUCCUUGUUCUACUCAUUUACCUCAACAAUGUCCUUUUUCACUCAUAAAACUAAGUGAUCCUCAAAUGACCCAAGAUUGCUAUAUUUAAGCAUCAUAUUAAUUAGAGAAGAAAAAGAGGAGGGGGGGGGGCAAAUUCCCUUUAUAAAACUUCAUUUCUCUAAAGUAUGGCAAGUUGAACUAAUUAACUAUGUGUCAUAAAGAACAGCUUGAUGAUGAGUCCUAUAAAAGCCAGAAAAGAUGAGAGGUGGGGGCACCUGAAUUACAAUGGGGUUUGCAAAUGUCAAAAGAAAUCACUUUAUGCUUAGCUAAAAGUUCACAAAAAUUGUACAUUAAGAAAUAAACAAAUUAGUAGUGUAUUUUUAUUUGGCCAAACUGAAUUUCUUUCACAAUUAAUUAGUAAUUGACAAAGUUUGAAUCCAAUUAAAUUUAUAAUCUAAUCGUAAUCUCACCCAUAAAUGUUUAAUAAGUUAUAAAGCACGGGUUUAAGUUCAACCAUAUGUGAUUAUGCAUGAUUCAUUUUUGUAGACACGUGAUGAGAUACUCUCAUUACGUGAAUUUUCUAUCUCUUUAGGCACUCAGACUCUUAAUGUAUUGAAAAAAAAAUUAUUAAGAUAAUACUAAACUUGUUGAGGAGUCUACCAACUAUAUGAACACAAAUAACAAGUGUUUAAUAACUUGAAAUUUUGUCAUUAAAUUUUAUCACGGUAUGUAGAAACUAGCUUAACAAGAAAUGAGUUUCAUUCCAAAAUUGACCUCCCUUCAAAAAAAUCAAUCCUAACUUGAUCAAACUAUAUGAUUCAUUUAAUGUCAUCUAGCAUUUCACUUUGUACAAUGUAAUGGAGUAAAGAAGUUGAGAAAACAAAAUUUAGACCAAAAGAGGUAUGGAAAUUAUGUGAAGUGUAGAAUACUCAAUUACACCCUAUUCAACAAGGAAUAUAUAAAGGUGGCCUAUUAAGACCCCAAUAGACCCACUCUACCUUCCUUAUCUUCAUGGCAAUCCUCUUCCAUGAAAGAAAAUGUCCACUUUGUUUACUCAAAUUUGAAGAAAGCUAAUCUCCCUUACCUUCUUCCUUUUCUUUAAUUCCCCCCUUCUUUUCAGAGUCUUUUUCAAGUCGAAAGCCUUUUUUGGUAGCAUGUCCUGAUUUCUAGCCUUCGUUAGAGGCCAUAUCCCCCACACCAAGAUGCUACUUGGAUCAACUGGUCCUUUACUACCAAGAAUUUUAUGCUGCGAAGGGUAUGAUAAUAUUAUAUUUUUUUAAGAAAUAAAAAUUAUCAUUUUAAAAGUUUGGAGAGUCUAGAGAAAUAACAUUUAAAAUAUUUCAAAAAAAUGUUAAAUGAUUUGUCAACAAUAUUUUGUGCGACCUAUUUAAAAUAAGAAUAGUAAUGAAUUAGGACGAGACCGAUUAUUGUUAAAUUUAUUGUUAGCAUCACUCCCUCACUUUACCCGUCACCUUCCACUUCGCCCUGAAUAUUGAAUUUUGAAUAUUAUUACCUCUUUCAUGGAGAUUUGAUGCAUUUAUAAUUGCCCUGCCUCCUCCUAUCCAUUGAAUAUUUAUCGAAUUAUUUUAAUAUAUAAACAUGAAAAAAAUUUAAAAAAUGAAAUUUCUUAAUUCAAAACAAUUAUAUUUAUUUUAUCUAUUCAUUGUUUAUGUAUAAGGGAUCUCUAAUCUCAUGCCUCGCUUAAUUGAUUAAUUUAAAUUGGAUUAUAUAGCGCAACUUUGUGGUAAUUAUUCUAAAAAAUAUGAAUUUUUGGAAUUUGAUAAAAGAAUAUGAAGAGAGAGAUUACGUUAACGAGCCGACAAACCUAACAAGGUUACUCCAUUAAUGAUUGAAAUAUGCUUUCUUACAUAUAUGGCGUGUCUUGUCAACCCUAAUCACAUGAUUAGAUCAGUCGUAUAAAAUGUAAAUCAUCAUUCUCCCGACGAAAGCUUCUGCUUUGUCCACUGAUCUUGGACUUACUCAUCAUUCAUCAAUAUUCUUUUCUUCCAUCACUCUUCAAACCAGGUUUUAACUAUGUACUUUUAAAUCUUUUAAUUCAUCAACGGCGGUAAGUGUAUCAUGUUACGAAGUAUAAGAGUUUUUGUUAAUCUCAACUAAUUUUAUCUUUUAUCAUAAUUAUUUAAAGUCUAUUCUAAUAUCUAUAAUUUUUUUUCAUUUUGAUAUUUAAACUUUUUGAUUCCAAAUAUCAAAGUAGACAAAAAAAAAAUCUAAUUACCAAGUUGAUAGGCUAAAAAUUACAUUAACUCUUUUAAUAAUAAUUGCAUUGGUUCAAUCCUGGAUUACUAUUAAACAUAUACAAAAUUAAUUUUAAAAACAAUUUUGGGUAAAUUAUAAAUUUAAUCAUUUAUGUAUUAUUUAAAUUAUGAUUUUAUCAGAGUUUUAAAAAGUUACAAUAUAAUUAUUAAUGUUAUCAAAUUACUACAUUUUGAUCAUUAAAUUGUUAACUACCGUUAACGGUGUAAGGUAAGUUACAAUAGACAAAAAAAUUUAAACCAAAUUAUACAGUUAAUUCUUAUACCUUUUCCUUUUGAGAAUUUUAGUUGUUUUGAGGUUUUUUUUCCUUUAACCCACUUUCUUUAAGAGCCAUCAUUUCUAAAAGUAAAUUAAAUUUUAAGAAAAAAAAGUAAAAAAUUAAUAAGGAAAAAAGUAGAAUUUAUAAGUGAAAUAAUUCUUUAAUGGAAUUUUUAACCUUCAAUUAUUUUAAAGAAAACUUAAACAUAACAUAAAACAUAUAAAAUUAUCAAAUUUUAUAUAACAUAAAUUACUAAUAUAUAUAUAUAUGAAUAAUAAUAUCGUAAUUAUAACUAUGAUAUACAAAUAACUAAAUCUUCUUCAUCCUUGAAAACCAAUCAUCAAAAAGCCGAAAACUCUUUGCCUUGUUACCUCAAGGAACAUUCUGUUAGCUUUACUGUCCAUCGAGGGUAAAGAAACUGUUGAGCAUCAGCAAAACCUUUGGAGGGGUAAGCAAUGUCUAUUGAUGGGGGCGAUGGAAAUGAAGUCGAUGGAUUAGAAGAUAAAAAUCAUGGCUGAUUUUAACAACUUUUAUUUUUACCGAAAGAGUAAGUGACACCUGCUAAAUUUAAUUACCCAAAACUUAUCUUGCAUUCUUGAUGGAAAAUUUUCAAAAAUUCAAUAGAAUAGAUAUUAAGAAAAAUAAACCCACAAAUUCUUCCUUUUAUAUUUUCUUUCUAACUUUUUUUUUACAUAACUAUAGGUGUCUUCGUUCAUUUUAUAGUGUUAAUAUAAUCUUCUUUUAACCAGAAUGAUUUUUUACAUAACUAUAGGUGUCUUCAUUCAUUUUAUAGUGUUAAUAUAAUCUUCUUUUAACCGGAAUGAUGUUCACGUAAAGCCCUCCCAACAAUGUAACUCCCAAAGCUGGACUUUGUCUUAUUACCUGACAAAACCACUUCCAGUUCUUUCAAAUACUUGCUGGAAUUUGUCUUUUUUUAAUUCUACCAACAUUAGUAACUUUUAGUACUGUUUCAUUUUAGGCUUAAUGCACACUUUAGUCCUUGAACUACAUCAUUUUUUUCAUUUUGAUCCUUAAAGUUUUUUUGACCCACUUGUUGUUCCAAUAGGGUCGGAAGCGUGUAAAUUAUUGUACUAAAAAAUCACACAAAGUUCAAUUCCCAGGGAAGAGAGGUGGAUCACAAGGAUCUCUUAAAUACCAAGUCUUUCCUUAGACAGAAUAUCCCUUCUAUAGUAAUUUAAUAGCACAAUUAAAUACUACUAUUAUACCCUCAAAUAUUGAAAGAAAAAUAGGACAAGAAAGAACACAAGAGUUUUAACGAGGUUCGGUAAAUUAUACCUACGUCCUCGGGCACUAACACCAGAUGAUAACUUUACUAUCUUCAAAGUAUUACAAACAAAUAGAAUUCCUUAAGAAUUCUCAAAUGGGAGAAGAGAGAAAACUAAGAGAGAAAGAUUGGUUGGGAUGAAUUGAAAUGAGAAAUGAGAAGGCCUAUUUAUAGUUGAGGUUUAAGGACCAAACAAUAAAUAGCCCAUUAUCUCAAGGACCAAAAAAAAAUUAUCCCAUGCCACUUUUUCAAAGUCAAAUUUAGGGUGCUAAACUUGCACCACUUUGUAUUGUUUGCCAUUAAUGUUGUCUCCCAUUAAUGUUAACAAUCUCCACCUUGAAGAUUUGAUUAGGAUAAUCACAUCUUCACACACUUCCUUCAACUCCCCAAAUUCGAUAAAGCUAUCUUUUGUAGUGCCUACAAAUGCACUCUCGGGCGCCAUACACCUGAAGGUGCUCAAAUUCUCAGGAUGUUAAUCAAGUUCAAACAAUGAUUAAACUUGAUUGUUGUUACCACCUUGGUCAUCAUAUCUGCGGGAUUAUCUGCUGUCGGAAUCUUCUGAAGUAGAAUUUUUCCUUUUUCAAAGACUUCCCGCACAAAGUGAUAUCUUACGUCGAUAUGCUUGGUUCUUGAAUGAUAGACUUGAUUUUUCGCUAAAUGAAUAGCGCUCUGACUGUCACAAUAUAAACUUAUGUGACUUUGAACAACUCCUAAGUCUUUCAACAAUCCAUUAAGCCAAAUAGCCUCCUUAACAGCUUCUGUAACUGCCAUAUAUUCUGCCUCUGUAGUAGACACAGCUACUGUAGACUGUAAGGUAGACUUCCAACUUAUUGGGGCUUUCGCAAGAGUAAACAGAUACCCCGUAGUUGAACGACGUUUAUCUAAAUCACCAGCAAAGUCGGAAUCAACAUAUCCAACUACAAACUGACCAAGUGCUUCAUCCUGUUCAAAAAUUAAACCAACAUCUACGGUUUUUCGAAGAUACCGUAGAAUCCAUUUCACAGCUUGCCAAUGUCCUUUUCCAGGAUCAUGCAUAUACCUGCUCACAACUCCAACAGCUUGUGAAAUGUCAGGCCUCGUACACACCAUCGCAUACAUCAAACUCCCAACUGCAUUAGCAUAUGGGACUUUCGCCAUAUAUUCUCUUUCAUCUUCAGUCUUCGGAGAUAAUUGAGCACUAAGUUUCAAAUGAGAAGCAAGUGGGGUACUUACAUGUUUUGUGUUUUCAUUUACACCAAAACAUUGUAAUACCUUUUUCAGAUAUUGCUUCUGAUUUAAACAGAGCUUGCCUCUCGGUCUAUCUCUACUUAUCUCCAUGCCGAGAAUCUUCUUGGCCUCACCUAGAUCUUUCAUCUCGAACUCUUGAUUCAACUGAGCCUUCAGCUUAUCUAUCUCAUUUUGGCUCUUCGAAGCGAUUAACAUAUCAUCAACAUACAAGAGUAGAUAAAUGAAAGAUCCGUCAUGCAGCUUCUGCAAAUAUACACAAUUGUCAUAUUUGCUUCUUGUGUACUUCUGCCUUCUCAUAAAGCUAUCAAAUCGCUUGUACCACUGCCUCGGGGAUUGCUUCAAUCCAUAUAGCGAUUUGUUAAGCUUACAAACCCAAUUUCUACCACCAGCAUCUGUGUAUCCUUCUGGCUGAGUCAUAUAGAUCUCCUCUUCUAACUCACCAUGCAAGAAAGCCGUCUUAACAUCAAGUUGAGCUAGCUCCAAAUUCAACUGUGCUACCAAGGCCAACAAAAUUCUAAUGGAGGAAUGCUUCACAACAGGGGAAAAUACAUCAUUGUAGUCAAUUCCCUCCUUCUGAGCGUAGCCUUUAGCUACCAAUCUUGCCUUGUAGCGAAUAUCCUUCUUGCUAGGAGAUCCAUCUUUCUUUGCGAAUACCCACUUGCAUCCGAUUGCCCUUUUACCUUUCGGUAAUUGCGCCAACUCCCAAGUAUUAUUCUUCCGGAGAGACUGCAUUUCUUCAUCCAUGGCGCUUUUCCAUUUAUCACUUUCUAAGCUUUGCAUUGCUUCUUGAUAAGUGAUAGGAAUAUCAUCAACAACGGGAAGGGCGUAGGCCACUAUAUCAGUAAAUCGAGCAGGUUUACGAAUUUCUCUCCGUGGCCUUGCAACUGCAACUGGUUCUGGUGUACUUAGUGGUUCUUGGGUCAGAACCUCUUCAACCUCUAAUUCCUCCAUUGUGGCUGGAGAAUUAGACUUAUUAACUGGGCAAAUCCCCAUCUGCUCAAACUCCACCUGUUUUGGAGUACACUCCACCUGCUGUGGAGUAUUGCUCGUCUGAAUAUCUUUAUCUGCUACCUUUUUCAAUGUGGUAGAUUCAUCAAAGGUAACAUCUCUGCUACAGAUCAUUUUCUUUGUGCUUAAGCACCAAAGACGAAAUCCCUUCACUCCAGAAGUGAUUCCCAUAAAGAGAGCUUUCUUUGCCCUCGGAUCUAACUUUGACUCCUUCACAUGGUAAUAUGCAGUGGUUCCAAACACAUGUAAGGAAUCAUAAUCUGUAGCCGGUUUUCCAGACCAUACCUCCAUAGGAGUUUUUCUUUCUAAUGCAGAUGAUGGCAAAC
RNAcentral lists this long non-coding RNA (115963 nucleotides) under Gossypium barbadense (sea-island cotton). RNAcentral describes it as "long non-coding RNA (GBAR_LNC016055)". The record is from RNAcentral. Lineage: Eukaryota; Viridiplantae; Streptophyta; Magnoliopsida; Malvales; Malvaceae.